GACAAAGGAUUAGACUGGCGAUGGAACUGCUGCCUCUGCUGUUAUUGUGCAAGGUUUGAUCACUGGACCUUGAACAAGAAAGCCUUACACGCAUUCUGUAAUUCAAGCGUUCUCUAAAACGAACGAGCAGUAGAAGGAAUAGUAUGACCGGAUCUGCUCUAUUUUAAUUGAAAAUCUCUGUGAUGUUGACGAGCUUAAAGUAGUUGAUGCUUUUUGAAAAUUGUUAUUACGAAUGAAUUCAUUCCUGAAGACGAGUAGCUAAUGAUUGUUAAGGCUUAUUUUCUUAAAGUUCCUUUCUUAACAAAUGUUUCAAUGCUGGCUGUAGUAACAUUUUCAUAUCUUGCAUCUCUCGGGUGCAUCAUGUUCGCGGGUUUGAAAAAGCAUUUUUGGUAAAGUUUCAAAGGUUGUACAACGGCUGUGAAAAGGCAUAUUCAAUUCGGUACGUUUUGGUGUGGUCUCCUAAUGCUAAUAUCAUAUUUUGUAUAGCAAUUAAAAUUUAGGUAUACAAUCUUAAUAUGCAAUAAAUCAUUGUGUACAAAGUUUUCUAUUAAUUAUAUGGUGACUGAAAUUUUAAUUAUAAUUUUAAUUAUCAUAUCAAUCUUAAAUUUUUUUGUAACUCUUUUUUACUUUGCUUGUACAGAGUACCUGUUUUGGCUGAUAUGUCUAGUUCGUAGAAAUUCAUUUCCACUGGUUUCCAUUUGCUUUAGCACAAACAGAAACAGAGCUCUGGGGAAAAGUUUGACUUCUUGUGGUAUUAUGCCGUUGUUUCUUCAUUCAUCAUAUUAUUCGAAUUCAUGCUCUCAUUCAGAGGGUGAAGCCUUUUCUAGGCUGCUUUGUAGCCAAAUUUUUACGCCAUUGAUGCAUGACUGUCAUUUAGAUUUUCCAAAUAACUGCUAGAUUAGAGAAGAAUAAGAAGAUAUUGUUAAAAGGGUAUUUAAUUAGCGCCCUCUGAAUUUAGUUGCCAAUAAUGCAUUGAAAUAGUCGGGGAAAGUUAUUUUCUUAAUUAAAUUACAGGUGAUAAGAUGCUGCUUCAAUUUUGCAAGCAUCUCGUAUUGCGAAGAUUUUGCCCACAUGAGAUCCCACUAUUCUUGACAUCAGGGUAACGCAGGUCAAAUUUUAGUAUCAAUAUAUAUCUUCUUCUUUACUGUUCUGCCUCUAAAUAUUAAACUUUAGGCAAGUUGUUUUUGUUUGUGUAAGUUAUCAGGUUCAGGAUACUAAGCAGCUUAAUUGUUCGCCACACCUAGUAUGAAUGAUGGCCAGGAACAUUAAUUGUUCACAAGCCAAUUUGAUUAGUGUUAGAUUUUUUGCCUUCCUUCGAAAGAUAUCAUCAUCAAAUUUGAGUUGAGAAUAUUUGAAGAGAAUUUUGUUUUGAGAGUUUCACUGUAGUGAAUUUUGGGUUUGCGUUUGAGCACACACAAAGGAUGCACUAAAUAUAACAAAAGUAUAUUUCUACUUCUUGUGGUUAUUUUAAUUUUGUUUCUCGUGUCAUCAUAUUUGAUUAAUUCGUUCGAAUUCACACUCACACAUUUCCAUGAAUAAUUGUUAGGCUGGUGGAGAUAUUUUUAAAAGGGCAUUAACCUACCUUAUGGAAUUGGAAAGUUAUUAUUUCUUGAAAGCAGGCAGCAUCUUCGUUGCGUAGGCUUUCCCCACUUGAUAAGAUGCUGACAUUGUUACCGGCCCCUUAAUUAUUUAUUAACUCAGGUAUUUAUUAUCAAGUACAUCAUCUUAUUCAACAUUUUGGCUAUAUAUAAAGAUUAUAAUUUCUAACAGUUGUUUCGGAUUCUUGUGUACUCAGGUUAAUAGGGCAAAUGUCAGAAUGAAGACUGUUCAGUUUAACCCGUAUAGCAAGGAUGAUAGCGGUGAGGAAGAUUGUUGGCAAGCCAAAUAGAGCCCUCCAUUUUGAGAAAUAUCAUCCGCAUAUUUGAAUUGUUGAGCAUGUGAAGUGAACCUUCUUAUGGAAAUACCUUCCUGUUUGACUUGCAAAAUACAUUACAAAAGCUCCCAAACAGUAUAUUUGAACAGAGUUACCCAUUUUGAGAAUUUUGACUCCCAAACAAGACUGCAGAGUUGUGUAUGGUGGGAUUAGCUGCAGGAGCAGUGCAAGAUUCUUUGUCAAACUAUCUGGCUGGUAAAAAGACUGUUGCCAAACUUCCUUUUCAUUCCUUUGUUCACUUACUCGUUAUAAAUAAAGUAAAAUUAGAAUAUUGUUCCGUUUACUGUCUAAGCCGGUCUAACAUUUGUUUAAUUUGGGCAAUUUUUAAUGCCUGACAGGUUAUCUGUGACAAACCCAUCUGUGAGUACUAAUGUGCUUGGUUAUGGUGCUUUCAUUGGACUACAUGCAAACAUGAGAUAUCAGCUAUUGUGUGGAUUUGAUAGAGACGUCGCCAACCAUUUUGAAGUUAUUGGAGUAGCAAUGUUGUUAAGCACGGCUUUGAGGUCUCUCCCACCCUCUUUUACGUAUUUGUCAAUGAUCGACAUCUCUAUAUAUACAUUGAUACACCAAAUUACUCUUGUUUUAAUGUUUUGUUUGUUGAACUUUGACUGGGUUAUUUGUUUAUUUGUCUCAUAUGAUGUUAAUGCGGUUCCUAUAAAAGUGGAUAUAGAUCUAUCACCUCAAAGUCUGAUUUCAACUUUCCUUCACUUAAUCAACUAGCAUCCUUUCCAAGUCCAGAUACUUACCAAUAGUGAGACUUUGCUACGGAAGUACAAUUUCUCUUGUUUUACAGUUAAAUAUGUAAGAAUAGUUUCAAAUUUACAGAAUUCUGAUAUAGUUCUCUAAGGAAAUGCAGGUGGUGAAUAUGGUUCCAACUUUUAAUAGGCUUUAAUAGGCCCAUUUGUUCAGCCACAGUGAUUGCGGUCUAAAUUCUUCUUUACUGUCUGUAUGUGUUGGAGUUUGUCUAUUGUCCAACUUCUCCAAUGGAUUCCAUGCAGGGUUUUGGAUGUCUAAUUAGGAGAAAGAUCGACAGAUGACCUUUUGAAGAAGGCUUACACAACAGGCCAUCUCAGGAUGUCAUGGCUCAGCACAAAAGUGCCCAGGUGGUUACUGAGCAAGAUAGAGAGAGAAGUUUUUUCUUCUUCAGGCUACCUUCCGCAGCUGUGGCAUACAUGAACUAAGUAGCUACGCGAUCAACAGAAAGUUAGUGACGUGACUUGGGGAUCGAGGGAUUGAUACCAAAGAAUGCCAUUUUUCUGAGCUUGGGCUCCUUGGCUUCAAACAAAACAGUGUUGACUCUAUUGAAGGGGAAAUAGGGGCAACUAAAGCUCGAAGAAAGAGGAUAGUCCGGAGGAAGGUGACUGCAUAAAUUUCUUGGAGUUAAUGUAGUCAAUUGCCCAAUUUUGCUGCCUGUCGAAGAGACACAGCAUGGAAGUCCUCAUCAAACUCUGAGACACCUAAGAACUAGUAGGAGGUGGUGGUAUUCUCCAUAUUUCCUGACAAGUAUAGUUAAUUUUGUUUUAGCUAUGAAUUGUUUCCUAGAUAAUAAUAAUUGCCUUGUUCCUUUGGAGUCUUAUUUACUCUCCGUAACUCAGUUCAAUUUUGCAAAUUCUAUUUCAGAUUUCUUAUAUAGUGUGUCUUUGUUACUUUUGUGAUGCCUUUUUUAUCGCAAGUUUCCAUUUGAAGUAUCCGAUAUUCUUUACAGACUAAUUAUCUAAUGAUUAUUUUAUACAAAAAAAAUCAUAACUUUAAUCAAUUGAUCAUACUCAACUUAGGUCUUGUUUGAUGUUACUAGCUGUUGUUAAAAUAAAAAAAGCUGAAAUUUGACAAUGUGUAAUAAAUGUAAGACUUUUAAAUAAUAAUUUUUAAUACAAUUAAUAAAGAUAUUAUAAGUUUUUUUAUUAUAAUAAAAUAUGAGAUCAAAUCAAAUUAAUUUUUAAGUUACAAUAGCAAAUAUUUACCAAAACUGUUUAAUUAUGUAGCUUAAAAAGUAUAGUUCUCCAACCUCAACAUUAUAUAGGGAUUUUCCAGACUCUACCAGACUUUAGUUGUACUCACUCGAUCAUGCAAAUCCAUACUCAAUGUGCUUGGCCAUACAAGAUGUUACUCAACUUUAACAAGUCUUACUCAAACUUUGCAUGUUUGGCAUGCCGGAUGGAAUAUGAUAGUAUAUGAUGUGGUAGAAUAUUAUAGGAAUAGUAAUAACAAGAUUACAUGUAGUACUAGGUUACAUUUUACGUGAUGUGGUAUAUGAAUGGAUUAUAUUACAAAUUUUUUUGUUAUAAUAAUUAAAAAUUUGAAUUAUUUUAUUAUUGAAAAAAUGUAAUAUGUUAAAUAACAGUUAUUUUUAUUAAGUAAUUUCUUUGUAAUGAAUUAUACUUUUAAAAUAUAAUCGAAAAUUCUUAUUACUAAACUAAUAAAAAGUUAAUUAUUUGAGUUAUCUCCUAAACUACUUAGCUCACGGGAUAAAUUCACUUAGUUUAGAACGAAACAGUGGAUUUUAGAGCAUCACCAAAAGACUCUUCAAAUAAGAUUUUAUUACUUAUUUGAAGAACCACAUCAACAUUUAAAACUCCAAAAAACACUUCAAUUAAAACUUUUCAAAUAAAAAAUGAUUCUCUUUCUUCAAAUUUGGAGAGUUGCUUUCUCCCUCUUCAAUUUAUAUUUUAUUACUUUUUAUUAGAGAGAGAAAGAGAAGUGCUUUAAUUGCUAUUAACUUUUCCUCUAAAAAAAAUAAUUAUUUGAUUAAAAUAAUAUUAACUUAUUUUUAUUUGAAGAGUUUUUUGGCGAGUAGUAUAUUUUUUACCUUUCUAUUUACCACAUAAGUAAGUAAAUAAAUAGUUGAAAAGUAAAAUGUAUUAAAACUUUGAGUGGGACUACUGGCACCCCUCUAAAUACCUUUUAACACCCCUUUAGUUAUUUUAUAAUUUUAACCUUUAUUAAAAUUACAUAAUAAGACAAUCAUGAAUUUUACAAUUCUAAAUACCUCUUAACACCCCUUUCUUUUGUUUUUAUUUUAUUUUUUUAACAUUUCCGAGUUUACUCCAACUGCAAAUUAAUUUAUGAAUUAUGAUCUACAUACUAUAAAUUUAAGUAAUGCUACAAGCGACUGUAAAUAUUAAAAUAUCAGCAGAAAAAUAAAAAUAUCUUGAUUAAGAGACAAAAUAAAUAGUACCUGAAAUUGAAAUUCAGCAUUUUAAAAAUUAAGAAAGUUACUUUUUCAUCUUAUUUUCUGGUGAGGAAUUAUCGACAUCAGCAACUCAUCAUCAACAAACUUCAGAGAAGAAACUGAGACCUAUGAGGGAAAUUAAGAAAAAAGAAGGUAAUUAUGAAGCAAAGGACGAGCUUAACAAUCAUCAGAAUUAUUUUCCCACCGACAUGUUUUCCAGUGCCCCAGUUGUCUUUCUCCACAAAGGCACGCAGUCUUUCGAAGAAUUCGUGAUUCUGCAUUUUCAGAAGCUUGUGCUCAACAUCUUCAUCAGUAAACCAAAUUAGCACUUGGCCUUAUAAUUACACGCAUGGUAGCCAAGUGUUUGCAAGGUGUCAUUAUCAAUUACAAUGAGUUUAAAGUGCUGGCCAUGUGGUGUUUCAAUGAUUUGCCACAUUGAAGUCGAAGUUUCGUGGAGCAAGUUCCCUUUUCCUUUUUUUUUUUCCUUCUCUCUCUCUUUUUUUUCAAUAGAUGAUUAAUUGUCUCAAAAUCAGUCAAAAAUUAAAUGGGGUUUAUAUUAAUAAAUUUGAAUUAAGGAUAUUUUUAUCAUUAAAAGGGUGUUAAAAGAAUUUUAUAAUAUUUUUAAAUAUUUUAAUAGGGUUAAUAAAAAAAAGAGGUGUUGAGAGAUAUUUAGAGGGGUGCCAAUAGUCUCACUCAAAAACUUUUGAAGAUGCUCUUACUAACAUAAUUUUCUCCCAUUUCCAUAAUGUCCGCGUUGAGUGCAUGUAAUCCACGAGUUUGAUUGAGCAGAAUAGCCGAAAGUCUAAUGAUACCCACAUCCAACUUUGUCACAAAGGCCUGGACGCCAUUCCUUAAGCCCAUGUUGUUUCGGUUUUGAUGUUGUAUUAUCAUUUCACGGGUUUUGGUGCUCUAGGAUUUGGGGAUGGUGCUUCAACGCUGUGUUUAAUGCGUCCCUUUUGGCACUUUUUGUUAAUUUUUAUUCCAAGAGCUAUGCUAAGAAAAAGAAGCAGGGAUGAUCAAAGUGUUGUGAUUGUUUUGUGUUUUCUUUUUUAAUUUAUUUGAUUUUGGUUAAUUAUGAAUGGUGGUAAUUGGUUGAAUGCAAUUGAAGAGAUGCUUUCAAUUGCCUAAACUUUGUUUUUUCAAUUUUUGUAAUAAAUGUCAUUUGUCACCACAUUUUUUUAGUCUCUCCCUUUUAAAUUCCCUCACACAAACUUCGGAUUUGUAUUUUGUAAACUAGUACUUUUCAUUUUCGUUAAUGUGUUAGCUAUUAUUAUCUACAGUUAUGUCAUACGACACACAUGUCACAUUAGCUAAAAUUAGAUUAUGAAUUUUGGGCACAGGACCAAGUCCCACCGUUUGGUAGGAAAUAAGUGUUGGAUCAUAAACUUGAUCCAAAAUAAAUAAAUUCAAGUCCAACUCAUGGAAGAUUCCAUGAGUAGGUAUACUUGGUGAGGUUUGAAUUAUUUGUGUUAGGUGUGGUAGGUUUUAAUGGAUGGUGAGAAUUUGUGUAUUAGUUGAAUAAAUAGAUUGUUGUGAUUAGUUUGUUUCAUGUUUAAAUACCCCCCUCCCCUUUGGUUUAAAUAUAAAGUGAAGUAACAAAAUCUCUAAGGUGUAGAGAGUGAAAAAUAAGAGUUGUAAUUAGUGAGGAGUGUUAUUGAAGAAAUAAAAUAGUGUGUUUUAUUUGUUAAUUCUCCAAAAAAUGGUAUCAGAGCUAGUGUUUGAUGCUAUAUAUAGUAAUAUAGCAUAUCAAAUCGAAGAUCUCGACGAGAGGAACGUGACGCCGCAAAAAUCAUCCCGAUCCGAGACUGGACGCGCCCACACAUGCCGCCGGAAGCUUUAUGUCCUGAAGCUAAGUCGACUCACCGAGUUGAACCAAGCUGAGCCGAACCGAACCAAGCCGAGUCGAGCUGAACCGAAUCAAGUCGAACCAAGCCAACUGGAGCUGAAUCAAUCCGGACCGAACCAAGACUAUUAAGCCAACGCUGACCGUUGACCGUUGAUUGAAAGUUGACUCGAGUCCUUCCCAAGGUUUUUUGAUGUGCCAGAUCCAUCUGUGCUUUUAGAAUCUCCAAAUUCUCACUCAAUUUAUGAGUUAUGGAAAAUGGUGGUAUGAUGUCAUUUCAAGUUCUACAAUUAAAGGGAAGUAAGUUUGACCAUUGGAGUAUUAAAAUGAAGACUCUAUUGGGUGCACAGACGUAUGGGAUGUCAUGGAAAAAGGAUUUAUUGUGCUAGAAAAUGAAGCUACUUUAACUGUGGCGCAGAAGGAGAAUUUAAAAGACUUGAAGAAGAAAGAGAAUAAAGCAAAGUAUCUCAUCUUUCAAUCAUUAGAAGAAGAUGCUUUUGAAAAGAUUGCUGGUACAACCUCCUCAAAAGAAGCAUGGGAGAAACUAGAGAUCUCUUACAAAGGAGCGGAGCAAGUUAAGAAGGUUCGUCUCCAAACAUUAUGAGGAGAAUUUAAGUCCUUACACAUGAAGGCGUCGGAGUCAAUUUCUGACUACUUUACUCGGGUUGUGACCGUUUCUAAUGAAUUAAAUAGAAAUGGCGAGGAGUUAAAAGAGGUAAGGAUCAUUGAAAAGAUACUUCGAUCAGUAGACUUGAAGUUUGACCAUAUUGUUGUGACAAUUGAGGAAACAAGAGAUCUAGAGGAUAUGACGAUCGAGCAACUUCAAGAAAGGCUGCAAGCCUAUGAAGAAAAACAAAAAAAGAAGCAAGGAAUCAAAGAACAACUUCUCAAGAUGGAGGUCAAUCCAAAGAAAAGAGAAGAAAGCUCCGACAACGGAAGAAGACAUAUUUAUCUCCCAUGAAAGCUAUACAAAGGAGAUUCUAAAAAGGUUCAAGAUGAAUGAUUGCAAGCCUAUAAGCACGACAAUGGAAUGCAGAGUCAAGUUAUCCAAACAUGAUGAAGGGGAAGAUAUAGAUCCAACAUUCUUUAAAAGUUUGGUCGGAAGCCUAUGUUAUUUGACAUGCACGAGACUAGAUAUCUUUUAUGUUGUUGGACUUGUGAGCCGAUACAUGAAGAAUCCAAAGACCACCCAUUUUAAAGUUGCAAAAAGAAUCCUUUGCUACAUCAAAGCUACAACUAAUUUCGACUUGUUAUACUCAUUUUCUAAUGACUACAAGCUUGUUGGAUAUAAUGAUAGUGAUUGGGGUGGAGAUGUAGAUGAUUGAAAGAGCACAACAUGAUUUGUGUUCUUCAUGGGAGAUACUGCUUUCACAUGGAUGUCAAAGCAGCAACCAAUUGUCACGCUAUCCACUUGUGAAGCUGAAUAUGUAGCUGCCACAUCAAGUGCUUGUCAUGCAAUUUGGCUUAGAAAUUUGUUGAAGGAGUUGGGUUUGCCACAAGAAGAGCCAACCAAAAUUUAUGUUGAUAACAAAUCAGUAAUUGCCCUCUCCAAGAAUCCAGUCUUUCAUGAUCGAAGCAAACACAUAGGCACUCGCUAUCAUUUCAUAAGAGAGUGUAUUGAAGAAAAGAAGUGCAAGUCAAGUAUGUAAAAUAACAAGAUCAAGCAGUUGAUAUCUUCACUAAGCCACUCAAGCAAGAAGACUUCGUAAAAUUCAGAAGUUUGCUUGGUGUCACAAGAUCAAGUUUAAGGGGGGGUGUUGGAUCAUAAACUUGAUCCAAGAUGAAUAAAUUCAAGCUCAACUCAUGGAAGGUUCUAUGAGUAGGUAUGGUUAGUGAGGUUUGAAUUAUUUGUGUUAGGUGUGGUAGGUGUGGUUGGUGAAGUAGGUGAGUGGUAGGUUUUAAUGGAUGGUGAGGAUUUGUGUAUUAGUUGAAUAAAUGAAUGGUUGUGAUUAUUUUUGUUUCAUGUAUAAAUACCCCCUCUCCCCUUUGGUUUAAAUAUCAAGUGAAGUAACAAAAUCUCUAAGGUGUAGAGAGUGAAAAACAAGAGUUGUAAUUAGUGAGGAGUGUGGUUGAUAGAAUAGAAUAGUGUGUUUUUUUGUGUGUUUUGUUUGUUAAUUCUCCAACAAUAAGGAGCAUUAAUGAAAUAUGUUUAAUUAAGUAAUAAUUUGUUAUUUUAGAGUGAAAAAUAAGGGUAAAUUGUAUUCUACCCCAUAUUAGAUUGACAAACUUCAAUUUACCCCCUAAAAGUACAAAAACUUCAACUUAUCUCCAAAUACCAUUUUCUUCCCGUUAAAUUCAACUAUCGAAAGCAUAAAAUUAUAGUCUUACAUUCUCUUAACAGUCAACUAACGGAUAAGGUAAUUUCCAUAAAACCCAAAUGUAGGGGCGGGCAACGGUUUGGUUUAGAAGUUAGGAACCGAAUGGUUUGAAAACAAACGAACCGAUUGGUUUAUAUUUGGUUUAGUUUGAACUGACAAACCGAUUGGUUCGCUUCAACUUAAUUAAAAAUACAUUUAUUUUAAAAUAUAAAUGCUUAAAAUAUUUUUUUUUUCAUUUUUCAGUUUCCUAAUCUAAAAAUGUUUCAUAACCCUAAAUCAACAGCCAUCUCUCUCAAGUUCGGCGGAGGCACAACAAGCUCUCUCGGUCUCUCCCUCGCAAUCUCAUGGUGAUUGAAUUCUUGUGAUGUCUCCACUUUUGUUUCUUGUUCUUGUGUGAUCGAAUUCUCUCUAUACACACAUACCCCAGCCUCUUGUUCUUUGGCUUAAUGGAGUUUCGUUUCUUUUCUCUCAGUUUCUUUCCUGUUGAAUUCUCGUGAUGUUUCUAUUUUUUUCUUGUUUUUUAGACGUGUUUUCGAAAUUGGCAUAAUGCGAACCAAACCCGAACUGAAUUUCAAAAUCGAAUCAAAUUGAACCAAACUGAAAUUUUUAUGUUCGGUUUGGUUCAAUUAAAAAAUUUGGUAUGCAUUCGGUUCUCUUUCUUAAGAACCAUUUGGUUUUAGUUCAGUUCGGUUUUGGUCUAGAAAAGAACCGAACCGAACCAAAACAAACCAUAUACUGGCCACCUUGCUCAAAUGUUUCAACAAAUUUCAAUGCACACUUAAACAUGUCAAUAAAAUUCGCUUUGUACCCAAAUUGAUAAUUUUUAUUUUUUAAUUAGUUAAUUUUUAACUGCAGAAGCAUAAAAAAUUAUUUCUUUUUAAAAUAAGAAAAAUAAUUUUUUUUCUAACUUUUUUCCUUUUUUUAUUUUCUAGUUAAUUUCUUUAUCUGGUUCGGUUCAUUUUUCCCUUUUUUAUUUCUUACUGUUUUCUGCAUGUUCUCCACGCUUCAACUUCGCCAAGCAUCAUAAGGCCACAAUAGCCAUGCCAGCAAUGGUGCAGCAACGUUAACGCCACUGUUCCAAGUCUUGGCCCAUCAUCUGCUUUUCAACAAACCUUAGCUUCUUCCCAAAUUCAUCAAUGAACCCCAGAACCAGACUAAUCAUUAAAAUUAUUAACAACCAUUUGCUUGGAUCAAUGUAUGCUUGGCAUGUCUAUGGGCUUACUUGUUAUGGUCGCUGAUGGCCUUGGGCUUGCCUGGAAUGGUCGCAACGCGCAGCCAUGGGCUUGCUUGGAAUGCCCGAACCCAGCUGCCAAGGUUUUGCUAGCGUAUCCAUGGAUUUUGCUGGACAUGGCAGUGCGAGGCCAUGGGUGUUGCCGGGCAAUGGACAUGGGUUUUGCUGGGCUGAUUUGGAAUUAACAGUGGCUAUGGAGUUGUUAAGUGUGUGAAAGAUAAAAAAAAAACGAACCAAGAAGAAGAUGAACAGGGAAUAGAACGAAGAAGAUGAAGAAAGUAGAAGAGAGGGAAAAAAUAUUUUGCUUUUUUAUAAAUUUUCGGAUUUUUAUUUCAAAAUUUAUAAUUUUUGUUUAAAUUUGAGAAUCUUAAGGGUAAAAUUUUCUUUGUAACUAUGUAGAAGGAGGUUUUCAGAUGGUUUUUGGUUGGGUUAACAUGAAAUAUGCUUGUUUUAUGAAAUAUUAUUAUUGAGGUUUUGUUUUAUUUUCUAAAAGUUAGAUUAGAGGAUGAUUUUCAUUAAUGACAUCCAUAAAGUUUGAAUUAGUUAUAUUAUAGAAAAAUAGGGAUUUAAAUGAUAUAUCUUUCCAACAUAAAUAUAUCAGUAACAUAAGUUAUUCUAUAAUUAACAGGGGUAUUAUCGUAUUUUAGUGAGUCAAUAUUGGUUGAUAGUUAAAUUUAACAGAUUUUAGAGAGUAAAUUGAAGUUUUUAUUUUUAUUUUUGAGUAAAUUAAAGUAUGUCAAUCUCAUAAGGGGUUAAAAUAUAAUUUACCCAAAAAUUAGUGUUAAAAUUUUAUAGAUGAGUGUAUAUUAAGAUGUUCAAAGUAUUAGGACAUAAUGAAUAUUAUCCUCAACCUCAAGAGAAACAUAUCAAUAAAAUAUACAAAAAUAGAAUGCAUUAGUACAUGUCAAUAAGAAGACCAAUUAGAUCAUGUCAUAUUUGUUAUGUGGUUAUUUUUAAAUUAAGAAAAGGAACAAUGAUGGUUUUACAAAGUUUGAAUAUAAAAUUUAUAAUCUAAAAUUAAUGAUAACGUGUUAUUAAGCUAAUAGAGUAAGAAGUCCCNNNNNNNNNNNNNNNNNNNNNNNNNNNNNNNNNNNNNNNNNNNNNNNNNNNNNNNNNNNNNNNNNNNNNNNNNNNNNNNNNNNNNNNNNNNNNNNNNNNNUUAGCUAUAGAGUAGAGUCCCAAAUGCAUGUACAUCAUAUCUUGGUAAGAAAUUGGUUCUACCCAAAAUACUUCUUUGUAUUGAAAUCAAUGAUGAUUGCUUGUUUAAAUCAUGAAAGUUAAAAUAAUUUUGUAAAUCAUUUCAUUCUUUAAUUUACGGUAUAAAAAUAAAUUAAAAAAAUGUUAAUUUCUCCCAUACUUUUAGGACUCAAAAAAUAACAAAAAGUCUUAACAUAUUUAAUGGUUAUAUAUAAAUCAUCCGUAUGUAUUUUUCUUGAGAGAAGCUCAAUUCGAUAGGCAAUGCUCCCCAUAGUUUUCUUUUCUAAUUAGAUAAAAGAACAAAAGAAAUUGAUUACAAUAAUUCACGGCGAAGUCACCUUGGUCUACCUGAUAUAUAUUACAGAGGUAAGCUUCUUUUUAAUGCCAAACUAGAAUAACAAACUUUAAUUUACUUCUUAAAGGGUAAAAACCUCAAUUUGUCCUUAUAUUUGUUCAAAAGAUACAUUUUGUCUUCUUAAUAUAAACAAGUUAAAUUGAUGUUUCACAUCUUUUAGAAAUAAAUUAAAAAUUGUUAUUCUAAGUAGGAGGUAAAUUUCAAAUAAAACAUGUGUUCAUAUGAUAGAUGUGCAUUUUACAAUAAUUAAUAAACAAAAAGGGUAGUGAUAUUUUCACCCUGCAAUUUUUGUAAAUCCACCCCCACUCCCAAGAAAUAAUUACAAUAAAUUCACAUAAUUUUUUAAAAACUCAAUAAAGAAAAUUUUUGGAGAUUUAAACUAUUAUAUACAAGAGGAUAGGAGUAAACAUUUUUCAUGCAGUAUAAAAAGAAUGGUGACACUCCUUUUCUUUCGGUAUUUUCGCACAAAAGCACGCUUAAUAACUGAUCAAAAUUAUUUCUCCUUUUCUUUGAUCGCUGAUUCGCUUCCCCUCUCCUGGAGCUGCUGAACUCCUUUGUUGCUGAUGAAGUGAACAGGUGAGGCUUUUCAAAUGACCACAAUAUGUAUAAAGACGAACUAAUUACACUAUCAGUGGCUCAAGGUUACCUUAAUGCAGAAGAGGGCAAAGAGAUGGAGAUUCGAUUCGAUUCGAUAAUAGUAGUUUAUUUUAAUUUUUAUUCAUUUAAUUUCAUAGCAGAAAUUUUUAUUUUCAUUUUUUUGUUGAAAAUUGGUAAAAACGAACUAAAAUGAGAUAAUUACAUUAAAACAAUCUUCAAUGACUAAAGUAAUUUGAAAAAAUAAAAAUAAAAAUAAACAAGCUCAAAAUUUACCCCUAAUCCGAACAUUAUCCGAAUUCAGCCUAAUUGACCCAAAUCUAAUUGUAAUCCAAACUUGACAUGACCCGCAAAUAAUUAUAACUCGAUCAGAUCCAAACUCAACCUGAAUUUUUAAUUCAAUACGAUCCAAUCCAAAUAUUCCAACCCCAUCAAAUUGAAACUUGAUCGGGUUGAUCCGAACCCGAAUUUGCCACUUCCGGAGGAGACCAUGACCCUAAAAGCUUUGAAAUAAUCUUUGCGGUUUCUUAAUGAAAUAUUAAAAGUUAUGUGCAAAAAGACUGAUUUGACCCUAGAAUACAUGAUAUAUAAAUUUCAGACAUUAUAUUCUGUGAAAUAAAGUCAAAGUAAACUGGUCGUUUGAUUUUUUAUUAAUUAUUUUCCAUUAAGACAAAAUGACAAAUAGACUUUUUUAAAAGUUUAAUAAAGUUUGGGCCUAACUCCUUGAUUUUUAUUUUUUAAUUAUUUUUCAUUUUGUUUUUUACUUGCAACAUUAGCUUUAAUUAUCAAUCAGUCUCCAAAUCAAAAUGACUGAAACCUGUAGCUACAAGCAAAAUUCUCAAAUUUUGAAAUUUCUAACGACUACUUAAUAGCUAUAAAUAGAAAAAUCAUCUAAAAUUAAUCCUCCUUCAGAGGCAGAUUAAAUUCUUAGUAAUUUCAUAUAAUUUCAUUUCAUCAGAACAAUUUUUCAAAAGCAAUUUUAUAAAUGGUUGUCGAAAGCUUUAUCCCUUAAUCAUAUUUCACGUAUUUUCUUUGUAAUAUGAGGCGCGUCCAUAGACCAUAGUAUGAUAUUUAUUGUAAUUAAAAUCAUUAUGGAACUGAUUUUAUUCUUGUUUCUCAAACAAAGUAUCUAACUGCAGAUGUAAUAAAUUACUAAUUGCCAUUAUUUGAGUCGCGCUCUUUGAAUUCGAUCUUGGAGUUUCAAAUGACCAAAUGAAUUAGUAAGAUAAUGGCUUUUCGUUCCGAGAGCUAUGCUAAGAAAAAGCAGGGAUGAUCAGAACAAAUAGUGUGUUGUGAUUGUUUUGUGUGUGUGUGUGUGUGUUUUUUUUUUAAGUUUUAUUUUGUUUAAUUAAGAAGGGUUAUGAUCUGUUCAUUGCAAUUGACAGAGAUGUUUUCAGUUGCCUAGACUUCGUAUUUUCAGUUUUAGUAAUACAUGUCGUUUUUCACCACAUUUGUUUAGUCUCUCCCUUUUAAAUCCCCUCACACACAAAAAAUUAGGAUUUGUAUUUUGUAAACUAAUAUUUUUCAUUUUGUUAAUGUAUUAAUUAUUAUUAUCUACAUUUAUGUGAUAGGGCACAUGCCACAUAAACUAAAAUUAAGUUAUAAAAUUUUGCAGCCCCUGAGCACUCAAUGUUUGUAGGCACAAGUUCAAGUCCCACCAUUUGUUAGGAUUUAAAUAAAGAACAUUAUAACCAUGCGUCCAAGAACUUAAAGUUAGCUUAAGUGCAUGGAUUCGAGUCCUAGUUAUUGUUGAAAUUCGAUUUCCUUUCUAAUUAAAUUAAGUAAGGGUAAAAUUAUCUCUCAAUUAAUAAAGACAGAGUAGAUAUCUCUCUUGAUUUUCCUCCCAAUUAAAUUAGUUAGAAGUAAAAUUAUCUCUCGAUUAGUAAGAGUAGAAUAAAUAUCUCUUUAGUAUUAUGCAAGGGUAGAAUUUUGGGUUGUACCAUGUUAGAAUUAUCAAGGAUAGUUUUGAUAGAAUUCUAAUUGUAAUAUAUAAGUGUAUAAAAAAAAUGAACAUUAAUGAAAGAUGUUUAGGUAAGGACUAUCUUGGAAUAGAAUUUUGAUUGUAAUAUAUCAAUAUAUAAAAAGAAAUUUAUGAAAAAUGUUUAACAAGGACUGUUUUGAUAUUUUAAUGAGUAGUAAAAAUUAAUGUUAAAAUUUGAUAGAACUUAUAUAAAUAAUCCUAGCUCUAAUAAAAUUUUGCUACAUAAUUAGUUUAUCCCUUAAAGAAACAUAUCAAAAAAAUAUACAAAAACACAAUGCAUGAGUACAUGUCAAUCACAAAUGAAAGCAAUUAAGAUAAAGAAUAUGAUUUAUUUUAUUUUAUUUUAGUUAUUUUUUUGUUUCUUUUGAAACAAGACCAAUUAGAUCAUGCAAGAAGUAAUUUUUUUUAAAAAAAUAAAAAAAGGACAAAUGAUGAAACCCACGUCUAAAGAUGCCGUUGUCGCGGAGGCCUAGAUCUCACUACACCCCAUCCCCUUCUACCAUAUUUUAUAAUUGAAGAGGUCAUUAUUGAAUUGAAAAAUUAUGAUUCAAAAAUCCAAAAGUAGAAAAAGAAAAGCAAUUGUUGGAAACACACUCGGAGUUUUAAAUUGACAUGAGAAAAGAAUAUAUUCAUCAACCUCAUACGUUAAAGAUGCGACGAGUUUAAGAAUAUAUUCCUAACGUGUGGGAAUUUAAAGAUGUUACUACAAAACAUGUGUUCGUCGGUGGAGUAGAAUCAGGGAAAUUAAAGAUGCUACUACAACCACUAACGUGUGGGUGGAGAUAAGCAUAACUUUUUUCAUCAAAUGCCAAAUCCCCCCAGGUGGAGAGUGGGGACUCCUUCGCAUAAAUGUUGAUAAAAUUUUGACUAUGAUGUUAUUAGAAAUUAGGGAAAACUUAUGGUGCAACUGUGAUAUCGUGUCAUAGUUGUAUCCAGCCGUUGGAUGUCAAUGGACUCUACCCAUACAAGUGUAUCCAACGGCUGGAUGUAAUUAUGGCACGGUACCACAGUUGCAUCGUAGCCGGACCCUAAAAAUUAAGAUAUUCUCUCUCUACGUAUGUCUGCACGAAAUAAUAUGCAAAUAUAGUAUUUUAGUUUAUUAUUAAUAGUUUUACAAUAAUAAAAAUCAUUUUGAUAGACAGGAAAAUGUCAUAUUCGCAUUUUAUUUUGUACGGACGUCUGCGAGAAAGAACAUAUAUAUAUAUAUAUAGAGGAACGUGUAUUUAAGAUUUAGCUAGUGUGAAGUUGGGAAAUUUUUUUUUUUGAACCCAAGCUAAAAUUAUUUCAAUAAAUUUUGAUCAUGGAGACUAACAAGAUUUUUUUAGUUAUAUUUAUUAAUUUUUUAGGGACUAAUAAAUUUUGAUCAUGGAGACUAAUAAGAUUUUUUAGUUAUAUUUAUUAAUUUUUUAGGGACUAACAUGAAUAUUAAUAAUUUUAUUGAGAUUAUUAAAAAAACAAUGUGCUAUUUUACAUCUAUGACUUUUCCAAUCUUUUUUUCUUUCGUUAUUUAUUCCUUUGUGAAUUUUAGUUAAUGCUUGAUAUUAUUUUUUUGCUCAUUUUUUAAAGUAGUAAUUAAAUCUGAACCCUUACAGUAGAAGAUUAUGAAAAAGUAAAGACACAAAAAUCAUAAAAAUCAUUAGUAGGUCCAAAUUUGUGCUAUUUUCAUACAUAACUUGAGAAUAUUUAUAAUUACGCAUCAGAACUAGUGGAGUAGAAUCAGGGAAAUUAAACAUUCUACAAUCAUUGACGUGUGGGGUGGGGAUAAGCAUAAACAUUUUCUAUGCAGUAUAAAAGAAUGCAAUAACUCCUUUCUUUCAUAUCUUCGCAACAAAAGCACAUCUAAUAACUCUUCAGAAUUCUCGUCUUCUUUGUCAGAAUGGUUGAUGCGAUCGUUUCCUCUCUCCUGGAGCAGCUGAUCUCUGUUGCGGCUGAUGAAGUGAAACAACAGGUGAGGCUUGUGACUGGUGUCCGAGAAGAAGUGAAAAAGCUUACCAGCAAUCUUCAAGCCAUUCAACUUGUGCUGGAAGAUGCAGAGAAAAGGCAAAUGCAGGACGACAAAGCUGUUACUUUUUGGCUGGAUCAGCUCAAAGGCGCAUCUUACGACAUGGAAGAUGUGUUGGAGGAGUGGACCACUGCAAGGCUCAAAUUGCAGAUUGAGGGCCUUGACGAUGACAAUACUCUUGCUCUUCCUGCUCAUAAGAAGAAGGUAUGUUCCUUCUUUCCUUCUGCCUCAAACUGCUUCGGUAGUUUCAAAAAACUCAGUCUUCGUCAUGACAUUGCAGUCAAGAUUAGAGAGAUCAAUAAAACGCUGGAUGAUAUUACCUCUCAAAAAGAUAGGUUUAAAUUUGCUGAGAAUGUGAGUAACAAUGUCAAGAAGCCAGAGCGAGUGGGAACCACCUCCUUGGUUGAUGAGGGAGAGGUUUGCGGUAGAGUUGAUGAGAAAAAUGAGCUCUGCAAGUUGUUGUGCGAAAGUAGUGAACAACAACAAGGCUUUCAUGUCAUUUCACUAGUUGNNNNNNNNNNNNNNNNNNNNNNNNNNNNNNNNNNNNNNNNNNNNNNNNNNNNNNNNNNNNNNNNNNNNNNNNNNNNNNNNNNNNNNNNNNNNNNNNNNNNNNNNNNNNNNNNNNNNNNNNNNNNNNNNNNNNNNNNNNNNNNNNNNNNNNNNNNNNNNNNNNNNNNNNNNNNNNNNNNNNNNNNNNNNNNNNNNNNNNNNNNNNNNNNNNNNNNNNNNNNNNNNNNNNNNNNNNNNNNNNNNNNNNNNNNNNNNNNNNNNNNNNNNNNNNNNNNNNNNNNNNNNNNNNNNNNNNNNNNNNNNNNNNNNNNNNNNNNNNNNNNNNNNNNNNNNNNNNNNNNNNNNNNNNNNNNNNNNNNNNNNNNNNNNNNNNNNNNNNNNNNNNNNNNNNNNNNNNNNNNNNNNNNNNNNNNNNNNNNNNNNNNNNNNNNNNNNNNNNNNNNNNNNNNNNNNNNNNNNNNNNNNNNNNNNNNNNNNNNNNNNNNNNNNNNNNNNNNNNNNNNNNNNNNNNNNNNNNNNNNNNNNNNNNNNNNNNNNNNNNNNNNNNNNNNNNNNNNNNNNNNNNNNNNNNNNNNNNNNNNNNNNNNNNNNNNNNNNNNNNNNNNNNNNNNNNNNNNNNNNNNNNNNNNNNNNNNNNNNNNNNNNNNNNNNNNNNNNNNNNNNNNNNNNNNNNNNNNNNNNNNNNNNNNNNNNNNNNNNNNNNNNNNNNNNNNNNNNNNNNNNNNNNNNNNNNNNNNNNNNNNNNNNNNNNNNNNNNNNNNNNNNNNNNNNNNNNNNNNNNNNNNNNNNNNNNNNNNNNNNNNNNNNNNNNNNNNNNNNNNNNNNNNNNNNNNNNNNNNNNNNNNNNNNNNNNNNNNNNNNNNNNNNNNNNNNNNNNNNNNNNNNNNNNNNNNNNNNNNNNNNNNNNNNNNNNNNNNNNNNNNUAGAAAAGAAUGUUUGUGGGUAGAAAUUAAUGGUACCAAAGAAUCAGUCAUAAACUCUUUUGGUGACAAAGUCCAUCACUUAGGGUUAAAGUUUGAAGAAGGCGCUUCAUUUCCUAUGUCCAUUCAUGGACUUAAUAGAUUGCGUACCCUCUUAAUUUAUGACCAAAGUCCUUACAAUCCGUCUCUUAGUAGUAGCAUCCUUCCGGAGUUAUUUAAUAAAUUGGCGUGUUUAAGGGCAUUAGUUAUAAGGCAAUCGUACUUAUUAUUUUUGUAUCCUGAGGCAAAUAGGAUUAGAGAAAUUCCAGAAAAUGUCAGAAAAUUGAUACAUUUAAAAUAUCUUAAUUUGUCUGAAUUACACAUAGAGAGACUGCCUGAGACUUUGUGUGAAUUAUAUAAUUUACAAAAGCUAGAUAUUAGGCGGUGCCCAAAUCUUAGGGAAUUACCUGCGGGGAUUGGGAAGUUAAUGAACAUGAGGAGUUUACUGAAUGCUGAAACUCGUUCGUUGAAGUACAUGCCAAUAGGGAUUUCCAAAUUAACCAGUCUUCGAACAUUAGAAAAGUUUGUUGUGGGUGGAGGUGUUGAUGGUGGCAGCACGUGUAGGCUUGAAUCUCUGAAAAAUCUUCAACUCCUUCGUGAAUGUAGAGUAAAAGGGCUGAGUAAUGUAUCGCAUGUAGAUGAGGCUGAGAGGUUACAACUUUACAAUAAGAAAAACCUCCUUCGUUUGGGUCUUCAGUUUGGUAGAGUCGUAGAUGGGGAAGGCGAAGAAGGGAGGAGGAAGAAUGAGAAAGAUGAACAACUUCUUGAAGCCUUACAACCGCCUUUGAAUGUAGAGGAAUUAGAGAUUGAAUCCUACCGAGGCAACAUUUUUCCCAAAUGGUUGAAUUCACUAACCAAUCUAAGGAAUUUAUAUCUUUCCUCGUGUUUUAACUGUGAGCAUUUGCCUCCUUUGGGAAAAUUACCUCUGGAAAAACUCGAAAUCAUCCACUUGAAAAGUGUAAAAAGAGUGGGUAAUGAGUUUUUGGGAAUAAAAGAAAGCAGUGAGGAUGAGCCGUCUUCAUCUUCAUCAUCAUCAUCAGUUACUGCCUUCACCAAAUUGAAAUCUCUCAAUAUUUGGGACAUGGAAGAAUUGGAAGAGUGGAAUUACAGGAUUACGAGGAAGGAAAACAUCUCCAUCAUGCCCCGUCUUUCUUCCUUAACAGUUGGUUCUUGCAACAAAUUAAAGGCGCUGCCGGAUUACCUUCUUCAAACGACGGCACUACAGAAACUGAAUAUUAAUUGUUGUGAAAAUUUGGAAGAACUGCCCAUUCUAGAAGAUCACAGGACAACAAGUGUAGUCUGUUCCUUGAUGAUUUUGGAUUGCCCCAAAAUAAAGGUGCUGCCGGAUUACCUCCUUCGAACGACGACACUGCAGGAAUUGACAAUUGUGGGAUGUCCUCUUCUACAAGAACAUUAUAGAGAAGACUGGCAUAAGAUAUCUCACAUUCCCCACAUCAUGGUGCCGGUAAUUUCUCCUCCUCCGAUUUACUUCGUUGUUGCUUGCAAUAAAAUGAAUAAAAAUAAUUAUAUCUUUAAUUCUAUAUAGAAUCAAUCAUGGUAUAAAUAUGUAAAACUUCCUAGUUAUCAAAUCUGUUAAACUUGUUUCCUAAAGAUUAAAUAAAAAAAAAAACAAGUGUAGUCUGUUUAAAUUCGAUAAUUACUUUUAAAAAAAUAUGUGCUCUUUUGUAAAAUUUCAUGCAAUCUCAUAGAAAAUCCCAAUGCAAUUUAGUUUUUAAUGUACAAAAAUUUGUUAUGUGUAACUUCCUGAGAAACAAAAUCUCUGUGAUACAUUUGCAGUAAUGUUGAAAACUAAAUUAUCAAUUUUGCCUUGCAUACUGAUAAUCGUAUUUUUUUAUAUAUAAUUUAUGUGACAAUAAUUCGUUAAAGUAAUUGUGUAAUUGUUUUUAGUAGUACAUUAGCCCACUUUGUUUUAUUUCAUACGAGUUUAAUUAUGUUCAUCAGGGACUCGAGGAAAUGUCAGAACUACACUAGCAAUUCACAUCGUCAUCAUCGUCAUCAUCGGUUACUGCCUUCCCCAAGUUGAAAGCACUCAAAAUUAAUUAUUUGGAUGAACUGGAAGAGUGGAAUUACAGGAUUAGGAGGAAGGAAAACAUCUCCAUCAUGCCACGUCUUUCUUCCUUGUGGAUUCGGUAUUGCCCCAAACUAAAGGUGCUGCCGGAUUACCUUCUUCAAUUGACGACACUGCAGAAAUUAAGGAUUGAGCUAUGUCCUCUUCUGGAAAACCGUUAUAGGGAGGCGAAAGGAGAAGAUUGGCAUAAGAUAUCUCACAUUCCCCACAUCGAGAUAUCACCCGACGGUAAUUUCUUCUCCUCCUCUGAUUUACUCUGUUGUUGCUUGCAAUGAAAUUAAUAAAAAUAAUUAUAUUAUGAAUUAAAAUUCUGUAUAUUGCCAAUGUGUGACAGGAAUAUAUUAUAUAUUUCUAAUAUUUUGAUUUGCAUAUUGAAUUUAACUAUUUACUUCAGCCAUUAAUUUGCCAAUAAUUUAAUGGGUCACUCUAUGAUGCUGUUAUAAAAAUUAUAAAACCAAUCAUGGUAUAAAUAUGUACGGUUUGAUUUAAUCAAUAGUUCAUAAAUUUAAAAGUUAGUUAGGAUAAUAUUUUAAUUUUAUUUAUUUAAAAUUUAAACUUCUUAGUUAUCAAAUCUGUUAAACUAAUUUUCUAAAGAUUAAAUUAUUAAAAAAACUGUAAUCUGUUGAAAUUCCUAUAUUUUCUUUUAAAAAAUAAGUAGACUUUUAUAAAAUUUCAUACAACAUCAUGGAAAAUCCUAAUGUAAUUUAUUUUUUAAUGUACCAAAAUUUAUCAUGUGUAACUUCCUGAGAGACAAAAUCUCUGUGAUACAUUUGCGGUAACGUUGAAAACUAAAUUAUCAAUUUUAUCUUGUAUAAUGAUAAUCGUAUUUUUUUGUAUAUAAUUUAUGUGACAUUAAUUCUUUAAAGUAAUUGUGUAAUUUUUUUAGUAGUACAUGAGCCCACUUUGUUUUAUUUCAUACGAGUUUAAUUAUGUUCACCAGGGAUUCGAGGAAAUGUCCGGUCCAAUCUAAUUUCGUUUUAAUGAUGCAGGCAGGAGAGUAUGCUAAGAAAAUGAAAAGUUUAGCCAAAGGAUUGCUAAAAUGUUCUACAGGUAAUUCACUUGAUUUAUUUUAUAGAAUUUCAUUUCCAUCUUCUUCUAUUGAUAUCUUGUUGUGAAUAUACAAGAACAAAGAAGUAAAGAUAUAUCAAAAUUUACUAUUACGAUGAUGCUAAGGCAAGCUCAAGCUCAAGCAUUGCAUUUUAUAUUUUAUUUAGUUAAUAUAAUUUUCAUUUCCACCUGCAUUUCAUUUUUUGGUUGACUUUGAAGACUCUAUGGAGAACAUUGGGGUAACCAAGGAUUAUCACUGUGGUUAUUGUGCAACGUUUGGUUGCUGGACUUUGAAGAAGGAAGUGAUGGCCGGGUCUGCUCUGUUUCAAUUGAGGAUGGGUAGCUGCCUGAAAGACAUGAUGAUUAUUAUUGCGUGAUGUUAAGGUGCUGAGAUCAUCAUUGCUAUCUUGUUUCAUUCUUGGAAUCAUUUAUCCUGUAUAAACAUUUGUUUUAACAAAUGUUUCAAUGCCUGCUGUAGUAACAAUUUCAUAUCUUGCAUCUCUCGGGUGCAUCGUGAUCACGGGUUUGAGAAAGCAUUUGUGGUAAAGCUUCAAAGCUUGUACAAUGGCUGUGAAAAGGCACAUUCAAUUCGGUACGUUUGGUGCGGUCUCCUAAUGCUACUACCAUAUUUUGUAUAGCAAUUAAAAUUCAGGUAUACAAUCUUAAUAUGCAAUAAAUCAUUGAGUACAAAGUUAUCUAUUAAUUAUAUGGUAACUGAAAUUUUCAUUAUAAUUUUAAUUACAUAUUAAUAUUAAAAUUUUUUGUAACCCUCUUUUACUUUGCUUGUACAGAGUACCUGUUUUGGCUGAUAUGUCUAAUUCGUAGAAAUUCAUUUCCAUCGGUUUCCAUUGGUUUUAGCACAAACAGAAACAGAAAUCUGGGAAAAAGUUUUACUUCUUCUGGUAUUAUGCCUUUAUUUAUUCAUUCAUCAUAUUUGUUCGAAUUCAUGCUCUCAUUCAGAGAGCAGCCUUUUCCAGGCUACUUUGUAGCCAAAUUUUCAUGCCAUCGAUGCAUGAUUGUCAUUUAGAUUUUCCAAAUAAUUGUUAGAUUGAAGAAGAAUAAGAAGAUAUUGUUAAAAGGGUAUUUAAUUAGCACCCUCUGAAUUUAGUUGCCAAUAAUGCAUUGAAAUGGUUGGGGAAAGUUAUUGUCUCAAUUAAAUUACAGGUGACAAGAUGCUGCUCCAAUUUUGCAAGCAUCUCGUGUUUCGAGAUUUUGCCCACAUGAGAUGCUAUGAUUUUUGACAUCAGGGUAACAAAGGUCAAAUUUUAGCAUCAAUAGAUAUCAUCUUCUUUACUGUUCUGCUCGAAAUAUUAAACUUUAGGCAAGUUGUUUUUGUUUGUGUGAGUUAUCAGGUUAAGGAUACUAAGCAGCUUAUUAAGGCAAAUGUCAGAAUGAAGAUUUUUCACCGCACCUGGUAUGAAUGAUGGCGAGGAAGAUUAAUUGUUCACAAGCCAAUUUGAUCAGUGUUAGAUUCUUUUGCCUCCCUUCGAGAGAUAUCAUCAUCAAAUUUGAGAAGAGAGUUUUGUUUUGACAUUUCACUGUAGUGAAUUUUGGGAGCUUGAACCCACUUCAGUGAAAUAUUAGGGAAUACUGGGGAUAUGGGUUAUGAGUGAUCGUUAUCCUUCAAAUAUUUGUAAGCUCUCACUUGUUAGUAAAAUCAUCUUCGUAUAUUGACUUUGUUUCUUUGUUGUCAGGCCGAGUGUGAUCUUCAAGGUUUGAGAAAGUCUUCGCAGUAAAAUUUCCACCACGUGCAAUUGCUGUGAAGGGGCAUAUACAUUUGAGUAAUUCAGUUUCAGAUUUUCAAGGCGCGUUUGUUUAAUUAGUUUCGAUUAUAAUAUUUAGUCACUCAUUCUGAAUCUUUUCUAAUUUUCAAGUUCUUUAGGGCCGCCGACAGUUUUUUAAGUCUACAUGUGGUUGCAAAAAGAUUGAUGGUCAUCAAAUUAUCUUGAGCCUUGAGGCAUUGCGUUCGAGCACAAAAGGAAACAGAACUAAGGGAAAUGAAGACAGUAGGAGAUGCUCUGAAUAUAACAAAAGUAUAUUUCUACUUCUUGUGGUUAUUUUAAUUUUGUUUCUCCUGUCAUCAUAUUUAAUUAAUUCGUUUGAAUUCACACUCUCACACAUUAUUUAAAACCAUCUGCAGGUGGUUUGCAAGCUAGCUAAGUUAAUCCAAAAACAAUACUCUAGACAAAGAUGAGCAAAUUGAAGGCGACAAAUGCAAAUUGGAUUUCCAUGAAUAAUUGUUAGGCUGGUGGAGAUAUUCUUAAAAGGGCAUUAAGCUAUCUUAUGGAAUUGGAAAGUUAUUAUUGCUUGAAAGCAAGCAGCAUCUUCGUUGCGAAGGCUUUCCCCACCUGAUAAAAUGCUGAGAUUGUUACCGGCCCCUUAAUUAUUUAUUAACUCAGGUAUUUAUUAUCAAUACAUCAUCUUAUUCACCAUUUUGGCUAUAUAUAAAGAUUAAAAUUUCUAACAGUUGUUUCGGAUUCUUGUGUACUCAGGUUAAUAGGGCAAAUAUCAGAAUGAAGAUUGCUCAGUGCAACCGAUAGAGCAAGGAUGAUAGUUGUGAGAAAGAUUGUUGGCAAGACAAAUAGAGUCCUCCAUUUGGAGAAAUAUCAUCCUCAAAUUUGAAUUGUCGAGCAUGUGAGGUGAAGCUAAAGCCUUAAUAAUGAGACCUUCCUGUGGAAGUUUCAUUUGAAUGAAUUGAACGUUCUUAGUGAGUGAGAAAUUAAGUAUAUAUCAGCGAUUUUGGUCGUCUGUGAAUGUUUCCCUUCAAUAUUAAUACACUGGCAUUUCUUAGUAAAUUCGCUUCACGUCACUUCCUCCUUGUUGGUGGGACUAGUAAACAAAUGUCAUUUCUUAGUACAUUUUGAGAAUUUUGAUUCCCAAAUAAGCCUGCAGAACGGUGUAUGGUGGGAUUAGCUGCAGGAUUCUUUGCCAAAAUUCCUUUUUAUUCCUUUGUUCACUUAUUCGUUAUAAAUAAAGUAAAAUUAGAAUAUUGUUCCGUUUACUGUCUAAGCUGGUCUAACAUUUGUUUAAUUUGGGCAAUUUUUAAUGCCUAACAGGUUAUCUGUGACAAACCCAUCGGUCACUAACAAUUUUGAAGUUAUUGGAGUAGCACGGCUUUGAGGUCUCUCCCUCCCUCUUUUACGUAUUUGUCUAUCGAUCGACAUGUCUAUAUAUACAUUGAUAGACCAACUUACUCUUGUUUUAAUGUUUUGUUUGUUAAACUUGACUGGGGAAUGUUUAUUUGUCUCAUAUGAUGUCAAUGUGGUUCCAAUUGAAGUGUAUAGAUCUGUCACCUCAAAGUCUGAUUUCAAUUUUCCUUUACUUCAUCAACUAGCAUCCUUUCCAAGUCCAGAUACUUACCAAUAGUGAGACUUUGCUACGGAAGUACAAUUUCUCUUGUUUUACAGUUAAUUAUGUAAGAAUAGUUUUAAAUUUACAGAAUUUUGAAAUAGCUCUCUUAAGGAAAUGCGAGUGGUGAAUAUGGUUCCAACUUUUAAUAGGCUUAAUAGGCCCAUUUGUUAAGCCACAGUGAUUGCGGUCUAAAUUCUUCUUUACUGUCUAUAUGUGUUGGAGUUUGUCUAUUGUCCAACUUCUCAAAUCGAUUCCAUGCAGGGUUUUGAAUGUCUAAUUAGGAGAAAGAUUAACGGAUGACCUUUUGAAGAAGGCUUACACAACAGGCCAUCUCAGGAUGUCAUGGCUCAGCUCAAAAGUCCCCAGGUGGUUAAUGACAAUGUGCCAUUGUUUCUGGGCUUGGUCUCCUUGGCAUCAAACAAGAUAAUGUUGACUCUAUUAAAGGGGAAAUAAGGGCGACUAAAGCGCGAAGAAAGAGGAUAGUCCGGAGGAAGGUGACUGCAUAAAUUUGUUGGAGUUAAUGUAGUCAAUUGCCUAAUUUUGCUGCCUGUCGAAGAGACACAUCAUGGAAGUCCUCAUCAAACUCUGAGACACCUAAGAAAUAGUAUGAGGUGGUGGUAUUCCCCUGGUGUUAAUUUCCUGGCAAGUGUGGUUCACAGAUAGAGGGAUUCUUUUCUUGAUGUCUAAAUACCGUAUGUGAUACAACGUCGUAUAUUCUAAUUUUCCUUGAGUUAAAUUCUAGUCAGUUAGGAAAGUUAAUUUUGUUUUCGCUAUGGAUUGUUUCCUAGAUAAAAAUAGUUUCCAUGUUUCUUUGGGGUCUUAUUAACUCUCUGUAACCCAGUUCAAGUUUGCAAAUUCUAUUUCAGAUUUCUCAUAUAGUGUGCCUUUGUCACUUCUGUGAUACACUUUUGAUCACAAGUUUCCAUUUGAAGUAACCAAUAUUCUUUAUAGACUAAUUAUCUAAGGAUUAUUUUAUACAAAAAAUCAAAACUUUAAUUAAUUGAUCAUACUUAACUUGGCUUUUGUUUGAUAUUACUAGCUGUUGUGAGAACCAAAAAAAUAGCAGAAAGUUGACAAUGUGCAGUAAAUGUAUGACUUUUAAAUAAUAAUUUAAUAAAAUUAAUAAAGAUAUUAUAAAUUUUUUAAUAAUAAAGUAUGAGAUCAAAUCAAAUUAAUUUUUAAGUCAAAAUUGUUUAAUUAUGUAGUUUAAAAGUAUAGUAUCCAACCUCAACACAAUAGAGAGAUUUCUAUUUACCAAACUCUACCCAACUUUGGUUGUACUGACUCGAUCAUGCAAGUCCAUACUCGACGCGUUGACCAUACAAGAUGUUACUCAACUUUAACAAAUCUUACUCAAACUUUGCACGUUUAGCAUGCCGAAUGGAAUAUGAUAGUAGAUGAUGUGAUAGAUAUUAUAGGAAUAGUCGUAACAAAAUUAUAUUUAGUACUUUUUUAUAUUUUAUGUGAUGAACAGAUGUAGUAUAUGAAUGGAUUAUAUUACAAAUUUUAGUGUUAUCAUAAUUAAAAAAUUGAAUUAUUUUUUAUUAUUGAAAAACUGUAAUAUGUUAAAUAACAGUUAUUUUUAUUAAUUUUUUUUAAUGAAUUAUACUUUUAAAUUAUAAUCGAAAAUUCUUAUUACUGAACUAAUAAAAAAUUAAUUAGCUCAAGAGAUAAAUUCACUUAGUGUAGAACGAAAUGGUGUGUUAUUUUUAUGUGGGAUCCACAUCCUUUCCACAUCAACCUCAACAUCCAAACAUGAAAUUGGACUAAAAAUAGUUCUUUCCCAUGUAUUUACGUAACCUCCUCCCACUAAACGCAAAUAUUUAUUCUUGAUUUUACUAACAUAAUUUUCUCCCAUUUCCAUAUUGUCCGCGUUGAGUGCAUGUAAUCCACAAGUUUAAUUAAUUUUUUUUUUUUUGAGAGAGGUAUGUUAAAAUGAAUAUAUCACAUUUUUUUCUUUUUUCCUUUUUUUUGCGUGAGUGAUGGCUUCGUUGAAUGACAGUUGGCUGAUAAUAAGUUAUCUUUUAAUUUUGUUUUUGAUUUAAUAGAAACUAUUAAUUUUUGUAGUUUCGGUAGAUGAAAUUUCGAAUCAAAUAUUAAUAUUGUUAAAGUACGCAACCCAAUAUUUACUUAAAUUACAAAAAAGAUUAAUUGCUUUGCAUAAAAAAGAAGUGAUCACUUGAUUUAACUUCCUUUACUAAAUUUACGAUUUAAAAUCCAAAAUAAAAAAAAGAGUUUAUUAUUGAUUAUCUUUUUCCCAAAUUUAAGCUAAGACAGUAAUAUGUCCAAAAUACCCUCCACGUUAUCCUAAAACUUUAUGAAUUCCCCCGUUCCUCUCAACAUCAUCUCUUCCAAAUCUUUCUUCCCCAAAAAACCAGCCAUGGCUUCAUAUUUAGUUACCUCAACACUCCAAUAUUGGCUUGUAAACAGCAGCGGUUCAACCUCUAGGCAACUUAGGUGGUUGCAUAGGACUCCGCUUUAUAUGAAAGCCCUACAAGAUGAUUAUUUUGUAUAUAAAAGAGGAAAAUGAAUUUAAAAGUCAUUAUUAUUCAUUUAAUUUAUUAUUAUUUUGUAAUUAUCUUUUUCUAAAUAAACUAUCAAAUUCUUAUCAAGUUUAUUUAAUGUAGUACUUAAUUGUUUUAAUUUCUACAAAACCAAUAAAUUAAUAGUUUCAAUCCUAAAAAUUCUCUAUUUCAUUGUUAGAAUUAAUAAGUUAUAUUUCAAAAGUUUUAUAUUUAUUUUAAACCUCUAUAAAAACCCCACAUUUUAUUACUUAUCCAUUAAAUUUUUCGUUCAACAAUCAAGACAUCUUGGUGUUUGAGAGAAAGAAAGAGAGAGGGAAAAAAAUCUUGCUUCCUCUACUUUCUACUCUAGAAGAAAAAGAAAAAAUCAAAUAUUUUUCUCUAUUUUCUAUGACUAUUGGUUGCUACUCAAAUUUUCAAACAACAGCCUUAAUAUAAACAUAAGUUAAUUUAUGAUUUCAUCUCAAAUUUCUGAUUUUAUCUUUUUAUUAUUCUCUUAAUUAAUUGUGUUGUUAUUUGUUCUUAUUUCUUUUUAUAUAUUCUUUUCUUCAUCUACUUUUUUUGUGCUUGUUUUAUCUAUUUUGAAAUAAAACUAUAUCAAAAAAUUUUAGACAAUAGGAGAAUAAAAAAAUUAGAUUAAUUUAAAAAAAUAGUAAAAAAGAUAUAAUUUAACUUAAAAAAAAGUGAAAAUGUUAUAAUUGAAUUAAAAUUUUAUGACUUAACAACAAUAGAAUAAAUUUGUAUUUAAUAAUUUUAUAUUUUAAAGUAUUUAAAGAAUUAAUUUUUAAUAAAUAAUAUUAAUAUAUAUAUAUAUAUAUAUAUAUAUAUAUAUAAGUUACUUAUCUCUCCAUCCGCACUUACCUCUCCCUCACAUUCAUCCUCAACCACACAUCAACAUCAACAUCAACAUCACCUCUCAUUGGACCCCACAUCCUCAAGCCCAUCACAGCCGUCCAUAACCUCACCCUCCUCCUCCUCUCCCUCAUCAUGGCCGUUGUUUGCCCUCUCUCCAUCAUCCUCCAUUUACCGCACCUCCGUUACACCCUCUGUUUCCUCCUUACCAUUUCUCCGUCUGGCACGGCCUAAUUCCGACGGAAUCAACGACGGUCGUGAUGGGUUUUGGCUGCGACUAUUCGCGCUUCAAACGGCGGCGUUUCGGUUGGUUUUUGGCGACAGUGACGGUGGGAAAGUGAUGGCUGGCUCAGGAGCUUUCGUUGCUACCAUCCAUGGCCGGUGAGGUGGCCGAAAAUCGGAUAUAUGUCUGCGUCGGGUUCGCAGUUUUGGGUCGGGUUUUCCGGGUCAGUUUGACAGCUUCCUCUAUCCCUCUCCCCCAUAAAACAUUACCCAGCUUCCUCUUAUUAUUAUUUUUUUUUUCACAUACGUUACAGAACAUUAAUGAGAGAUGUUUAGUAGUAAGGACUAUUUUGAUAUUUCGAUGAGUAGUAAAAACUAAUGUUAAAAUUUUAUAGACGAAUGUAGAGUAAGAUGCUCAAAGUACUAGAACAUAUAUAAAUAAUCCCAGCUCUUAUAAAAUUUUGCCACAUAAUGAGUUUUAUCCCUUAAGCAAAACAUAUCGAUAAAGUAUACAAAAGCACAAUGCAUGAAUGAUGGUCUUACAAAGUUCGAAUAUAAAGUUUAUAAUCUAAAAUUAAUGAUGUGACAAUUAACCUAAUGGAGUAAGAAGGCCCAAAUAGAUUAUAUUUUGCUAAAGAAGUAAAUUCUACCAAGAAUACCUCUUUCUAUUGAAUUUAAAUGAUGAUUAUUUGUUUAUAUCAUAAAAACUAAAAUAACUGUGUGAGUAAUUUGAUUCUUUUACAGUAUAAAAAUAAAUUCAGAAAAUGUUAGGGCAUGUUCUGUGUUUUAUUUUUAAAUUUAUAUUAUGAGAAUGAAAAUGGUGUUUUCAAGUUGAUAAAUUUUCAAUUGAAAUAUGUGUUUGUUAUUAUUUCAUUUAUCCUAUAUUUUCAAAAUGAAAAUAACCGAUAGAUAAAGUUAAAAAUGAUAAAAUAAUGGAUAUAUUAAGCAAUUUUACUACAUGCAAAUUAUUUUCUGUGUUUAAAGUUCAUAUAAAGCUUGUUUAUUUUUCAACAUACCAACUUACAACAAUAAUAAUAAAAUUUUUGUGAUAUCCAAUAUUAACUUUUUAAAGUAAUUAUUUUUUGUUAAUGUGUCCGCUGUUCAAUCGAUCUUCCUACUUUCUAUGCUUGAGAUUAGAUCAUUUGCUUCAAAGAUUCGAACUGGACUUAUAGUAGGAAAAAGAAUUUUCUUCAAUAUGAACUCUAAUUCUCUUUUAUAUAUAUAUAUAAAAAAAUCUAAUUCUCCUUUCAACAUUUUAACAUUUUGAUGAAAUAAAAAAUUAUUGGCGAAAGAUUACAUGCUUCCUUACUUUAGAGAACCAAAUACUCAGAUAGGUAGUGUAAAUCUCUACUGAUCGUUGGUGAUUUUAUCAAAAUAAAAUUCAAUAAAAUGUAUAAGAACACUUAAAUCCGUCCAAAAAAAAAAAUGACCCAGCAAAUAAAGAAAAGUACUGUGAAGUAAAAAUUGAACAAACCUAGAAAGAAGAGAAGAAGAAGAAUGGAAGAAGGAGAUUCGGUUCAUAAAUCAUGGAGGGAGAUGAGACUUAAGAGAUAGGGUUAGUGAGACAGACGAGGUCCUAGAGUCUUAAAGAUGAAGACUAUCUAUUAUUAGUUACUUAUUAUAAUGAUGUUUAUUAUUAUAAUUUAUUUUACAAUUUUUUUUUAUGAAACAAGUAAAACAUGUUUAAGUUGUUUUGUAAUUUAUAACUGUUAGAGGCAAGUCAGAUUCUGUGUUUUACAAUUAAAUUUUAUGAGGACUACUGAACGCUUAUUUUACUUAGAUUUAUAAAACGAAAAUGAGAAUGGCCAGUAAAAAACAAUACCGAAUGCCCACUUACUUCAUCUCAUACUCUUAGGUCACAAAAAUAGCAAUAACUCUAACAAAUUUAUUAUUGAAUGUGAAUGGUUAUAUAUCGAUCAUUUGAUACGUAUUUUUCAAGACAGAACCUCAAUUCAAUGGACAAAAGCUCCUCUUAAUUUUUCUUUUCUAUUUAAAUAAAAGAACAAAAGAAAUUGAUUACAGAGCCAUUACUUUUCCAAGAAUUAAUAAACGAAAAGGCCCAUAAUUUUUGUAAACCCACCCCACUCUCAAGAAAUAAUUACAAUAAGUUCAAAUUAUUUUUUAAAAAUUGAAAUAAAGAAGAUGUAAUUACAAUAAUUUGGAGAUUGAAUCAAAUAAAAUAAAAGGGUUAUUUUUACAUACCUCCCCUGAGGUUUCACCUAAUAUCAGUUUAAUAGAAAGUAUCUCCGUAUUUUUACAUCCCUCCCCUACAGUUAGUAUAAAGUUAUGUAUAUCAUCAGUACACAAGGCUAAAAUCGUAAAAGCUCAUUUAAAAUUCGUUUUAAUCGUAUCAAGUGGCAUCGUAAUCAAAGCCAAUAAACCACCAGCCAUGGCUGCACUCACUCCCUGAAACGCCAUCACAGUUUUUGAAUCCGGCCUAAUCAUCAUCAUAUCACCCUCACGGUCACCAUAUUUCCUGCGCAAGAAACACCCAACUCCACCCCAAACAAGCCUUUGAGCAACGGAAUAAGACGCCCACCAAACUGCAUUUGAUGGUGCAUUUGUCAAGAUUGAAAUCCCGGAGCCCAUAUACAAUCCUCUAACCCCAUCAUUUCUAACAAUCUUCCUAAACAUAUCAACCCCAUUUACGUAUCUAGCAUCGGCCCCAUUAGCCACCAUAAGCCUCUGAGUCAAAACAUCAACUGGGGUCCAGACAAGCUGAGCAGCCAUGGCAGCACUCAAUCCACCAACAGCACUAGCGACCGCCGCCGCCGCAGUAAACCCUAAGUCACUAACAGCAAAGCUGCCAACUUUAGUUAAAUAAAAUUAAUUUAUUUGCUUUGAUUACGAUUAACAGAUGCAUAUCUUUGUGAAAACUUUGACCGGCAAGACCAUCACUCUCGAGGUGGAGAGCUCCGACACGAUCGACAAUGUCAAGGCUAAGAUCCAGGACAAGGAAGGGAUUCCACCGGACCAGCAGCGGCUGAUCUUCGCCGGAAAGCUCAUCUUUUAAUAAACUUUAGGAAAAGACCCCAUCACCAUCAUCGUGACCAUCUGCUUCCCUCCUUGUUUGUUGUUCCUUCAUUUUCUUUUUAUUUCUUCUUCGUGGAAUCGGUCUUAUUUUCUUCUUCUCUCACUAUUGUAGGUUGUUGUUGGCAGAGGGACGAAUUGUGUUUAUUUGCUUUUAGAAUUGGCUAAUUUAAUUGAUAUAAAUUGUUUUGGUUGUGCCGCGGACAUAAAUUGAAGUUUAGUCGACGGUGCUUUCAUAGCAACAUUUGGUGCUGUUAUUAUGGAUACCAAGCUAAAGUAAGAUGACGUUGGACAUGUUAUGAGGUUUAGUUUUUUUGAAUUGAUUUUUUAUUUGAAUUUUUGGGGAAAAAUAUCAAAAAUGGAAAGCUUGAUUUUAAGAAAACAAGGAUGUGGUUUUGUUGGCGAGGUGGUACAGGGGAUUUUAGUUUUUGUUGGAUGAAAGAAGACUGUCAACCUUGAAAGGGUAUUUUCAUCCUCUUGUUAGUCCACUAACGGUCAACUGACGGAAAUACUAACUGCAGGGGAGGGAUGUAAAAAUACGGAGAUACUUUCUAUUAAACUGAUAUUAGGUGAAACCUCAGGGGAGGUAUGUAAAAAUAACCCUAAAAUAAAAUACCCAAACUAUUAUAUACAAGAACUCUUGAUUUUUGGGGUAUUUUAGUCAUUUUAUAUUAUCAUGGUAAAUUAGUCAAAUAAAACUUAUCUUAAAGCAACCUAAACGGUCAAAGACACCUAAGUUAAAAAAAAAAUUAUACGAAUGAUUUAAUUUAUUGAUUGUCUAUACGUUUUAUUGAUUUAUAUAUUUUAAAAAUAGUAUGAACGUAUUACAAUUAUUUUCUGACAGCAAGGUAGAUUUGUAAAAUAAGUGGGUAGAAAAUAUCCCCGUCCUCAAACAAAUAAAUGAAUUAUCGGUGAUGCAUGCUUUUUUCCAACUUUUUUUUUUUUUCUUUUGGUUUUUUGUUUUUGUUUUAAAUGGCACUGGCCCGACCACUACAAAUUAAUUAGAGAAUAUUUACAAUUAUGUAUCACAGCUGUGGAGUAGAAUUGGGGAAAUUAAAAAUGCUAAAAUUAUUGACACGUAGGGUGGGCGACAAUAACCACAAACAUUUUUCGUGUAGUGUAAGAAGAAUGCAACAACUCGUUUCUUUCAGUAUUUUCGCAACAAAAGCACGUUGAACAACUUAUGAAAUUAUUUCUCUUUUUCUUUGCCAGAAUGGAUGUGAUCGCUUCCCCUCUCCCGGAGCAGCUGAACUCCUUUGCUGCUUGUGACUUACCAUAAAUCUUCAAGCCAUUCAAGCUGUGCUUGAAGAUGCAGAGAAGGCAAGUUGAUAUAAGAUUGUUGCAUGGAAUAAGCAGGGCAUCUUCCGAGGCUAGAAGUUGGGCUACGAGUAUUCGUUUUGGACAUAUAAUAUAGUUUCCAAGCUUGCGAUGAGUCGAACCAAAUGCAGAACAACCUAGGCUGUUAUGCUCUGCGAUUGAACUAAAAAUUUCACUUCUUUUAUAGUCGUUUUUUAGUUUUAAGAUAUUUUUCUAUUUUUCUUGAUUCUUCUAGGAUUUUUAUCAUUUUUUCUAGAUGUUGGAUUUAAGUGCCAUCUGUUUUCUUUCUCUUAUUUAGAUUCGAAGAAUUUUAUUAUCAUAUAAUAUUUUGAAUUUGCUUAGUUUGUUAAAUUUGCUAUAUUUAGGCUCCUAUAAAUGGGAUUAAAAACCCUAAUUUUGUUCAUUCAAAUUAUUCUCAAUAAAACUUAUUAUUCAAAUACUAGUUUAUAUUAUCUAAUAGCUUUUUAGUGUUUCUGCAUCAUCAGCUGGUAUCAGAGCAAGUUCACUUGUCAUCAUGGUGCGACCACACAAUCAAAGGAGCAACCAUCCCGGAGACGAUGUUCAAAUAUUAGGUUAUCUCUUGUAAGCCAUAUUCAUAAAUGUAUUGAAGGAAAGAUACUUUUUUCUUGUCUUAAAUGAUGUGUGGGAUGGACGUUACAAUUAAUGGGAACCAUUCUUUUGUUGUUUAAAGAAUAGUCUCUACGAUAGUCAAAUUUUGAUUACUACACGUAAUCAGUUAGUAGCAAGCAUGAUGAGAUCAACAAAUCUUACCUUUCUUAAGGAAUUAAUUGAAGAAGAAUGUUGGUCAUUGUUUAAGCAGGUAGCAUUUUUGGGUCAAUUCUUCAAGGAUCGUGAUCAAUCGAUCAAAAAAUUGCAUUUAAGUGCAAAGGCUUGCCUUUUGUUGCAAAGAUAAUAGGGAAAUUCUUACACUAUAAAUGACCAAUAGAAGAAUAGAAAAUAAUUUUAGAUAGUGGAAUGUGGAAGGUAGAAGAGUUUGGGAAAGGUCUUCUGGCUCCUUUGUCGUUAAGUUAUAAUGAUUUGUCGUCCAUAGUAAAACAAUAUUUCUCACAUUGUGCUAUCUUUUCAAAAGGUUACAAUAUGUGUAAAGAGGAACUAAUUACACUAUGGAUGGCUCAAAAUUACCUUAAAUGUAGAAAAAGGAAGAGAUGGAGAUCCAAUCCAAUCUGAUAGUAGUAGAUUAUUUUAAUUUUUAUUAAUUUGAUUUCAUAGGAGUAGUUUUCAUUGUUUUGUUGAAAGUUGGUAAAAAAAAAACUGAAAUGAGAUGAUUACUUUAAAACAAUCUUCAAGAACUAAAAUAAUUAAAAAAACUCAAAAUAAACAAAAAGGCUUAAAAAUAACCGUAAUCCGAACAUUGUUUGAAUCCAUCCUAACUAGCCCGAAUAUGAUUUUAACCCAAACCCAACCUAACUCGCUUAUAAUUAUAACCCAAUGCGAUCCAAAUUCAACUUGAAUAUUUGAUCCGAUCUAAUCCAAUUUGAAUAUUUUAACCCUAUCAACCAGAAACCCAAUUAGGUUGAUCUGAACCCACGUUUGUCCACUCCCAGAGGGGAUCAUGACCCCACAAGCUUUGAAAGUUUUUUGGAAUUUCUAAGUGAAUAUUAAAAAUUAUGUAUAAAAAGACUGAUUUGACCCCUAAACACUUGAUAUAGAAACUUUAUACAUACAAUAGAAAUUUAAUUUUAUAUUUUGUGAAAUAAAGUCAAAGUAACUGAAUUUUUUUUUAUUUUGUUAAUUAUUUUUCUACUAUGACAAAAUGACAAAUAGCCUUGUGCCUAGCUCUUUGACUUUUAUUUUGCUAAUUAUUUUUUUCAUUUCUCUUGCAACAGUAACUUCAAUUAUCAAUCAAAGUCGCCAAAUCAAAAUCUCUGCAGCCUGCAGCUACAAGCAAACUUCUCAAAUUUCGAAAUUCCUUAUGACUACAUAAUAGCUAUAAAUAGAAAAAGCGUCUAAAAUAACUAUGUUUUUCUAAGUUUGAGCUUGAACCCCCUGAAGAUUUACUCCAUACGUAACAAAAUAUUAGUUUUGCUAGUAAAAUUGCUAACUAUGUUUUUCUUUGUAUUUCCGCUCAAGGAUAAAGAAAUUUCCCUAGACUUUUGUGGUGAAUAUCUUACGAACAUAUGACAAUUUAAUCUUUGGCUGAGACUUGUUUAACAUAAGAGAUGACACUUUAAAGCAAUAGGAGAGAGAGAUAAUAAGCUUUGUUCCCCAAAAAAAUCUAUCAGAUAUAUUAUGCCCCCGGUUGCUAUUUCUAAAAAUAGUCAUAAUUACUAAAAAAUAAGUAAUUCUUUUUUCAUAUAUUAAAAUGGUAAACUGGUGGAUAAAAUUUAAAAUAACUUUUUAUCUGUUUUGACAUUCGAAUUUUAAGCUCGAGAAGUCAAGCAAUAAAUAAACCUUUUUGAGAGGCUAACUAAAUUCUUAGUAAUUUCAUAUAAUUUCAUUUCAUCAGAACAGUUUUAUCAAAAGCAAUUUUCUAAAUCUUUGUGGAAAGCUUUAAUCCUUAAUUAUCUUUCACAUAUUUUCUUUGUAAUAUGAGGUAAGCCAUGGACCAUAGUAUGGUAUUUAUUGUAAAUAAAAUCACUAUGAAACUGAUUUUAUUAUUAUUUUUUUCACAAACAAAGUAUCUAGCUAACUGCAGAUGUAAUGAAUUACUAAUUACCAUUAUUUGAUUCGCUCUCUAAAAUAGUGUUGUGUGUUGAUUCUGUUAUGCAUCUAGGAAUUUCAAAUGUUAUGACAUAAGUUGCAUUGGAUAUAUGUAUAUCAUAGAUUACAUUAUGAAGAAGACAAGAAAUGGAUCCAUACGUUAAAGCAAAAUUGAAAAAAAAAAAUUGCUAGGAGAUGAUUUUAUCUGAAAUUUCACCUGCACGGUAUUGGCCACAUAUAAAUUUGUGAUGAAAUUCAUAACGGAUUAAUAUAAUUGAACGAAAUUACUCUAUACAAUUUCAUAAGUAUGUAUUAUACAAUUAAAAAUCUAUUGAUAUUUUCAAUAAAAUAAUAUCUCUACUAUAAGUGAUGGGAUAUAUAUUUGUGGGGAAUGACAAAUGUAGAAAAUUGCAGUAAUAAAGGUGGAAGUGGAACUUUGUAAUAAUUAAUUAAUGUGUUUACAAUUCUGUAAGUAUAAUAAAAUAAUAGUAAUAGGUAAAUUGUAGAAAAUUAAUGUGUACUUUAAGGCACAUUACAAAUGUCUCUUUCCUAAAGAUAUUAUUUUUCCCACCAAUUCAGUGAUGCAUAUAGGCUAAACAAAUAUACCUCCGGGAUACAACGAAUCACUUAUUUGUUUGCUUGUGUUUUUCAUCGAUGAAAGCAAACUUGAAUACUUUUGAAUGUUGCAAGCUUGCCGAGAAUCAAUAUAUUAUUCCCGUAGUAAACAAUAUAUUAGAUAUUUGAUGCAUAUAGUAUAGAUGUUAUACAAUAAAAUUUGUUUCAGCAAAGAGGGUUGAGAAGAGAGUGAUGUAGUAUCAUUAUUUCCAUGUUUAAAAAUUAAUUCUAAAUUAACUACAACAUGCAAUCUUUUAAUAUUCACAUGUCCUAAAUGAAUAUGCUACAAAAAUAAUGAGUCAAUCAUGUAAGCAGAAGAAACAUUAAUUUUAUUAAUAUUGGGCUUGAACAUUCCCAAAUACAUGUAUCCUUUCCCAAUAAAGGUACCACCCUUAGACAAUGCAAAUUUGCUUUGACUCAAAUAAGGUACCACCCUAAUAUAGAUACAAGAUUUUUCCUACCUUUAGAUACAUGAUAAACAUCAAUAUGAGUUAAAGUUUUUCCACAAGUGAACUCUAGUUGCACAUUCCCUCUAAUUGUUGCAAUGGAGGAAUUUCCCAUCUAAAGAACACUUCAAUCAUCCAUUGCUUUGUAAGAUGUGAAAAGGCUACGAUUCUUGUACACAUACUUGAUUGCACCGGAAUCUAUUCACCAUGCAUUAUCAUGUUCAAGAAUAUUAAUUUAAGAUAUUAUGGCCAUAAAUUUUGUCCACAAAAUUUGUGUUCGAACACUUCUUUUCUUUCUUAAGAAGUUGAUAGUCUUUUUUAAAGUGGCUAGGCUUUUCACAUUGGUCACAUGUACACUUUUUUUUUUUUUGUUGGUUUGAUUUUAUUUGGAAUCAAAGUUUUGCUUUGACAGUCUUUUUAAAGUGGCUAGGCUUUUCACAUUGGUCACAUGUACACUUCUUUUUUUUAUUUUGUUGGUUUGAUUUUAUUUGGAAUCAAACUUUGGCUUUUGGUUAUUAAUGUGGUCAUUAGACUGCUUAAGCUUCUUCUCCUCCUCCACAACAUUAAUUUCACAGGACAUAGCAGUCUGUUCCUCAAGACUAUUAAGUCUAAGUUUCUAUUCAAUAUGAAGACUUUGCCAAGCCUUCCAGGCUAAUUUCCUCUUUGUUAUAUUUAAGACUUUUUUCAUAGUCUUUUCAAGAGGGGGGAAGUUUAUCAAUAAUUGAAGAAAUAAUAGUAAACUUAUUACUUUUCAUGUUGUGUUGGUUGAAUUGAUCAAGAAUGCAAAAAUUCUCAUUAUAUUGUUCAAUCACAAGUCUAUUAUCAAUCUUUUUAUAACUAAAAAAAAUUAGAAGUCAAGAAUUUCUUACUUGUGGUGUCUUCCAUUAGGGGUGGGCAAAAUCGGGUUCGGGUCGGGUUCGGGUCAAUCCGAUCGGGUUUCGGGUUGUUCGGGUUAGACAAAAAUUAAUCCGAACGUAACCCGAAUUAUGAACCCGACCCGAACUGACCCGAACUAAGUUCGGGUCAGGUCAAUUGUUAAAUGGAAUUGGAAUUCGUAUAUUUAAUCAAAAACUCCAAAUUAGAACCGUUAGAGAACCGAACUGAAAAAACUUGAAAAGAAUGAAUCUGGCUAUAUUUGUGAACCAGAAACAAGCCAGCGUUAUGCUUACGCCAUUUCAUUCUAUCCUGUCACCCAUAGACAAAAUGAAUCUAGAUGCAUUAUGGCUUUUCUCCUUAAACCUCAAGAGCAUUUUCGUCCUCUCAGUCAAGCGUGAAACUGCAUGUACGAACUGCUUCGCUUUCACGCACCGGUAGCUACAGCGGCAAGAGCAUUUUCGUCCUCUCAGUCAAGGGUGAAACUGCAUGUACGAACUGCUUCGCUUUCACGCACCGGUAGCUACAGCGGAAGACCCAGGCCGAGAUAAUUUAUUUCUUCCAACCACAAACUAUGUUUUGUUCACGAAUUACAAACUGUGCAGCUUGUGAUUUCUGCCGUUCUGCGUAUGUGAGUGCAGCAGCGAUAUGUGUAGUGUUAGGCUGUUAGCUUAGGUUUUUUUUUUUUUGGGAACCCGAUCAGGUAUUCGGAUCGGGUCGGGUUUGAUCCGAACCGAUCACAACCCGAUCGGGUUUGUAAAUUUCAAUCCGAUCGGGUUUCAAUCCCAACCCGAUCCGACCCGAACCCGAAAUUUAUCGGGUCGGGUCGGGUCGGAUCGGGUAAAAUGCCCACCCCUAUCUUCCAUCAUGUACUUAGACUCCAAUAAGUCCUAUAUUUCUUUUGCUGUGGAUUUUGUUGUGGUACUUAUCAAAACAAAGUACUAGACAUGGCAUUGUAAAUGUGUCCUAUGCACACGUAGACAUCUUGCUUCCACUUUUGCCACACUCGAGUUUCUCAUCCUCACGUUCUUCAGGCUUUGAUAUUGUAAGAACAUAAACAACAUUGAGGCUUGUCAACAAGAAAUGUAAUAUUUUUUGCCAACGUAUAAAAGUUGUGACCAUCAACUGCUCUAAUUUGAUAAAAUCUACCAUUGAAUUGCGGAUGAGAUGAGCACAGUGUCAUUGUUACAGAAAGAAUGUCUUAAGAAUGUUGGGAAUAUAUAUUUUUAGGGAAUGACAAACGUAAUAAUGGCAAAUGUAGAGAGUUGCAGUAAUAAUGAUUAUGCCACAAAGAUAAUGAGUCAAUCAUGUAAUAAUGGCAAACAUAGAGGGUUGCAGUAAUAAUGGUGGAAUUUUAUUCUAAUAAAAUAAUGAGUUUACUACUCUAUAGGUACAACGAAAAAAAUAGUAAUAAGUAAAUUGUAGAAAUUAAUGUGUAUUUCAAGGCACUUUACAAAUAUUACUUUCCUUAGACGUUAUUCGCCCCCACUAAUUGAGUGAUGAAUAUGGGUUAAACAAAUACGCAUCGACGAUACAAUGAAGUACUUAUUUGUUUGUUUGCAUUGUGUAUCGACGAAAGCAAACCUAAACACUCUUAAAUGUUGCAAGCUUGUCAAGAAUCAAUAUAUUAUUUGCUGAUAUAUUGUUCCCGCAGUAAACAAUAUGUUGGAUAUUUAAUGCAUAAAAUAUAGAUGUUAUAUGAUAAAAUUCGUUUUAGAAAGGAGAGUUUAGAAACGAUUGUUAUAGGAAUGUUAUGUUCAUGUCUAAAUGGCCUAAACAUGGCCUCUAUUUAUAAAUAUACUUGUGCCCUCCAUUUGGAUUGUCAUUUUUCAUGAUACCCAUUCAUUUAUGGUCAUUGGAUCAAGAUAUGAUUUUAAUCAAUUGUCUAAAUUGGUCCAUCACCAUUUCAAGUGAAAUUACAAUAUGAAAUGAUACAUUCUUAAGUGGAAAGAUACCUUUUAUAUGGGACAAUUACUUGGACAUGUUUUUAUAAUAAAACAUCAUUUAUUUUGAAAUUGUUACAGCACUAAGAUUAUUCUAGGUUAAGUUAAUCUAUUAUAUAUAACUUCAGAAGGUUCAUCGGUAGAUUGUUUUAAGUUUUUGUCGUAGUUUACAAAGAUUUUGUUACUUGUAAUGUAAGAAAUUUUAGAAAUGUUGGUGCUGAGUAAUCUGCAAAAUUAUUAUGAAUCAGAGAAACAGGGCAGAUGUUGUACAAUUAUUGUUGUGGUGGAGCGGAAAGGUAGCCCGAGAUGGUGACUGCUAUUGGGAUUUCUUUAAUUUGCAGCAUAAAAGCAUUUACAUUGACAUCGACUCAAGGGUAAAAAUUAAAUAUCUCAUGUAGCAUAAGAAGAAUGCAAAAAUGCUUGAAUGAGCAUUCUGACUCAAUACACAAAAGCUACUUUCCCUUGAGCACUUUCGCAACAAAAGCAAAUGUAAAAUUUAGCAUUUAAAUCUAACAUCAAAUGGCUGAUGCCAUCGUUUCCAUCCCUUGGGGAAACUGAAUUCCUCUACAUGAUAUUACAGUCUGGAGCGGCUCUUACCUUAGGCAACUUAGGAUAAUUUAGGCGGUUGCUCAGGACCCCACAUUUAACCUAGGACCCCAUUAUAAAUGAAGGUUUCUAAUUUAAUUCCUAAAUUAUAGUUAUUAAUUAUUGAUUUAUAUUUAUUAUUUAUAACUAUAUUUUCCAUAAACAAACUACUAGAUUCUUACAAAAUCCCCUUUUAACAUUAUAAUUAACAAUUUUAAUCCACUUAUUUCCUCCAUAUAUUUCAUUUAAAACUCUAUAAAGGCCACACCUUUUUUAAAUUAUUAUCCAUUAAUAUCUUUUUCCAAUAAAAAAAAACACAAAACCUUCAUUACUUUGGUGAAAAAACUACUUUCUCUACCUUACUUUUUGCAUAAGGAAGAAAAGAAAAUCAAUUGUUUUACUUUCUUUUGAUCAUUGUUGCUCAAAGUCUCAAUCCAUCAAAGUUAAAUUUCUCAAAUUUUCAAGUUUUAUCUUCCGAUUCUCUUAUUAAUUAAUUGUGUUAUUUAGGUGUUUUUGUUUCUUUGUAAAAAUAUUAUUCUGCUCAUAGGUUGUUUUCUUUUAAUUAUCUAGCAUAAUUGUUUGCAUGAUUACUCUUGUUUCCUUAGAAAAAAAAUGUCUACUAAAAACUAUGCAUCAUGAUACAAAAAACUUCAUAAAAGGAGAAGAAUACAAAAGUUAGCUUAAUCUAAAAACGUGCUAUUGAUAAAAAAUUAUUUAAGAUCAACCAUGUCAUAGGAAAGAUUAAAUAGGUUAACUAUAUUAUCUAUUGAGAAAGAUAUAUUAGCAAAAUUAGAAUAUAAAAAGUUGAUUAAUAAUUUUGCAUCUCAGAAAGUUAGAGAAAUUUAUUUUAAAUAAAUAAAACUUUAAUAAAAUUAAUACACAUAUUUCACCUCAAAUUUUUUGAAAGGUCUAAUUAAAUCAAUUUAUUUAAGACCUAAAAUAUGAUUGAGCCGCCUUGAAAUUGCAGUAAGAUAGAAAUGUGAAAUAGACAGAACACUUGCUCAUACGUUAAAGAUGCGACGAAUUUGAGAAUAUUUAUGUUUAUGUGCCAAAUUCCUAAUGUAUGGGAAUUUAAAAAUGUUAGUGCAGAACAUGUGUUCAUCGGUGGAGUAGAAUCAGGGAAAUUAAAGAUAAGCAUAAUUUUUGCAUCCAAUGCCAAAUUCCCCCAGGUAGAAAGUGGGGACUCCUUUGCAUAAAAGUUGAUAAAAGUUUGACUAAGAUCUUAUUAGAAAUUAAUAUAUUCUCUCUCCACAUAUUUCUGCACGAAAUAACAUGCAGAUAUAGUAUUUUAGGUUAUUGUUAAUAGUUUUACAAUAAUAAAAAUCAUUUUGUUAGAUCUUAAAAUGUACUCACACUCUAUUUUGUGCAAAAGUCUGCGAGAAAGGAUUUCAGAUUUACCUAACGGUGAAGUUGGGAACUUGCUUUUUUACCUAGGCUAAAAAUAUUUCAAUAAAUUCUGAUCGUGGAGACUAACAAGAGUUUUUUUAGUCAUAUAUAUAUUUAUUUUUUAGGGACUAAUAUGAAUAUUACUAAUUUCAUCGAGAUUAUUAAAAAAACAAUGUGCUAAUUUGCCAAUAUGAUUUCUCCAAUCUUUUUUCUUUUCGUCAUUUAUUCCUUUGUGAAUUUGAGUUAAUGCUUGAUAUUAUUUUUCUGCUCAUUUUUUAAAGUAGAAGAUUAAGAAGUCUACUGCUGUUUAGCUUGGUAGGCUAUAAAUAAAGAGGCGCAUAUAUAGAAGGCUUAGAAAUAACUCUCAUUCUCAUCAUUGCAAAAUGGCUUCUCUUCGUUUUCUCCUUGCAGCUGCUCUUGUAGUUGCAUUUGUGCUUGAGGGAUCAUAACCAGAUCAAGCUCAACUUUCUCCCUCUUUUUAUUCUUCCACAUGCCCUAAUGUAACCAACAUAAUUCGGGAGGUGCUUCAGAAUGCUUUCUUGUCCGAUAUUCGCAUCGGUGCCAGCCUCGUCAGGCUUCAUUUCCAUGACUGUUUUGUUAAUGGCUGUGAUGCAUCGAUUUUUCUGGACAAUACUACUACCAUAGAAAGCGAGAAAUUUGCUGGGCCAAAUAAUAAUUCAGCGAGGGGUUUUGAAGUUGUUGAUGACAUGAAAGCUGCCGUUGAAAGGGCCUGUCCAGGCGUUGUUUCCUGUGCUGAUAUUCUUACUAUUGCAGCUGAACAAUCUGUUGCUCUGUCAGGGGGUCCUUCAUGGACAAAUCUAUUGGGAAGAAGAGACAGCAGAACAGCAAACAGGACUCUUGCAAAUGAAAAUCUUCCAGUACCGAACAAUAGUCUUGAGAGGCUCAAAGAUAGAUUCAGAAAUGUUGGCCUCAACGAUAAUUUUGAUCUUGUUGCACUCUCCGGAGCUCACACAUUUGGAAGGGCUCAGUGCCGAACUUUUAGCGAUAGAUUAUUCAAUUUCAACAACACUGGCAAUCCAGACCCAACACUUAACACAACCCUCUUACAGCAACUUAGGCAACUAUGCCCACAAGGUGGAAACGGCAGCGUUCUAACUAAUCUUGAUGUCACAACACCUGAUGUGUUUGACAACAAAUACUUCUUCAAUCUUCAAAUACACAAGGGCCUUCUGCAGAGUGAUCAAGAGUUGUUUUCGACUCCCGGUGCCGAUACCGCUGCCAUUGUCAAUAACUUUGGCAGGAACCAGACUGCUUUCUUUGUAAACUUUGUGACUUCAAUGAUUAGAAUGGGCAAUUUGAAACCACUGACGGGAAAUCAAGGGGAGAUUAGAUUGAACUGCAGGAGGGUCAACGGAAACAGCAAUAUCGCAACAAGAUCAUCAUCAUCGGAGGGUGAUUUGAUCAGCUCUUUCUGAAUAAGCUAGUUUGCAGCUAACGCGAGAGAAAGAGUUUGUGGGUAACAAACUCAUGAAUUUACUCCUAUGUUUUGCCUGAAACAUGCUUUGUAUUUUCAAUAAACUAAAGUUGUGGUUGUGUAUUCACGUCCUGCUUUCUAUGUAUCAGAAAUCCUUGUCAUAUUGUAUGUGUUUCUUUUUCUUUUCUUUUUUUUCUCCCAAAGUCAUCGAUAUGUAUUUUCAUUUGAGUCACAAGUUUUUAAUACCCCACUUUAUCCUCUAGCUUUUAAAAAAAAAAAAGUAGAAGAUUAUGAAAAAGUGAACACACAAAAAGCAUAAAAAUCAUUAUUAGAUCCAAAUUUGUGCUAUUUUCAUACAUAACUUGAGAAUAUUUAUAAUUACGCAUCAGAACUAGUGGAGUAGAAUCAGGGAAAUUAAACAUUCUACAAUCAUUGACGUGUGGGGUUGGGAUAAGCAUAAGCUUUUUCUAUGCAGUAUAAAAGAAUGCAAUAACUCCUUUUCUUUCAGUAUCAUCGCAACAAAAGCACAUCUAAUAACUCUUCAGAAUUCUCGUCUUCUUUGUCAGAAUGGUUGAUGCGAUCGUUUCCUCUCUCCUGGAGCAGCUGAUCUCUGUUGCGGCUGAUGAAGCGAAACAACAGGUGAGGCUUGUGACUAGUGUCCGAGAAGAAGUGAAAAAGCUUACCAGCAAUCUUCAAGCCAUUCGAGCUGUGCUGGAGGAUGCCGAGCAAAGGCAAAUGCAGCAAGACAAAGUUGUUACUUUUUGGCUGGAUCAGCUCAAAGACGCGUCCUACGACAUGGAAGAUGUGUUGGACGAGUGGGUCUUUACAAGGCUCAAAUUGCAAAUUGAGGGCGUUGAUGAUGACAAUGCUUUUUCCCUUGCUCCUCACAAGAAGAAGGUACGUUCCUUCUUUCGUGCUGUAUCAAACUGCUUUGGUAGUUUCAAACAACUCGGUCUUCGUCAGGACAUUGCUGUCAAGAUUAGGGAAAUCAAUGAAAAGCCAGAUGAUAUUGCCUCCCAAAAAGAUAGGUUUAAAUUUGUUGAGAAUGUGAGUAACCAUGUUAAAAAACCGAAACAAGCGCGAACCACCUCCUUGAUUGAUGAGGGAGAGGUCUGCGGUAGAGUUGACGAGAAAAACGAGCUCUUAAGCAAGUUGUUGUUUGAAAGUAGUGAACAACAAAAAGGCCUUCAUGUCAUCUCACUAGUUGGGUUAGGGGGCAUGGGUAAAACACUCUUGCACAACUGGCCUAUAAUAAUGAUGAGGUGAAAAGAAAUUUUGAAAAAGUUAUAUGGGUGUGUGUAUCAGACACUUUUGAGGAGAUUAGGGUUGCCAAUGCAAUUAUUGAAGGUCUAGGUGAGUCAGCUUCUAGUUUAAGCGAAUUCCAAUCUCUUCUAAGCCAUAUCCAUAGAUCAAUUGAAGGAAAAAAAAAAUUUCUUGUCUUAGAUGAUGUAUGGGAUGGGGAUUAUAAUAAAUGGGAACCAUUCUUCCAUUGUCUAAAGCAUGGUCUCCACGGAAGUAAAAUUUUGCUUACCACACGUAAUGAGUCAGUUGCAUGUAUGAUGGGAUCAACAAAUAUUAUCUUCAUUGAGCAAUUGACUGAAGAGGAAUGUUGGUUGUUGUUCUAGCAGUUAGCAUUUUCCGGUCGCUCUUUCGAGGAUUGUGAAAAAUUAGAACCAAUCGGGCGAAAAAUUGCACGCAAGUGCAAAGGCCUGCCUCUUGCUGCAAAGGCAACAUGGAAUCUCUUACGCUCUAAAAGUACAAUAAAAGAGUGGCAAAAAACUUUAGAUAGUGAAAUGUGGAAAGUAGAAGAGAUUGGGCAAGGCCUUUUUGCUCCAUUGUUGUUGAGUUAUAAUGAUUUGCCCUCCAAUUCUAUGGUAAAACGAUGUUUUUCAUAUUGUGCUGUCUUUCCGAAAGAGUACAAUAUAAAAAAAAAGGAACUAAUUUCACUAUGGAUGGUUCAAGGUUACCUUAAUGCAGAAGAAGAUGAAGAGAUAGAGAUGACUGGGGAAGAGUAUUUCAACAUUAGCAGCACGCUCUUUCUUUCAAGAGUUUAAAAAAGAUGAUGAUGAUGAUGAUAUUAUGAGCUGUAAGAUGCAUGACAUAGUACAUGAUUUUGCCCAAUUUGUAAGUAGAAAAGAAUGUUGGUGGGUAGAAAUUAAUGGUACCAAAGAAUCAGUCAUAAACUCUUUUGGUGAUAAAGUCCGUCACUUAGGGUUAAAUUUUGAAGGAGGAGCUUCAUUUCCUAUGUCCAUUCAUGGACUUAAUAGAUUGCGGACCCUCCUAAUUUAUUUCCAAAGUCCUUCCAAUCCGUCUCUUAAUAGUAGCAUCCUUUCGGAGUUAUUUAGUAAAUUGGCGUGUUUCAGGGCAUUAGUUAUAGGGCAACAGAACUUUAUAUUUGAUCCUUACCCAAAUUUGAUUAGAGAAAUUCCAGAAAAUGUCAGAAAAUUAAUACAUUUAAAAUAUCUUAAUUUGUCUGAAUUAUGUAUAGAGAGACUGCCUAAGACUUUGUGUGAAUUAUAUAAUUUACAAAAGCUAGAUAUUAGGUGGUGCGAAGAUCUUAGAGAAUUGCCGGCGGGGAUUGGGAAGUUAAAGAACAUGAGGAGUUUACUGAAUGGUGGCACUCCUUCGCUGAAGUACAUGCCAAUAGGGAUUUCCAAAUUAACCAGUCUUCGAACAUUAGAAAAGUUUGCUAUGGGCGGAGGUGUUAAUGAUAUCAGUACGUGUAGGCUUGAAUCUCUAAAAAAUCUUCAGCUCCUUCGAGAAUGUGGAAUAGAAGGGCUGAGUAAUGUGUCACAUUUAGAUGAGGAUGAGAGAUUAGGACUUCACAAUAUGAAAAACCUCCUUCGUUUAUCUCUUGAGUUUGAUGAGGAAGGUGAAGAAGGGAGGAGGAAGAAUCAACAACUUCUGGAAGCCUUACAACCGCCUUUGAAUGUAAAAGAAUUAGGGAUUGUAUCCCACGGAGGCAACAUAUUUCCCAAAUGGUUGACUUCACUAACCAAUCUAAGGGAUUUAAGACUUAAAUCGUGCGUUAUCUGUGAGCAUUUUCCUCCCUUGGGAAAAUUACCGUUGGAAAAACUCACCCUUUAUGGCCUGUACGGUGUGAAAAGAGUGGGUAAUGAGUUUUUGGGAAUCGAAGGAAGCAGUGAGGAUGACCCAUCUUCAUCUUCAUCAUCAUCAUCAGUCAUUGCCUUCCCCAAAUUGAAAUCACUCCACAUUGGGGCAAUGGAAGAAUUGGAAGAGUGGAAUUAUAGGAUUACAAGAAAGGAAAACAUCUCCAUCAUGCCGCGUCUUUCUUCCUUGACGAUUUGGUAUUGCCCCAGAUUAAGGGUGUUGCUGGAUUACCUUUUUCAAUCGACGACAUUGCAGAAAUUGAGUAUUUCUUAUUGUCCAAUUAUGGAAGAACUGCGCAUUCUAGAAGAUCACAGGACAACAGACAUACCACGUCUUUCUUCCUUGGAAAUUGAGUAUUGCCCCAAAUUAAAGGUGCUGCCGGAUUACCUUCUUCGGCGACGACGCUGCAGCAAUUGAGUAUUCAGGGAUGUCCUCUUCUGGAAAACCGUUAUAGAGUGGAGAAAGGAGAAGACUAGCAUAAGAUAUCUCACAUUCCCUACAUCGAGUCCGAGUGGUAAAUUCUCGAAUGGUUGCAAUUACUAUCACCCACCGGUAAUUUCUCUCCCCUAUUUUACUUUGUUGUUACUUCAAACAACGACACUGCAAACAUUGACAAUUUGGGGUUACAGAGAAGGGGAAGGAGAAGACUGGCAUAAGAUAUCUCACCCUCCCCACAUCAUGCGGUCGGCGUAAGAUAUCACUCGCCGGUAAUUUCUCCUCCUCCUCUGAUUUACUCUGUUGUUGCUUGCAAUAAAAUUAAUAAAAAUAAUUAUAUUUUGAAUUAAAAUUCUAUAUAUUGCCCAAUGUCUGACAGGAAUAUACAAUAUUUUCUAAUAUUUUGAUUUGCAUAUCGAAUUUAACUAUUUACUUCAACCAUUAAUUUAUUGGGUCACUUUAUGAUGCUAUUAUAAAAAUUACAGAAUCAAUCAUAGUAUAAAUAUGUAGUGUUAAAUUUAAUCAAUAGUUCAUAAAGGUUAGUAAGAAUAAUACUUUAAUUUUAAUUAUUUAAAAUUUAAACUUCCUAGUCAUCAAAUUUGUUAAACUUGUUUUCUAAAGCUAAAAUAAUAAUAAAAUAAAGUAAAAAAAACAAGUGCAGUCUGUUGAAAUUUCUAUAAUUUCUUUUAAAAAAUAUGUAGUCUUUUGUAAAAUUUCAUACAACAUCAUAGAAAUAAUUUAUGUGUAAGUUCCUGAGAGACAAAAUCUCUGUGAUACAUUUGCAGUAAUGUUGAAAACUAACUUAUCAAUGUUAUCUUGUAUAAUGAUAAUCGUAUUUUUUUAUAUAUAAUUUAUGUGACAUUAAUUCUUUAAAGUAAUUGUGUGAUUGUUUUUAGUAGUACAUGAGCCCACUUUGUUUUAUUUCAUACGAGUUUAAUUAUGUUCACCAGGGAUUCGAGGAAAUGUCAGAACUACACUAGCAAUUCGCAGGUCCACGCUAAUUUGGUUCUAAUGAUGCACGCAGGAGAGCAAGAUUAUGAAAAUGAAUAGUUUAGCCAAAGGAUUGCUAAAAUGUUUUGCUGGUAAUUCACUUGCUUUUUUUUAUAGAAUUUCAUUUCCAUCUUCUUCUAUUGAUAUCUUGUUGUGAAUAAACAAGAACAGAGAAGUAACUAUAUAUAUAAAAAGUCCCUAUUAUGAUGAUGUUAAAGCAAGCUCAAGCUCAAACAUUGCAUUUUUAUUUUAUUUUAUUUAUAGAAUUUUCAUUUCUACCUGGAUUGCAUUUCUAUUUCAUUUUCAGGUUGACUUUGAAAACUCUAUGGAGCACAUUGGGGGGGUAACCAAGGAUUAUCAUUGUGGUUAUUGUGCAACGUUUGGUUGCUGGACUUUGAAGAAGGAAGUGAUGGCCGGGUCUGCUCUGUUUCAAUUGAGGAUGGAUAGCUGCCUGAAAGACAUGAUGAUUAUUAUUGCAUGAUGUUUAGGUGCUAAGAUCAUCAUUUCUGUCUUGUUUCAUUCUUUGAUCGGUUUAUCCUAUAUAAACAUAUGGAAUUAUGCUAAUAUUAUCAAUUUUUUCACCUAAUUUUCACUGUUGUUGUGAAAACAAUUUCAGGCUCUCAAAAGCUACAAAGCAAAGCAUUUGUAGGCUGAUCAUAUGUUUCAAUUGAGGAAGGAGCUUGGUGUUGGCAAUAUUGUCCAGGUAACCACAGCUGAUAAUUUCCACAAAUUUGCAUUAAACUUAGUUGUCACCAUCUCCUGCAAUUUCUCAUUCAUUCAAGAGUACUUCAAAAUUAGAUUUUCAGGGUUUGAAUGUUUAGUUGCGAUCAAAAUAUUUAGUCACUCAUUCGUAAUCUUUUCCGAUUUUCAAGUUCUUUAGGGCCAUAAACAGUUUUCCAACUCAUUCUUAAUUUUUAGGUUGAUUUCGAGUACCCUGUUGAGGACAUUCCUGAGACUAAGGAUUAGGCUGGCGAAGGAACUACUACCUCUGUUGUUAUUGUGCAAGGUUUGAUCAUUGGACCUUGAAUAAGAAUCCCUUACACGCAUUCUGUACUUCAAGCAUUCUCUAAAGGAAAAGAGCAGUAGAAGGGAUAGUGAUGGCCGGAUCCGCUCUAUUUUAGUUGAAGAUCUCUGUGAUGUCGAUGAACUUAAAGCAGUUGAUACUUCUUGAAAAUUGUUGUUACGGAUGAAUUGAUUCCUGAAGAUGGGUAUCCAAAGGCAUAUUUUCAUAAACUUCCUUUUUUUAACAAAUGCUCCAAUGCUUGCUGUAGUAACAAUUUCAUAGCUUGCAUCUCUCGGGUGCAUCAUGUUCACGGGUUGGAAAAAGCAUUUGUGGUAAACCUUCAAAGCUUGUAAAAUGGCUGUGAAAAGGCACAUUCAAUUCGGUAUGCUUUGGUGCGGUCUCCUAAUGCUAAUAUUAUGUUUCAAUGCUGGCUGUAGUAACAAUUUCAUAUCUUGCAUCUCUUGGGUGCAUCAUGUUCAAGGGUUUGAAAAAGCAUUUGUGGUAAUGCUUCAAAGCUUGUACAACGGCUGUGAAAAGGCACAUUCAAUUAGGUACGUUUUGGUGCGGUCUCCCAAUGCUAAUAUCAUAUUUUGUAUAGCAAUUAAAAUUUAGCUAUACAAUCUUAAUAUGCAAUAAAUCAUUGUAUACAAAGUUUUCUAUUGAUUAUAUGGUGACUGAAAUUUUAAUUAUCAUAUCAAUUUAAAGUUUUGGCUGAUAUGUCUAAUUCGUAGAAAUUCACUUCCAUCGGUUUCCAUUGGCUUUAGCACAAACAGAAACAGAGCUCUGGGGAAAAGUUUUACUUCUUGUGGUAUUAUGCCUUUGUUUCUUCAUUCAUCAUAUUUUUCGAAUUCAUGCUCUCAUUCAGAGGGUAAAGCCUUUUCCAGGCUGCUUUGUAGCCAAACUUUGACGCCUUUGAUGCAUGACUGUCAUUUAGAUUUCCCAAAUAACUGUUAGAUUGGAGAAGAAUAAAAAGAUACUGUUAAAAGGGUAUUUAAUUAGCGCCCUCUGAAUUUCUUGGAGUUAAUGUAGUCAAUUGCCCAAUUUUGCUGCCUGUCGAAGAUACACAGCAUGGAAGUCCUCAUCAAACUCUGAGACACCUAAUAAAUAGUAGGAUAGUAGGAGGGGGUGGUAUUCGCCUGGUGUUAAUUUCCUGGCAAGUAUAGUUCACAGAUAGAGGGGUUCUUUUCUUGAUGUCUAAAUACCGUAUGAGAUACAACAUCGUGUAUUCCAAUUUUUCUCUAGUUAAAUUUUAAUAAGUUAGAAAAGUUAAUUUUGUUUUAGCAAUGAAUUGUUUUCUUAAUAAUAAUAAUUGCCAUGUUCCUCUGAAGUCUUAUUAAUGCCAGACCAACAACUACUAGGUUCAUCUCUCGUUCACUUCCUCAGGGAAUCUCGAGGGCAUUCAUUGGCAGGUAGCCUUUCUUGUUGAGCUCCUGGAAUUACUUUUAAUUUAUCAUUUGUUGGGUUUUGCUUUUUGAUUGCUUUGGGAUUUGUGUUAUUAUCGCUUUGUCACUCAUUAAUCUUGGCUGUUUUGAAUCUGUGUUGGAUUUAGAAGUUUGGAGUUGAAAACAGUUAAAGCUUAGACUAGUAGAAGAGAUUUAUACAUUCAUUUAUCUUGGACAAAGUUUUUGGGGGAAAAAAAAAUUAUAAGUAUACACUUUCCAAUGGUUCGGUGAUGUUUGAUUGGUUUAAAGAUGUUGGAUCUCUCAUCAGAUUUCUUAUGUAUCGACUGUUGUUGCCACAGGAUGCUCGCAGAUCCUGCUUUUUUGUAUAAACUUCUACUAGAGCAGGCUGCAACAAUUGGUUGCACUGUUUUGUGGGAGUUGGAGAAUCAUAAGGAGAGGUGUGUUUUUUCUCUCAUAACAAAGGAACUCUCCCCUUCCUUUUUAUUUUCAUCUUAUAUAUUAAGCUAAUAAAUGUUUGUUUCUGUCGUGAUGGGAUAAAGCAAGAAUGGGAUCAGCUUGGUUUUGGUGCUUUCCUCGGACUAUAUGCAAACAUGAGAUAUCAACUAUUGUGUGGAUUUGAUAGAGCGGUCAUCAACCAUUUUGAUGUUACCAGGUUAUCUCUCCCUCUCCCUCUUCUACGUAUUUGUUUAUUGAUCUACAUCUCUAUAUAUAUUGAUAGACUAUUCUGGACGUACCAAAUUACCCUUGUUUUAAUGUUUUGUUUGUUAAACUUUGACUGGGGAAUCUGUUUAUUUGGCUGAUAAGAGGUUAGUGUGGUUUCUAUUGAAGUGUGUAGAUCUAUCACCAAGUAUUAUUUCAAUUUUUCUUUACUGAAUCAACUUGCAUCCUUUCCAAGUCCAGAUCCUUAACAAUAGUGCGACAUUGCUACCGAAGUACAAUUUCUCUAGUUUGACAGUUAAAUACGUAAGAAUGGUUUUAAAUUAACUGAACUCUGAGAUAGUUCUCUAAGGAAGUACAAGUGGUGAAUACGGUUCCAACUUUUAAGUGCCUUAAUAUAUCCAUUUGUUCAGCCCUGUGCAUAAAAAAUCAGUAAUUGCCGUCCAAAUUCUUCUUUACUGCCUAUAUGUGUUGGACUUUGUCUAUUCUUCAACUUCUCAAAUGGAUUUUUUGAAUGUCCAAUUAGGAGAAAGAUCAAGGCUUGCUUGGCUAGGAGUGGAAGCGGAUCCGCUACUUCAAUCAUAUGACCUUUUGAAGAAGGCUUACAACGGGGCGGCUCAGGAUGUCAAUGGCUCAACUCAAAAGUCCCCAAAGUGGUUGAUAUCAAAGAAUGCCAUUGUCUCUGGGCUUGGGCUCCUUGGGAUCAAACAAGGGAAUGCGACUCUGUUGAAGGGGAAGCACGGGCCCCUAAAGUGCGAAGAAAGAGGAUAGUCCGGAAGAAGGUGACCGCAUAAAUUUCUUGGGAGUUAAUCCUAGUCAAUAGCCCAAUUUUGCUGCCUGUCGAAGAGAUACAACACGGAAGUCCUCAUCAAACUCUUUGGGACAUCUAAGAACUAGUAGGGAGGUGGUGGUAUUCACUGUGUUUCCUGGCAAGUAUAGUUCACUGAUGGAUGGAUUCUUUUCUUGAUGUCUAAAUAUCAUAUGUGAUACAACGUCGUAUAUUCCAAUUUUUCUCCAGUAAAAUUCUAGUAAGUUAGAAAAGUUAAUUUUGUUCUAGCGAUGAAUUGUUUUCUUAGUAAUAAUAAUGGCCUGUUGCUUUGGAAUCUUAUUCACUCUCUGUAACCCAAUUAAAUUGUGCAAAUUCUACUGCGGAUUUGUCAAACAGAGCGUCUUUGUGAUUUCUUUGAUAGACUUUUGAUCGCUAGUUUAAGUUUGAAUCAUCUUGUAAUGCCAAAACAGAGCGCUUUUAAUUACUAGAUCGUACUCGAGUUUUUAUUCAGCUUUUAAUUACGAGAUCAGCUUUUAGUAUUAGCGAUAAUUAUAAUAUAAACGUUAAUUAUGAAACUCUUACCAAACAAGAUGUUACUCAAUUUUACUUAAUCUCACUCGUCUUUGAUUUGUAAAUUUUAUGCCUAAAUUUUUGUCAACAAAUUGGUCCCAGUUCCACGUUGAGUGCACGAGAUCCACAAGUUUGAUUGGGCAGAACGCAGAAGCAGCUAAAAAAAACUGAUGAAACCCACGUCCAAAGAUGCUGUUGUCGCGGAGGCCUAGACACGACUCCCCAUCCCCUUUUACCAUAUUUUAUAAUUGAAGAGGCCAUUAUUGAAUUGAAAAAUUAUGAUUCAACCGUUGGAAACCAACUCGGAAUUUUAAGUUGAUAUGAGAAAAGAUUUUUUCAUCAUCAUCAUCAUCAUUAUUAUUUCUUUUUAACAAAAAUUUAAGCUAAGACAACAAUAUAUGCCCAAAAUACCCCUCACAUUAUCCCAAACUUUCUAAACUCCCCCAUUCCUCUCAACAUCAUCUCUUCCAAAUCUUUCUUCCUCCAAAAAGCAGCCAUGGCUUCAAAUUCAAUCACCUCAACACUCCAAUAUUGGCUUGUAAACCACCCCCAAAUCCUCAACUUCACAUGGACUCAAAACCAAACCCCAGCUUCCUCCCCACACUUCCUCAUUCUCUCCAUCCUCACUUACCUCUCCCUCACAUUCAUCCUCUACCACAAAUUAACGCCAACGUCACCAUCAUCAUCACCUCUCAUUGGACCCCACAUCCUCAAGCCCAUCACAACCGUCCAUAACCUCACCCUCCUCCUCCUCUCCCUCGUCAUGGCCUUUGGUUGCACUCUCUCCAUCGUCCUCCAUUCACCCGACCUCCGUCACACCCUCUGUUUCCCCCCCACCAUUUCUGCCUCCGGUCCCCUCUUCUUCUACGCUUACAUCUUCUACCUCUCCAAAAUACUCGAAUUCCUAGACACCCUUUCGAUCAUUUUGUCAAACUCCAUCCAACGGCUUACAUUCCUCCACGUCUACCACCAUGCAACCGUCGUCGUAAUGUGCUACCUUUGGUUACAGACGAAGCAGUCUUUGUUUCCUAUCGCACUUGUCACCAAUGCAAGUGUGCACGUGAUCAUGUACGGGUACUAUCUAUUGUGUGUGAUGGGGUUGCGGCCAAAGUGGAAGAGAUUGGUCACUGACUGUCAGAUUGUUCAGUUCGUGUUUAGUUUUGUUGUUUCAGUUUUGAUGCUGUAUUAUCAUUUUGCGGGAUUUGGAUGCUCUGGGAUCUUGGGUUGGUGCUUCAAUGCUGUGUUUAAUGCUUCCCUCUUGACACUUUUUAUUAAUUUUCAUUCCAAGAGCUAUGCUAAGAAAAAGCAGGGAUGAUCAAAACAAAUCGUCGUUGUGAUUGUUCUCUGUGUGUGUGUGUUUUUUUUUUUUUGGUUAAUUAUGAAGGGUUGUGAUCGGUUCAUUGCAUUUGACAGAGAUGUUGAAGGGUUAUGUACUGGAAAAUAGAAAUUAAACCAACAUUAUCACUAUAACUGGUACAUUAUUACCAUCACAGAUCAAGAUCUGAAUGGACGCAUAGCAGCCAUCCUCAAAACCAAAGGAGGAGAAAAUUGAAAUAGAACAACCACCUUAAGGUGAAUAAGGCCAGAACAAGACACACAUCCUCAAAUCAUAAGGAAGAGGUGGGUGCAACCGAAAAAAAAAAGAAAAAAAGAAAUCAAGAAUCCACUGGAGAAGGCAAGAAAGAUAUUUGCCUCCGAAGAUUUGGUGAGGAAGAGAUGAGGAGUUAGAAAAGUUUUCGGAGAGAUCUACAGAUUAGCUUUAAAAGUGUGUUUUAAAGAAAAAGUUGUUGAGAACUUGAGAGGAUACAUGCGCAAUCAAUCCUUUACUCUUCAUGUUUGUGGAAUGUUUAUCCACUGAGUGUAAUCGUAAUCACACGGUUGAUAUUAGUUGGUUCUAUGUUGGAGUUGAUCCAUCAUAGCCGGAGCCUUUAAAUAAAAAACAUUACAACUAGAGAUGGCAAUGGGGCGGGGUGGGAGUGGGGAUGCCUACCUCAUUCCCCACCCCAUUAAAAAUUUUUGUCUCCAUUCCCCACCCUAUUCCCCAAUAAAUUUAGUGGGUUGAGGAUGAGGAAUCCCUACGUGGGGAAUGAUUCUCCCAUUCCCACCUCAUUCCCCAUUUACUUAUUUUAUAGUAGAUAUAAAAAUAUAAUUUUAGUAAAUUUAAAAUUAAAGACUUAAAAUAAAAACAUCAACAUAUUAUAAAGUAUUUAAAUUUUUUUGAAAAUCUCUAAAAGUUUGAAAUAAUAUCUUAAACUGAUAUUAAAAGUGAAAAAUAUUUAAAGAUAUUUAAAGAGAGCAGCACCUUAAAAGAGAAAAGAAAAUAUAAUAAUAUUUUUAAGUUAAAAAAUAUUGUAGGGUUUUCUUUUACUUAUAUCAUAUUUAUAUUACAUAAAAAUUAAAAAAUUAUUAAUUGACAUUAUAGUCGAUAAAAUAAAAAUUAAAAACAUAUUUAUAUAUAAUGGGGAUUGGGGUGGGGAUGGGGCGGGGAGUGCAAUACCAAACCCAACCCCAUUAACAAUUUGGGGAUUACUUUUCCCCCAAAAUUAUUAAAAAUUUUUUUCAUUUAGGGUGGGGCUCCAUGGGGCCCCAAACCCGUGGAGAAUUUUGUCAUCCCUAAUUACUUUGUCAUCCCUAAUUACAACUCAUGCAUCUAAGUACUUAAAGUUGGCUUGAGUGCAUGGGUUAUUGUCAGUUUUCUUCCUAAUUAAAUUAGGUUGGGAUAAAAUUAUCUCUUUAUUAAUAAGAAUAAAGUAGAUAUCUCUCUCGAUUUUCCUCUUAAUUAAACUGGAUAGGAGUAAAAUUAUCUUUUGAUUAAUAAGGAUGUAAUAUAUAUCUCUCUAAUAUUAUGUGAUGGUAGAAAUUUGGGUUGUACCGUAAUAGAAUUAUCAAGGAUAGUCUUGAUAGAAUUAAUGUAAAGAAUUAAGAUAAAGCCUCAAAGAUGGAACAGAGGUUAAAAAAAAAAAAGAGUACAAGACAAAGAAAUAAGGAAACAAAAGAAGACCAAGAAUAAAAGAAAAAAUAAUUUGGAAAACAAAAAAAUGGAUUGCAAUUUUAAAUUUUGAUUAAGGAUAAAUUGUAGUGGAUGCCAUUGUUGGUAAUUUAUUAUAUUUCAAAGCUCAAAUAAGGAAUAAAAUUAUUAUUAUUAUUAUUAUUAUUUUGCAAUAACUCGUUUCAAAUUUUAAAAGAUUAUAACUUUUUGUUUUUUAACAUUUUAAUCAUAAAUUAAAAAGGAGUUACUAUUCAAGAUUCCUAAGAAUACUGAAAAAAAUGAUAAAUAUUAUUCUAAGAAAAUGAUAUAUAUUGGAUAUACUAAAUAUUAUAAAUUAUUAAAUAUUUUACUAUUUUACCCCUUAGUUUGAUGUUUGGGGAAAAAAAAUACUAAAAUGGCUUUCAAUAAAAAGAAUUAUUAUUAAAAAAAUAAGAUUAAAAUUAUAACAAAUGAUAUUAAUAAGAAAGAAACUGAUAAAAAUUUGGGAUUAGAAAUAGGGGUUAAGGCUUCAGUCCUUGAAUUUCUCUAAAUUUUAUAUAUUUUUAAUUUUUAACCCGUCAAAUUACAUUAUUAAUGGAAUGUCAAUAAAUUUUGUGCGUUAAUUUUUGUUUUAGAUACUUUGAAAGGUAAAAUGGUAUUUUGGAUGGUAAAAGUCAACUAAUUAAUUAAAUAUUUAUAUUCUUCGCUCACCGGAUUUCUUAAAAAGUUUUCUGAACCUCCUAGCCAGCAUAUCCAUCUCUUCCUCAUCCAGCUCGCUUUCCUCAUCACUUUCAUGUUUCGAGGCUUUGAGAGCAAUGUUUUUCUUCUUCUCCUCAUUGCCUCUUUCGGCUUCUAAGUCUUCCUCAUAAGAAAUAAGAGAGCCAAUUAAAUCAUCAAUAGGUAAGAUAUUUAAAUCCUUGGCUUCUUCAAUGACAGUCCUUUUUGGUCUCCAUUCCUUAGGUAGCGACCUAAUAGUUUUCUUAACUUUCUCGCUAUUUGAAAAAGUAUUUCCUAGGGCUCCUAGAGUGUUCACUAUGUCCGUAAAUCUAGUAUACAUAGCAUACACACUCUCAUUUUGUUCCAUUUGGAACAAUUCAUAUUGCCGAGUGUACCUACUAAUUUUAGACUCUUUCACUUGAUUUGUGGCUUCAUAAACAACUUCAAGUUUGUGCCAAAUUUCAUUAGCACUCUCACAACUAGAUACUCUAUGGAAUUCUUUCUUAUCUAGUGCACAAAAUAAGGCAUUCAUAGCUUUGGAAUUUAGAGUAGCUUUUCUCUUUUCCAAUUCAUUCCAUUCCCGUGAAGGUUUUGGAAUAUCUUCCCCGACUUCGUUUCUAGUCAAAGGCAUAAAUGGACCAUCACAAACAAUUUCCCAAAUUUCAUAAUCUAAAGCUUGUAAAUAAAUUCUCAUCCUAGUUUUCCAAUAUGGGUAGUCAUUACCGUCAAAGAACGGUGGUCUAAUUGUGGAUUGUCCUUCCCUAAAGGUUGAAUCACUAUAGGUUGCCAUGGAUCUUUAACUCUACACGGUUAAGUCUACACAAGAGCACCUCGCUCUGAUACCAAAUGAAAUACUAACUAGGCAACCUAAGAGGGGGAGUGAAUUGGGUUUUUAAAAUUUAAGCUAAACAAACCACACAACAAUUUAAUCUAUUACCUUGAUCAAAUUGAAAACAAUAAAUUCAAUCAUGCACAAUAUUAAAAGAGUAAGGGAAGAGAAAACAAACACAAUGAUUUUUAUGUGGUUCGGCAAUCCCCGCUUACGUCCACGCUUCCAAGCUCACCGGGCUUGAGGAUUUCACUAAGCUAGCCUCCCAAGGCUUCAAAAGCUUACAAUUGACUUCCAAGGUGUCAAUGGACCUUUACAACAAGAGAUUAUCCCCAAUCUCUUAACCCAAGUGUAUCCCAACACUUACAAUCUUUUAACUUGAUUUUACAAAAAAAAGAUUACAAAUGAAUCUCUCUCACACAAUAUGUUUGAUCACAAGUGAAAGCUCAAUGUGUGAAUGAAUGAGAUGAAUACAAGAAUUUAAAGCUCAAUGAAAGUUGUAUUCUCAAUAUUUUGCUCAAUGAUGAUUGUUGGAAUCCUUCUUGUUUGAAUUGGAUUGAGCUUAUUUAUAGUUGGAGCUGAAAAACUAGCCGUUACAAACUGUCUGCCCGAAAACGGCUCGCCGUUAACCAUUAACGGUUAACCGUUUACGCUGGUCAAAAGUUACCGUUGGGCCAAAUUUCAAACAAACGGUUAACCGUUUAGGCUUACCCUUUUGCCGUUAAAUUCCAGAGACCAGCAAAACAAAUUUGAUUUAACCGUUCUUACUAAACGGUUCAAGGUUAGCAAUCUAGAAAUAAUCAGUUAACCGUUUUCAGUAAACGGUUCACCGUUAUUUUCCAGAAUCAUCAUUUUAACAAUACUUUGCAGAACAUGCUUUCUGGAAAUUAUCGGUUAGCCGUUUGCUACAGUGUAAUUACUACAGUGAAAUUAUUUUCCAAAAUUACAAUUUGACCCCAAAACUUUAUAAACUAUAGUAUGGCCCAACACGUUAUGAAACAUUGCACAUAGGUCCAAUUUCAUAAUUUCUAAGUAAUGCUUUGUUAAUCCCAAAACUUUUUGAAAUUAUGGUAUAGCCCAAAAUGCUAUGACACUUUUCAAAUAAGUCAUUCUCCAAAAUUUCAAGCAAUAUUUGUUUAUUUCAAAGUUUUCAAAAUUCUUUCAAUUAAACCAUAAACUUUGAAAAACAACCAAUUUCAUAAAAUCAUUUUUCCAUUAAAUAUGAAACAUUUAUAAUGUGAAAAUAAUGAUUUAUUUAAAAAGAAUAAAAACAAUCAAUUUCUUGAAAUCAUUUUUCCAUUAAAUAUAAAACCUUUAUAAUGUAAAAGUAAUGAUUUAUUUUAAAAUGUAUAAAAAAUAAUUUGAUCUUAAAAGAUUAAUCAUUCUUAAUCUUGUUUGUUAUCAUCAAAAUCAAUAUUAUGGAAACAUAUAUGUUAACAACAUAUACAUCCUUUACUUUAUAAUCUUUUACUUUUGCUCUUAAGCUAAAGCAUUAAAAGGCCCCAUAUCCACUCUUUAUAUAUAUAUAUAGGGAGAAUGACAAUUUUCUCCCAUACUGUAAUCAAUAUAUAUCAUUUACGUCCUACUUUUUUAUAAUAACCAAUAAUCCUUGGAUAGCAUAAUUUAACAAUAUUAUUUUUGGUUUAUUUUAAUUUUUGUUCAUUUGAUUUCAUAGUAGUAGUUUUCAUUUUUUUAGUUUAAAAUUUGUAAAAAUGAACUAAAAUGAGAUAAUUUUGAAUAAGAAUCAAAACAAAAAAAGGCCCAAAAUUACCCCUAUUCCGAACAUUAUCUGAAUCCAUCAUAAUUGACCCAAAUUCAAAUUUAACUCAAACCCAACCUCGGCCUCAUAUAAUUAUAACCUGAUCCGAUCUAGACUCAACCCCAAAGUUUUGAUUUGAUCUAAUCAAAUUCGAAUAUUCCAAGCCAAUCAACCUAAAACCCAAUCAAGUUCAUCCAAACCCAAAUUUGCGUACUCCUAGAGGGGACCAUCACCCUAUAAGCUUUGAAUUUUUUUUUGAGGUUUUUAAAUGAAAUAUUCAAAAUUAGGUAUAAAAUGACUGAUUUGCCCUUGAAUACUUGAUACAUAAACUUGAUACAUAUAAUGAAACUUUAAUUGUAUAUUUUGUGAAAUAAAAUCAAUUAAACCUGAUUUUUUUUAUUUGUUAAUUAUUUUUCAUAGCCUUUUUUAAAAGUUUGUAAGUUUGGGCCUACCUCUUUGAUUGUAUGUUGUUCAUUUUGCUUUCUCUUGCAACAAUAGUUUCAAAUAUCAGUCACAAAAUUCUCAAAUUUUGGAAUACCCUACAUACUAGCUAUAAAUAGAAAAAACUGAAUAAAAUUAAUCCCCAACUAACACUUGAAAUUUGAACUUGGGCCUCAUGAAGAUUUACUCUGAGCUCCGCCCCUGAUAUGCAAUAAAAUAUUAGUUUUGCUAGUGAAAUUUUCAAUUAUGUUUUUUUUUUUGUAUUUUCCGCUUAGGGAAGAAGAAAUUUCCUACAACUAUUGUGGUGAAUAUCUUGUGAAUUUAUGACAGUUUAAUCUUUAGUUUGCCACUUGCUUAAAAUGAAAAAGGGAAAAGGGUAUUUAUAUCUCUAAGGUUUGGAGAAAUAGUCACCAACACUACAAGUUUUCUAAAAAGGACAUCAAGACUCCUUUUUUACCAUAAUACCCUUUACUUUUAGUACCUCGAAAAAUUUAACUUGCAAAUGAAUAAAUACAAAUAUUAUAUAAAUAAUGUAAUCUACUUUGUAGAUUAAUAAUAUAAUCUACUUUGUAGAUUAAUAAUAUUUAAAUAUUUAAAUAAAUUUAAAUAUGUAAAUUAAUAAAUUUAUUUAAUAAUAUAUUUGUAUUUAUUGCAUUUUACAAUUAAAAAAGUCUCACAUACUAAUAAUGUUAAAAUUAUUAUUUUACAUAAUAAUUUAAAUUUUAAUACAUUUAUUUUAAUAUUAUGUUUACAUUUAUCAUAAAAUUUACUUUAACAUAAUAAAAUAUAUUAAUAGAUUGUAAAAUAUUAAAAUAUUUUUAAAUAUUGAAAUUAUUUUAAAAUGUAUAAAUUAUUACAUUUAUUUUAAUAUUAUAUUUCUCUUUACUAUAAAAAAUUAAAGUUAAUUUUUGGGAUAAUAAAGGUAAAGGGUAUUGCAGUAAGAAAGAAGUUUUAGUAUCUUUUAUUGAAAACUUAGGAGCAUUGGUAACCAUUUCUCCAAACUUUGGGGAUAUAAGUGUCUUUUUCCUAACAAAAAAUGACAUUUUUAAUAGGAGAUAUAAUAAGCUUUGUUCUAUAGAAAAAUCCAUCAGAUAUAUUAUGCCCCCGGUUGCUAUGUUAAAAAUAAGUAAUUCUUCUUUUUGUAUAUUAAAAUAGUAAAAGGGUGGAUAAUAUUUAAAUUUUCUUUUAACCUUUUAUCUUUUUUGACAUUCGAAUUUUAAACUCGAGAAAUAGACUUCCUGAGAGGUUAACUAAAUUCUUAGUAAUUUGAUAUAAUUUCAUAACCGUUCUCCAAAAGCAUUACGAUAUUUAUUAAAAUCAUUAUGGGACUGAUUUUAUUCUCUUUUUUUUUCUCAACAAAAUAUCCGACUGCAGAUGUAAUAAAUUACUCAUUACAAUUAUUUGAGUCCCCACUCUAAAUUAGAUUUUGAAGUUUGUCCUGACAUAAUAAAGUUACAUUUUCAAAUGACCAAAUCAAUUAAUGAGUCUGACAAAAAGAUGUUGUCGGCCAAGUUGAAAAAUAUAAUAAAUAAAUUGUCAGGAGAUGAUUUUUUCUGAAAUUUCAUUUUCAAGGUCCAGAACACAUUCAAAUUUCCGCUGAAAUUCAUAAUGGAUUCAUAUGAUCGGGCGAAAUUACACUAUACAAUUUCAUCAAUACCUAUUAAACGAUAAAAAGUUUAUUGAUUAUUUAUAAUUAAAAAAAAUCUAUCUACUAAGACUAUUCUAGAUCAAUAAUUAAUAUAUUAUAUAUAACUUCAGAAGGUUCAUCGGCGUAUUGAUCUAAGCCUUUUGUAGUAGUUUAUAAAUAUUUUGUUGCUUAUAAUGUAAGAAAUUUUACAGGAGUUGAUGCUGAGUAGUCUGAAUAAGAAAAUUAAUUAUAUUGUAAGUUAUUGGGUAUUUAUAAUAAAAUAAACAAUAAAAAAUGAAUAAAAAUUUAAAUACUUAAUUAAUUUUUAUCAAAUUCUUAUCAAAUAUUUAAAAUAUAUAUAAAAUCAAUUAAUUGAUGAUGUUGUUAAUUUUCAUGAUAUUUUUAAUAUUAUAUUAGUGAUUAUUAAAUUUAAUACAAUCAAUAAUGCUAUAAAUUAUUAAAUGGUUAAUUUUAUUGACAAAUUAUCAAAUAUGCAAAUAAUGAAAAAUUAAUCUCAAGAGUUGGUAGAAGUAAAGUUCCAAUUUAAUCAGAUAAUAAAUAAAAAUAAUUUUUAAGUAAAUUAUAAAUAAAAAAUAAUUAAUAUUAAGUAUAAAUAAACAAUAAUGAUAGAAAUUAAAGUCUCAUAAGAGCAUCUCCAAAAGACUCUUCAAAUAAGAUUCUACUUCUUAUUUGAAGAGCCAUGUCAAUAUUUUACACUCCAAAAGACACGUUAAUUUAAAUUCUUCAAAUAAAAUUUAUUUUUCACUCUUCAAUAUUGCCGAGUGAGUUUCUCCCUCUUCUAUUAAUAUUUUAUUAUUAUUUAUUGAAAAGAUAAGACUGCAAUAAUUAUUAUUUAUGUUUCUUUUAAAAAAUAUAAUAACAAUACAAUUUGAUAGUGGAAAAAUUUGAUUAAAAUAAUAUUAAUUUAUUCUUAUUUGGUGAGUCUUUUGGAGGGGAUUAUAUUUUUUUAUACACUUAUUUGCCACAUCAGUAAGCAAAUUGAAAUUUAAAGAGUAAAAUUUAAAGAUCCUUUUGGAGAUACUCUAAAUAGAUAACUUUUUUUCUUUAAUUUUAUCCCAACUAAAAUCAUGUGUAAAUUACAAUGAUUAAUCCCAUAAUUUUAGGAUGAAACUUAAAUUUAGUCCCCGAGUCCAAUUCAAUUAAUUUAACAAACAGGAGAUAAAUAUUUAAUAACAAAAUUAGUCCAAUUUCGUACUUAAUACUAGUAUAUGAACAUGGCCUGAUAAAAUAAUUUAGGUAAUAUGCUUCUAUGACUCACAAUUUAAAUAAAUUUGAGAAUUUAUAUAAGGGAUGGAAAAUUCAUAAUAAUCAUAACAUGUGCUAUCUUUUCUUCCUUUUCUUAAUUAAAUAAAAGAAAAAUAUUAAUCACAGAACCACUGCUGUUUAAAAUGACCCGAUGAUCGAUGAAGUCGCAUUCGCCUAUCUAAUAUUGCGCAAUCAGAUAAAUUCUCAAAUUUUAAAUGAAUUUAAUCUGCAAUUAGAUCAAUAACUACACAAUAAAGAUUAAAAAAUUUCAAAUUAUACUUGAGUUAAAAUUUGAUUCUUUUUUAUUAUUUAAAGUGAUUUAUUUAUAAUUAUUUUAACCCAAUUAGAUUUUUUUUUUUAAUGCUUGGUCUAUGACAGAAUUGAUCCUCAAAGUUUAAUUAAGCCUGAGAUGGAUACUCUCAGCAAUUUAUUAGAAUCUAACAGGAAAAGAGAGUUGCGAUUUGUAUGUGUAGAAAGAAAAUGUCAAAACGAAAUGUUAAUGUCACUUGUAGAGAGAGAGUUGGGACUGAUGAUCUGCAAUUUAGUCAUGAAAAAUUAGUGAUUAAAUACAACUAAAUUUCAGUUCUUUCUUUGGGAUCCAGAAAAAAAAUAAAAUUCCCCCUCAAUUUUCUGUUUGCAAGGGGGUAACUGUAAGCACAGUCUGAUUUUAUUUUCAGGGAAUAAUAUCGGUGAACCACCGUCGGGGAAAAUUUGAAGUCUAAACAGGUCAUUCACAGAUAAGGCCAAAGAGUAAAACAGGUCGUUCAUCGUGCAUUUGGAUUCCUUUCAUCUGGUUAAUUAUUGAAGACAAGAUGAAAACGCAACUAAUGUCAAUAUUUUAAUUUGGAAUGGGGGCCGUGUAUGGUGUAUAAAAUAGCAUUAAUUGUUGUCUGUGUUUGUUGUUUAAUAUAUAUAUAUAUAUAUAUAGGUCUAAACAGGUCAUUCACAGAUAAGUCUAAACAGGUCAUUCACAAACAGGUCAUCUUAUGAAUUAUUGAAGACAAGUAGCUGUUCGACGCCAGCACUUUUCAAAUCUGAAGAGCAAUUAGACAAUAUUUCUAUUUCAAAUUGGGGCCACACUCCAAAAAAAUUGCAAUAAUUCUCUGUUUUAUACCAAAUAUUGCGCAAUCAGAUAAAAAAAGGGUCGGCUGCAUGAUUUUUCCAACUUUUGUUUUAUUUUUUCUCUUUUCCACGGGCAUGUUAUAUUUAACAAUUCUCUUUUUGUCGUGACAUAAUGGACUAAAACGGAAUCACAACUUUUUCAAAUGACCAAAUGGCUUCGCCCUACCUGAUAAUAAAAGGCCAUAUAGAUGAGAAAUGGAUCCAUACGUUAAAGCUAUAUUAAAACAUAUAAUAAAUAAAUAGUCAGGAGAUGAUUUUUAUCAAAAAUUUCACUCGCACGGUCCCGACCAAAUACAAAUUUGUGAUGAUAUUCAUAAUGAAUUUAUACAAUUAGGCGAAAUUACUCUAUAUAGUUCCAUCGAUAUAUAUUAUACCAUUAAAAAUAUACUAAUAUUUAUAAUAAAAAAAAUUUAUGACUAUUCUAAAUCGACUGUAUUAUAUGUGAACUCACAAGAUUCAUCGAUAGAUUGCACUGAGCUUUUUGUUGCAGUUUACAAAUAUUUUGUUACUAAUUAUCUUAAGAGCGGCAAGUAACUAAAUACAAAUGUAAGAAAUUUUACAAGUGCUGAUGCUGUGUACUCCGCAGAAAGCUAGCCCACGACGGUGACUCCUGUUGGGACUCCUUCAAUUUGCAGCACAAAAGAACGUUCACAUUGACAUUGACUUGAGGGUAAAAAUUAAAAUAUCUCCAAUUAGUAUAAGAAGAAUCCAAACAUGCUUGAAUGAACAUUCUCUCAGAAUACAUAAAAGCUACUUUCCUCUGAGCAUUUUAGCAGCACGAAAAGCAAUUGCAGCAUUUACCAUUUGAUCUAAUAUCAGAAUGGCUCAUGCGAUCGUUUCCUCUCUCCUGGACCAGCUGAAUUCCAUUGCUCAAGAUCAGGUGAAAGAAAAGUGGAGGCUUGUGACGGGUGUCGAACAAGAAGUGGGAAAGCUUACCACCAAUCUUCAAGCCAUUCAAUCUGUGCUGGAAGAUGCAGAGCAGAGGCAAAUGAAGCAGGACAAAGCUGUUACUUUUUGGCUGGAUCAGCUCAGAGACACAUCCUACGACAUGGAAGAUGUGUUGGAAGAGUGGUUCACUGAAACACGGAAAUUGCAGCUUGAUGAGGGACGCGAUGAUGAUGAUGAUGAUAACGACGGUGCUUUUGUUACUUUUUUGACGAAGGUAUGUUCCUUCUUUCCUGCUGCCUCAAACUGCUUCGGUGGUUUCAAACAACUCAGUCUUCGUCAUCAUAUUGCUGUCAAGAUUAGAGAAAUCAGUGAAAAGCUAGAUGAUAUUGCCACUCGAAAAGAUAGGUUUAAUUUUGUUGAGAAUGUGAGUAACAAUGUUAGGAAUCCAGAGCGAGUGCGAACCAUCUCCUUGAUUGAUGAGGGAGAGGUUUGCGGUAGAGUUGAUGAGAAAAGUGAGCUCUUAAGCAAGUUGUUGGGUGAAAGUAGUGAACAACAAGAAGGCCUUCAUAUCAUCUCACUAGUUGGGUUAGGGGGUAUAGGUAAAACCACUCUUGCACAACUAGCCUAUAAUAAUGAUGAGGUGAAAAGAAAUUUUGACAAAGUUAUAUGGGUAUGUGUAUCAGACACUUUUGAGGAGAUUAGGGUCGCCAAAGCAAUCAUUGAAGGUUUAGGUGUGUCAGCUUCUGGUUUAAGCGAAUUCGAAUCUCUUAUGAAACAGAUUCAGGAAUAUAUUACAGGGAAGAAAUUUUUUCUUGUUUUAGAUGAUGUGUGGGAUGGAGAUUACAAAAAAUGGGACCUAUUCUUUUCUUGUCUAAAGAAUGGCCACCAUGAAAGUAAAAUUCUAAUUACCACACGUGAUAGGUCAGUUGCACUACAGUUGGGAUCAAUAGAUAUUAUCCCUGUCAAGGAGUUGGGUGAAGGGGAAUGUUGGUUACUGUUUAAGCAUAUAGCAUUUCUACGUAGGUCCUUUGAGGAUUGUGAAAAAUUAGAACCAAUCGGGAGAAAAAUAGCAUGUAAGUGCAAAGGCCUGCCUCUUGCUGCAAAGGUAAUAGGGAAUCUCUUGCGCUCUAAAAGUACAGAAAAAGAGUGGCAAAGAAUUUUAGAUAGUGAAAUGUGGAAAGUAGAAGAGAUUGGGCAAGGUCUUUUAGCUCCUUUGUUGUUGAGUUAUAACGAUUUGCCCUCCAAUUCUAUGGUAAAACGGUGUUUCUCAUAUUGUGCUGUCUUUCCAAAAGACUACGAGAUGGAUAAAGAGGAGUUGAUUGAUCUGUGGAUGGCUCAAGGUUACCUUAAUGCAGAAGAAGACGAAGAAAUGGAGAUGAUUGGAGAAGAGUAUUUCAACAUCUUAGCAACACGCUCUUUCUUUCAAGAGUUUAAAAUAUAUGAUGACGAUGAUGAUUUUACGAGUUGUAAGAUGCAUGACAUAGUACAUGAUUUUGCCCAAUUUGUAAGUAGCAAAGAAUGUUUGUGGCUAGAAAUUAAUGGUACCAAGGAAUCAGUCAUAAACUUUUUUGGUGACAAAGUCCGUCACUUAGGGUUAAAUUUUGGAGGAGGAGCUUCAUUUCCUAUGACCAUUUAUGGACUUAAUAGAUUGCGUACCCUCCUAAUUUAUGACCAAAGUUUUGUCAAUUUAUCUCUUAACAGUAGCAUCCUUCGGGAGUUAUUUAGUAAAUUGGCAUGUUUAAGGGCAUUAGUUAUAAGGCAAUCGACCAAGCUUUUGUAUGAAGACACAAAUUGGAUUACGGAAAUUCCAGAUAAUGUUGGAAAAUUGAUACAUUUAAAAUAUCUUAAGUUGUCUAAAUUGUAUAUAGCGAGACUACCUGAGACUUUGUGUGAAUUAUAUAAUUUACAAAAACUAGAUAUUAGGCGGUGCAAAUAUCUUAGAGAAUUGCCUGCGGGGAUUGGGAAGUUAAAGAACAUGAGGAGUUUACUGAAUGAUCAAACUGAAAAGCUGAAGUACCUGCCAAUAGGGAUUUCCAGAUUGACCAGCCUUCGAACAUUAGAAAAGUUUGUUGUGGGUGGAGGUGUUGAUGGUGGCAGCACGUGUAGGCUUGAAUCUCUGAAAAAUCUUCAACUCCUUCGAGAAUGUGGAAUAGAAGGGCUGAGUAAUGUAUCGCAUGUAGAUGAGGCUGAGAGGUUACAACUUUACAAUAAGAAAAACCUCCUUCGUUUGCGUCUUGAGUUUGGUGUAGUCGUAGAUGGGGAAGGCGAAGAAAGGAGGAGGAAGAACGAGAAAGAUAAACAACUUCUUGAAGCCUUACAACCGCCUUUGAAUGUAGAGGAAUUAUGGAUUGAAUCCUAUGGAGGCGUCAUUUUUCCCAAAUGGUUGACUUCACUAACCAAUCUAAGGAAUUUAUAUCUUUCCUUGUGUUUUAACUGUGAGCAUUUGCCUCCUUUGGGAAAAUUGCCUCUGGAAAAACUCAUCCUAUGCAAUUUGAUUGGUGUAAAAAGAGUGGGUAAUGAGUUUUUAGGAAUAGAAGAAAGCAGUUAUUGGGACGACCCAUCUUCAUCUUCAUCGUCAUCAUCAGUUAUUGCCUUCCCCAAAUUGAAAUCUCUCAAAAUUUGGUUCUUGGAUGAAUUGGAAGAGUGGAAUUACAGGAUUACGAGGAAGGAAAACAUCUCCAUCAUGCCACGUCUUUCUUCCUUGAAAAUUAAGCAUUGCCCCAAAUUAAAGGUGCUGCCGGAUUACCUUCUUCAAACGACGACGCUGCAGCACUUGAGUAUUCAGGGAUGUCCUCUUCUGGAAAACCGUUAUCGAGAGGGGAAAGGAGAAGACUGGCAUAAGAUAUCUCACAUUCCCCACAUCAAGUGGCGGUAAAUUCUCGAAUGGUUGCAAUUACUAUCACCCACCGGUAAUUGCUCUCCUCUAUUUUACUUUGUUGUUACUUCAAACAACGACACUGCAAACAUUGACAAUUUUAUAGAACGCAUUAGUACAUGUCAAUAACAAGACCAAUUAGAUUAUGGCAUUGCUUUAUUUUAUUUAUUUAUUUUUUUGAUUCUUUUGAAAUAAGAUCAAUUAAUUAGAUCAUGCUAGAAGUUAAUUUUUUUUUUUCAAAUGAAAAAGGAGCAGUCAUACAAAGUUUGAAUAUAAAAUUUAUAAUCUAAAACUAAUGAUGUGACAAUUAACAUGUUAUUAACCUAGCUAAUAGAGUUGGAAGUCCCAAAUACAUCAUAUUCUGCUCCAGAAAUCAAUUCCACCUAGAAUACUUCUUUCUAUUGAAAUUAAUGAUGAUUUGUUUGUUUGCAUCAUGAAAGUCAAAAAUAAUUUUAUGAGUAAUUUGAUUCUUUACGGUACAAAAAAUAAAUUUGGAAAGUACUAAUUUCUCUCAUACUUUUUGGGCUAAAAAAUAAAUGUAAGUCUAACAUAUUUAUUAUAUAAUGGUUCUAUAUAGAAUCAAUCAUGGUAUAAAUAUGUAAAACUUCCUAGUUAUCAAUUUUGUCUUGCAUAAUGAUAAUCGUUUUUUUUUAUAUAUAAUUUAUGUAACAUUAAUUCUUUAAAGUAAUUGUGGAAUUGUUUUUACUACAUUAGCCCUCUUUGUUUUAUUUCAUACGAGUUUAAUUAUGUUCACCAGGGAUUCGAGGAAAUGUCAGAACUACACUAGCAAUUCACAGGUCCAAUCUAAUUUGGUUUUAAUGAUGCAUGCAGGAGAGCAAGAUUAUGAAAAUGAAAAGUUUAGCCAAAGGAUUGCUAAACUGUUCUGCUGGUAAUUCACUUGCUUUAUUUUAUAGAAUUUCAUUUCCAUCUUCUUCUAUUGAUAUCUUGUUGUGAAUAAACAAGCACAGAGAAGUAAAUGAUUGAACCACGGAGAAGUAAAGAUAUAUCCAAAUUCGAUUAUUAUGAUGAUUAAAGCAAGCUCAAGCUCAAGCACUGCAUUUUUUUAUUUUAUUUAGUUUAUAGAAUUUUCAUUUCCACCUGCAUUGCAUUUUUACUUCAUUUUUAGGUUGACGUUGAAGACUCUUAUGGAGAACAUUGGGGUAACCAAGGAUUAUCACUGUGGUUAUUGUGCAACGUUUGGUUGCUGGACUUUGAAGAAGGAAGUGAUGGCCGGGUCUGCUCUGUUUCAAUUGAGGAUGGAUAGCUGCCUGAAAGAUAUGAUGAUUAUUAUUGCAUGAUAUUAAGGUGCUAAGAUCAUCAUUUCUAUCUUGUUUCAUUCUUGGAAUCAUUUAUCCUAUAUAAACAUAUUGAAUUGUGCUAAUAUUAUCAUAUGCGUCAAUGGAGGCAGGAAUUUGGUGUUGACACUAUUAUGCAGGUAACCACACUUCAUAGUUUGCACAAAUUUGCGUUGUCAGAAUAUCCUUUAAUAUUCAUUGUGUUUCUGUGUGUUAUCAGGUUAUCAUCUCCAAGGGUUUGAAAGAGCCUUUGCAGUAAAGUCAGUUUUCACCAGCUCGUGCAAUUGCAAAUUCAUUCAGAGUACUUCAAUAUUGGGUUUUCAAGUUUUGUAUGUUUAGUCGAUUAAAAUGUUUAGUCACUCAUUCUUAAUCAUUUCUGAUUUUCAAGUUCUUUAGGGCCAUAAACAGUUUUUCAAACUCAUUCUUAUUUUUUAGGUUGAUUUCCUACUCGUGGAGAACGUUGGGAAGUCCAAGGAUUAGGCUGGCGAUGGAACUACUACCUCUGUUGUUAUUGUACAAGGUUUGAUCGCUGGACCUUGAACAAGAAAGCCUUACACGCAUUCUGUAAUUGAAGCGUUCUCUAAAGCAAAAGAGCAGUAGAAGGAAUAGUGUUGGCCGGAUCUGUUCUAUCUUAAUUGAAGAUCUCUGUGAUGUUGAGGAGCUAAUGAUUGUUAAGGCAUAUUUUCAUGAACUUCCUUUCUUAACAAAUGUUUCAAUGCUGGCUGUAGUAACAAUUUCAUAUCUUGCAUCUCUCGGGUGCAUCAUGUUCUCGGGUUUGAAAAAGCAUUUGUGGUAAUGCUUCAAAGCUUGUACAAUGGCUGUGAAAAGGCACAUUCAAUUAGGUACGUUUUGGUGCGGUCUCUCAAUGCUAAUAUUAUAUUUUGUAUAGCAAUUAAAAUUUAGCUAUACAAUCUUAAUAUGCAAUAAAUCAUUGUAUACAAAGUUUUCCAUUAAUUAUGUGGUGACAGAAAUUUUAAUUAUCAUAUAUCAAUUUAAAUUUUUUUGUAACUCUCUCUUACUUUGCUUGUACAGAGUACCUGUUUUGGCUGAUAUGUCUAAUUCGUAGAAAUUCAUUUCCAUCGGUUUCCAUUGGCUUUAGCACAAACCGAAACAGAUCUCUGGGGAAAAGUUUUACUUCUUGUGAUAUUAUGCCUCUGUUUCUUCAUUCAUCAUAUUUUUCGAAUUCAUGCUCUCAUUCAGAGGGUAAAGCCUUUUCCAGGCUUCUUUGUAGCCAAACUUUGACGCCUUUGAUGCAUGACUGUCAUUUAGAUUUUCCAAAUAACUGUUAGAUUGGAGAAGAAUAAGAAGAUACUGUUAAAAGGGUAUUUAAUUAAUGUAGUCAAUUACCCUCUGAAUUUCUUGGAGUUAAUGUAGUCAAUUACCCAAUCUUGCUUCAAACUCUGACAUACCUAAUAAAUAGUAGGAGGGGGUGGUAUUCGCCUGGUGUUAAUUUCCUGGCAAGUAUAGUUCACAGAUAGAGGGGUUCUUUUCUUGAUGUCUAAAUACCGUAUGUGAUACAACAUCGUGUAUUCCAAUUUUUCUCCAGUUAAAUUUUAAUACGUUAGUAAAGUUAAUUUUGUUUUAGCGAUGAAUUGUUUUCUUAAUAAUAAUAAUUGCCAUGUUCCUCUGAAGUCUUAUUAAUGCCACGUCAUCGAUCCGUCUAUGCGAACAGUGUCGUGAACAGUACCAUACAUGUGAAUAGUACCGUACAUGUGAAUAGUGCCAUUUUUCCGUUUAUGCUCCUCCUAAGGUUUUCGACCGUCUUGAGUUCAAAAGUGAUGUCCGUUUUGCCGUCUGAUCUCUCGUUUAUUGUGAAAUGACCAUGAUACCCCUAAAAUACAUAAAAUACUUAAUUAAAAAUCAAACACACAUAAUUAAAUUGCAAGAAGCUUAAAUACAUAAAAGUAAGGGUUGUUAGUAAAACUUGAAAUGUAAAAUGAUGAUUUUCUCCUUUAUAAAUAUACAUUUUCUAACACUCAACACCGGCUUCUUAAUUAUUUGUUAAAUCAGGUUUUUCUUAUCAAGUACAUCAUCUUAUUCACCAUUUUGGCUAUAUCAGAAUUUGCUAUUACCAUGAUGUCAAAGCAAGCUCAAGCACUAGAUCCCUAAUAAUAAUGCAUUGCAUUUUCAUUUUAUUUUUAGGUUGGUUUGAAGACCCUAUGGAGAACAUUGGGGUAAUCAAGGAUUAGGCUGGUGAUCGAACUACUUCCACUGUGGUGUUGUGUGCAACGUUCAGUUGCUGGACUUUGAAGAAGAAAGUGAUGGCCAGGUCUGCUCUGUUUCAAUUGAGGAUGGAUAGCUGCCUGGAAGGCAUGAUGAUUUUUGUUGCAUGAUAUUAAGGUACUAAGAUCAUCAUUUCUAUCUUGUUUUUUUCUUUGAUUGGUUUAUCCUCUAUAAGCAAAUUCAAUUAUGGUAAUAUUACCAUUUUUUCACCCAAUUUUCACCGUUGGUUGUAAUAACAAUUUCACGUACUCAAAAGCUACAGAGCAAAGCACAUGUGGGCUGAUCAUAUGCUUCCAUGGAGGAAGGAAUUCGGUAUUAACACUAUUAUGCAGGUAACCACAGUUGUUAAUUUGCACAAAUUUUGCAUUGUCAGAAUGCCCUUUAAUAUUCACAGUGUUUCUUUUUGUUAUUCAGGUUACCAUGGCAUGUAGAGUAUCAUCUUUGAGGGUUUGUGAGAGCCUUUGCAGUAAAGUUACCGGCUCGAACAAUUGCACAUUCAUCGAGAACAAUUUUAGAUUUGCAAGGUUGCGAUUAGCAGGCUUAGUCACUCAUUCCUAAUCUUUUUUGAUUUUCAAGUUAUUUAGGUCCAUUAACCGUUUUCGCACAUGUUUCAAUGCUAGUUGUAAUAACAAUUUCUUAUCCUGCAUCUCUAAGGUGCAUCACGUUUGAAACAGCUUUUGCGGCAAAGUUUCAAUGCUUGUACAAUGGCCGUGAAGAGGUACAUUCAAUUCGGUACAUGUUGGUGCAGUCUUCUAAUGCUAAUAUCAUGUUGUGUAUAUUUAAUUUGCAAUUAAAACAUAGGUAUACAUUCUUAAUCUCCAAUAAAUCAUUGUGUACAAAGUUUUCUAUUAAUUAUAUGGUGACUAAAAGUUUAAUUAUCUUAAAAUUUUUUGUAACUCUCUUUUACUUUGCUUGUACAGAGUACCUGUUUUGGCUGACAUGUCUAAUUCGUAGAAAUUCAUUUCCAUCAGUUUCCAUUGGUGCUAGCACAUACAGAAACAGAGCUCUACUUCUUAUGGUAUUAUGCCUUUGUUUCUUCAUUCACCAUAUUUGUUCGUGUAAAAAACACAGAUUAGAAUGAAUAAUUUCUAUAUUUUAUUGAUGAUAAUUACUCCUCUUUAAAUAGAUUACAGGGGCAUAAAUCAAAUCCCACAAAAUCAGAGCUAUGACAUCUAGAAAUCUAAUUCUAAGGAAACAAAUCAAUAAACCUAUUUAAGGAAACAAAUCUUGCCAAAUAACAUAGAUCCUAAUAUAUACAAUUCUAAUUAUGUAUAAUUUUGAUUUCAUCCACACUCCCCCUCAAGCUUGGCUAUAGAUGUUGAUGAGACCAAGCCUGCCUUCAAGAAACUCAUGAGUAUGUUCUCAGAGUCCUUUGGUGAGGAUAUCAGCCAGUUGGUGAGAUGUAGGCACAUAUUCAAGCUUGAUAAUGUUUCCAUCAAGCUUUUCUUUAAUAAAAUGUCGAUCAACCUCCACAUGUUUAGUCUUAUCAUGAUGAACAGGAUUGUGAGAUAUACUAAUUGCUGACUUAUUAUCACAAUAGAGCAGCAUAGGUUCUUCAAAUCCAAUCUUUAAUUCCUUCAACACCCUUCUUAUCCAGAUAAACUCACACACUCCAUGUGCCAUUGCUCUAAACUCAGCUUCCGCACUACUUCUAGCAACCACUGACUGUUUUUUGCUACGCCAAGUCACCAGAUUUCCCCAUAGCAACGUGCAAUAACCAGAUGUUGAUUUAUGAUCAUUAAUUGAUCUAGCCCAAUCAGCAUCUGUGAAUGCUUUCACCUUUCGAUCAUUGGUCUUUGCAAAAAUAAGCCUUUUUCGGGUGUUCGCUUCAAGUAUCUCAGGAUUCUAUCUACUGCAUUCAAAUGACCUUGACAUGGUGCAUGCAUAUGUUGACUUACUAAACUCACUGCAAAGGCAAUAUCCGGUCUUGUAUGUGAGAGAUAGAUGAGCUUUCCAACUACAGGUGAUAAGAUGUUGCUUGAAUUCAGCAUCUUGUAUUGCGAUGAUUUUGCCCACAUGAGGUUCUGUGAUUCUUGACAUCAGGAUAACUCAGGUCAAUUUUUUGUAUCAGCAUAUAUCAUCUUGUUUACUGUUUUGCCUUCAAAGAAUAAACUUUAGUGAAGUUGUUUUUGUUUGUGUAAGUUAUCAGGUUAAGGAUACUAAGCAGCUUAUUAAGGCAAAUGUCAUAAUGAAGAUUGUUCACCACACCUGGCAUUUAUGAUGGCAAGGAAGAUUAAUUGUUCACAAGCCAAUUUGAUGAGUGUUAGAUUUUUGGCUUUAUAUAUUAUUAGAGCUCUCCCUUCUGAGAGAUAUCUCAUUAAAUUGAGUAGAGCUCUCCCAAUAAUCGCAAGCUUUCAUUUGUUUGUAAAAUCAUCUUCUUAUAUUGAUUGUGUUUCCUUGUGUUAUCAAGUAGAGUAUCAUCUUCAAGGGUUUAAAAAAGUCUUUGCAGUAAAGUUUCAACCAGUUGCUGUGAAGAGGCAUAUUCAUUUGAGUAAUUCAGUUUCAGAUUUUCAGGGCAUGUAUGUUUAAUUAGUUUUGAUUAUGCUCUAAAUCUAACAAAAGUAUAUUUCUACUUCUUGUGGUUAUUUUACUUUUGUAUUUUCUGUCAUCAUUUUGAUUAAUUCAUUCGAAUUCAGACUCUCAUUAUUUAAAACCAUUUUCAGGUGGCUUGCACGCUAAUUAAGAAAUUGGAAAGUUAUCAUUGCUUGAAUGAAAGCACCAUCUUCUUUUGUCAAGGCUUUCCCCACACGAUGAGAUUAUGUGCUUGUUAUCGGCCGCUUAAUUAUUUAUUAAAUCAGGUUUUUGUUAUCAAGUACAUCAUCUUAUUCACCAUUUUGGCUAUAUAUAAAGAUUAAAAUUUCUAACAGUUGUUUCAGAUUCUUGUGCACUCAGGUUAAUAGUGCAAAUGUCAGAAUGAAGAUUGUUCAGUGCAACCGGUAUAGCAAGGAUGAUAGUGGUGAGGAAGAUUGUAACACCCCAGUUCGAAAUCCAAGGGCAAAUAUGUCCACAACUCACAUAUGAUUUAAAUAACUCUUUACAAACAAUAAAAUUCGAGCCUCAAAUACAAAAGCCAGCAGAAUAACUUAAAAAUUUAGCCAAACCAUCUACUAUCUUCAACUUGUCACUCAUCACGAAAUAAUCCUGACUUCUGGAAACUGAAUCACAAUAAACUAUAAUGAGUACAAAACUCAGUAAGAAACUAGUUUUUCUUAUAGAAAAUACAUACAUACUUAUACAUAAUGCAAUGGAUGAUAUGCCAUGAUCUUUUGGAAAUAUUGUAAAAUAAAUUCAUAAAAAUCUCUUUCUGUCGCCUUCAAACUUUCUCAUUUUCUUUCGAUGAAAUACGUAUCCUGCAAUGUCGCACUUUGUGCUGUGCGUGGCACUUUGCGGCACUCUGGCCCUCAAGAGGUGGCCCCUGCAUAGUCUCAAGAGGUGGCCCCCCCACAACUUCAAGAGGUGGCCCCCAAUGUAAAAAUCUCAUAAAACAGAAAUUCCGUUUGCUAAAAUCCACUUUCUCAUUCAUAGAAAAUUCAAUGCAUUUUCGUGCUCAUGCCAAUGAACCAUCACACAUACAUAUGCCCAUGUACAUAAUCACGCCCAUUACAUAACAACACAUCACAUAAACACAUGAGCAGAGACAUAUAAAUCCAUAUUCGUACAUAUCAAAAUAGGCUUUUCAUACAAGUCAAACAUAUAUAUUAUUUAUUGUGAUUCGUUUUAAAGUCUAGUUCACUUACCUCUUGGCAUCCUCAUGUAACAAAUGUGUACUGAUACCAUCAACCUAAAAUCAUCAAUAAAUUCUCAUAAGAUAUAAUCAAAUCUCAAUCAUAAACUCUAAUGUCCUCAAAUAUCUCAAUUUAAACAACUCUUAAGCUCAACCUCAAAUGUCCUCAAUAAUCGGCCCUCAAAACAUAACAGUCCAUACUUCUCCGAUUUUUAAUAAAUUAUUCUCUUAUUGGAAGAAUCUCAAAUUUUACAGACCAUAUGCUGACACAUUGAAAGUUCAUUGAUAAAAAUUUCAUAACAUAAUUCCUUCCAAAACGAUUGAAAAUAAUUCACGUUUCAGACAUCAUCAAUACUGUCAAACAGUUUUCUGUUUUGAACACACUUGCUUUAAAAAUACAAAACAAUUUAUUUCUUUAUCAUAAAAUCAUGAAAAUUUCCAGAAUCAUACUAGACUUAUAUAAAACUCAUUGGUCCAAAUUUCAUAAGUUUGAAGAAGUCUAGAUAUGGUAGAAAUAAUUUCGUAAUUCACUGAAAUCAUAAAUUUCCAGGUUUUCAGACUUGACUUUGAAAAAUCAUAAUUAAUUGAAAUCUUAUCUGAUUAACUUGAAACAAGUUUCAAAACAUAUUAGACGAUGUCUAGUUUAACAUACCCAAAAAUCAGAAUCAAAAUCAAUUUUUACAAAUUACUAUGAUUUUCGUAAUAAUUCACUGUCAGCAUAUUUAUGUAAAAUCUUUGAUUUCUACUUCUAUUGCAAUCAUGCUUCUCCACAACAAUUUAAUAGAAACCAAUAAUUAAAACAUACCUCCAAAAAUUCUCCCAACAAUAACAACUUGAUCCAAUGUGUUGUCUAUGGCAAAACUAAGAAGAAGAAGAAGAGCUUCUUUUUUUUUUCUUUUCUCUCUUGUCUCUCCAUCUCUCUUUUUUAACCGAUCCCUCUUUUUCUCUCUCUUAUAAUGAAAAAGACAUCUUGUUCUAUUUAUACUAGGGUAAAAAGGAUCACUAAAAAUUAAAAAGACUUAAAUACCCUUAGGAGAUUUGGGGUAUUACAAAGAUUGUUGGCAAGCCAAAUAGAUCCCUCCAUUUUGAGAAAUAUCAUCCUCAAAUUUGAAUUGCUGAGCAUGUGAAGUGAAGCUAAAGCCUUAAUAAUGAGACCUUCCUGUGAAAGUUUCAUUUGAGUGAAUUGAACGUUCUUGGAGUGAGUGAGAAAUUAAGCAUAUAUCAGCGAUUAGUGAAUUUUUUUCUUUAACAUUAGUACACUCUUAUUUCUUAGUAAAAUUCUCUUCCCGUCUCUGACUGUGACGUAGACCAAAAGCUUAACAAUGUAAAAUUAUAUUGUUAUUUCCUUAUGCUUGUUUUGCUAUAUAUCAUUUCUGUGCAAUCAAGAAUGUAAUUUUGUAAUUAUUUAAUUCUGCUUCCGCAAACAUGCCGUAUUACAAGUGAUAUCUUGCAGAAUUUUCCCCCCCUUUUUUCUUUCUGCAUUAAAACUGCAACAAAUGGAAGUGACUGGCUUGAUUUUAGCUCCUGUAAAAAAGUGCUUGCGGCAAUGUCUUUUGUAUCAGCAAGUCAUCAAACAUCAUUUUACGCUUGAAGUUGGGCCUUCUGAAGAUUUACCCCAUAUGGAACAAAAUAUUGGUUUCGCUACUAAAAUUGCGAACUAUGUUUUUCUUUGUAUUUUCCGCUCAACUGUUGUGCUGAAUAUGUUGCGAACAUAUGACAAUUUAAUCUUUGGCUGAGACUUGUUUAAAAUAAAAAAUGACACUUUAAAGCAAUAGGAGACUUUUAUAUAUUAAAAUGGUAAACGGGUGGAUAAAACUCAAAAUAAAUUUUUGACAUUUUAUCUAUUUUGACAUUCGAAUUUUAAACUUUAGAAGUCAAGCAAUGAAUAAACCUUUUUGAGAGGCUAAUUAAAUUCUUAGUAAUUUCACAUAAUUUCAUUUCAUCAGAACAGUUUUAUCAAAAGCAAUUUUAUAAAUCGUUGUUGAAAGCUUUAUUCCUUAAUUAUCUUUCACAUAGUUUCUUUGUAAUGUGGGUAAGUCAUAGACCAUGGUAUGAUAUUUAUUAAAUAUCAAAAGAUACCUCUUCUAUGGCAAAGUUAAUUAGACAUGUCUUUAUAAUAAAACAUCAUUUAUUUUGAAAUUGAUCCAACACUAAGAUUAUUGUAGAUCAAAUUAGUCUAUUACAGAUAACUUCAGAAGGUUCAUCAGUAGAUUGUUCCAACCUUUUUGUCGUAGUUUACAAGUAUUUUGUUACUUAUAAUACAAGAAAUUUUACAAGUGCUGAUGCUGAGUAGUCUGAAUAAUUAUUAUGAAUCAUAAAAACAGGGCAGAUGCUGUACAAAUUUUACAAAUAUUUUGUUACUUAUAAUGUAAGAAAUUUUACAAGUGCUGAUGCUGAGUAGUCUGCAUAAUUAUUGAGGUGGUGGAGCAAAUGCUCAGUAGUCUGAAUAAUAAUUAUGAAUCGGAAAAAUAGGGCAGAUGCUGUACAAUUAUUGAGGUGGUGGAGCAGAUGCUCAGUAGUUUGAAUAAUUAUUAUGAAUCGGACAAACAGGGCAGAUGCUGUACAAUUAUUGACGUGGUUGAACAGAAAGCUAGCCCCAGACGGUGACUCCUGUGGGGACUCCUUUAAUUUGCAGCACAAAAGAACGCUCACAUUGACAUUGACUCACGGGUAAAAAUUAAAUAUCUCAUAUGGUAUAAGAAGAAUGCAAACAUGCUUGAAUCAACAUUCUCUCAGAAUACAUAAAAGCUACUUUCCUCUGAGCAUUUUAUCAAGAAAAGCAAUUGCUGCAUUUACCAUUUGAUCUGAUAUCAGAAUGGCUCAUGCGAUCGUUUCCUCUCUCUUAGACCAGCUGAUCUCUGUUGCGGCUGAUGAAGUGAAACAGCAGGUGAGGCUUGUGACGGGUGUCGAACAUGAAGUGGGAAAGCUUACCACCAACCUUCAAGCCUUUCAAGCUGUACUGGAAGAUGCAGAGCAGAGGCAACUGGAGAAGGAAAAGGCUGUUACUAUUUGGCUGGAUCAGCUCAGAGACGCAUCCUACGACAUGGAAGAUGUGUUGGAUGAGUGGAUCACUGCAAGGCUCAAAUUGCAGAUUGAGGGCAUUGAUGAUGACAAUGCUCUUGCUCUUGCUCCUCAUAAGAAGAAGGUACGCUCCUUCUUUUGUGCUGUAUCAAAUUGUUUUGGUAGUUUCAAACAACUUAGUCUUCGUCAUGACAUUGCCGUCAAGAUUAGGGAAAUCAAUGGAAAGCUAGAUGAUAUUGCCUCCCAAAAAGAUACGUUUAAAUUUGUUGAGAAUGUGAGUAACAAUGUUAAGAAACCAGAGCGAGUGCGAACCACCUCCUUGAUUGAUGAGGGAGGGGUUUGUGGUAGAGUUGAUGAGAAAAAUGAGCUCUUAAGCAAGUUGCUGUGUGGAAGUAGUGAACAACAAAAAGGCCUUCAUGUCAUUUCACUAGUUGGGUUAGGGGGUAUAGGUAAAACCACUCUUGCACAACUGGCGUAUAAUAAUGAUGAGGUGAAAAGAAAUUUUGAAAAAGUUAUAUGGGUGUGUGUAUCAGACACUUUUGAGGAGAUUAGGGUCGCCAAAGCAAUCAUUGAAGGUCUAGGCGUGUCAGCUUCUGGUUUAAGCGAAUUCGAAUCUCUUAUGAAACAGAUUCAGGAAUAUAUUACGGGGAAUAAAUUUUUUCUUGUUUUAGAUGAUGUGUGGGAUGGAGAUUACAAAAAAUGGGACCUAUUCUUUUCUUGUCUAAAGAAUGGCCACCAUGAAAGUAAAAUUCUAAUUACCACACGUGAUAGGUCAGUUGCACUACAGUUGGGAUCAAUAGAUAUUAUCCCUGUCAAGGAGUUGGGUGAAGGGGAAUGUUGGUUACUGUUUAAGCAUAUAGCAUUUCUACGUAGGUCCUUUGAGGAUUGUGAAAAAUUAGAACCAAUCGGGAGAAAAAUAGCAUGUAAGUGCAAAGGCCUGCCUCUUGCUGCAAAGGUAAUAGGGAAUCUCUUGCGCUCUAAAAGUACAGAAAAAGAGUGGCAAAGAAUUUUAGAUAGUGAAAUGUGGAAAGUAGAAGAGAUUGGGCAAGGUCUUUUAGCUCCUUUGUUGUUGAGUUAUAACGAUUUGCCCUCCAAUUCUAUGGUAAAACGGUGUUUCUCAUAUUGUGCUGUCUUUCCAAAAGACUACGAGAUGGAUAAAGAGGAGUUGAUUGAUCUGUGGAUGGCUCAAGGUUACCUUAAUGCAGAAGAAGACGAAGAAAUGGAGAUGAUUGGAGAAGAGUAUUUCAACAUCUUAGCAACACGCUCUUUCUUUCAAGAAUUUCAGAAAAAUGAUGAUGAUGAUUUUACGAGUUGUAAGAUGCAUGACAUAGUACAUGAUUUUGCCCAAUUUGUAAGUAGCAAAGAAUGUUUGUGGCUAGAAAUUAAUGGUACCAAGGAAUCAGUCAUAAACUUUUUUGGUGACAAAGUCCGUCACUUAGGGUUAAAUUUUGGAGGAGGAGCUUCAUUUCCUAUGACCAUUUAUGGACUUAAUAGAUUGCGUACCCUCCUAAUUUAUGACCAAAGUUUUGUCAAUUUAUCUCUUAACAGUAGCAUCCUUCGGGAGUUAUUUAGUAAAUUGGCAUGUUUAAGGGCAUUAGUUAUAAGCCAAUCGACCAAGCUUUUGUAUGAAGACACAAAUUGGAUUACGGAAAUUCCAGAUAAUGUUGGAAAAUUGAUACAUUUAAAAUAUCUUAAGUUGUCUGAAUUACACAUAGAGAGACUGCCUGAGACUUUGUGUGAAUUAUAUAAUUUACAAAAGCUAGAUAUUAGGCGGUGCCCAAAUCUUAGGGAAUUACCUGCGGGGAUUGGGAAGUUAAUGAACAUGAGGAGUUUACUGAAUGGUAAAACUUAUUCGUUGAAAUACAUGCCAGUAGGGAUUUCCAAAUUAACCAGUCUUCGAACAUUAGAAAAGUUUGUUGUGGGUGGAGGUGUUGAUGGUAGCAAUACGUGUAGGCUUGAAUCUCUGAAAAAUCUUCAACUCCUUCGAGAAUGUGGAAUAGAAGGGCUGGGUAAUGUGUCCCAUUUAGAUGAGGCCGAGAGAUUACAACUUUACAAUCAGCAAAACCUCCUUCGUUUGCGUCUUCGGUUUGGUGGAGUCGUAGAUGGGGAAGAUGAAGAAAGGAGGAGGAAGAAUGAUAAAGACAAACAACUUCUUGAAGCUUUACAACCGCCUUUGAGUGUAGAGGAAUUAGGGAUUGAAUCCUAUGGAGGCGACAUUUUUCCCAAAUGGUUGACUUCACUAACCAAUCUAAGGAAUUUAACACUUUCCUCGUGCGCUAACUGUGAGCAUUUGCCUCCUUUGGGAAAAUUGCCUCUGAAAAAACUCGAACUACUCGACUUGGAAAGUGUAAAAAGAGUGGGUAAUGAGUUUUUGGGAAUAGAAGAAAGCAGUGAGGAUGACCCAUCUUCAUCUUCAUCGUCACCAUCAGUUAUUGCCUUCCCCAAAUUGAAAUCACUCGAAAUUGACGGAAUGAAAGAACUGGAAGAGUGGAAUUACAGGAUUACGAGGAAGGAAAACAUCUCCAUCAUGCCCCGUCUUUCUUCCUUGCAAAUUAUGAAUUGCCGCAAAUUAAAGGCGCUGCCGGAUUACCUUCUUCAAACGAUAGCACUGCAGAAACUGGGUAUUUAUUAUUGUGAUCUUCUAGAAGAACUGCCCAUUCUAGAAGAUCGCAGGACAACAGACAUACCACGUCUUUCUUCCUUGGCGAUUUGGUAUUGCCCCAAAUUAAAGGUGCUGCCGGAUUACCUCCUUCGAACGACGACGCUGCAGGUAUUGAGUAUUAUGGAAUGUCCUCUUCUAGAAGGACAUUAUAGAGAGGGCAAAGGAGAAGACUGGCAUAAGGUAUCUCACAUUCCCUGCAUCAUGUGGUUGCCGUCGUUGUAAGAUAUCACUCGCUGGUAAUUUCUCCUCCUCCUCUGAUUUACUUCGUUGUUGCUUGCAAUGAAAUUAAUAAAAAUAAUUAUAUUUUGAAUUAAAAUUCUAUAUAGAAUCAAUCAUGGUAUAAAUAUGUAAAACUUCCUAGUUAUUAAAUCUGUUUAACUUGUUUUCUAAAGAUUAAAUUAAAAAAAAGUGUAGUCUGUUGAAAUUUCUAUAUUUACUUCUAAAAAAUAUGUGCUCUUUUGUAAAAUUUCAUACCACAUCAUAGAAAAUCCCAAUGUAAUUUAUUUUUUAAUGUACAAAAAUUUGUUAUGUGUAACUUCCUGAGAGGCAAAAUCUCUGGGAUACAUUUGCAAUAAUGUUGAAAAAUAAAUUAUCAAUUUUAUCUUGUAUAAUGAUAAUCAUAUUUUUUUAUAUAUAAUUUAUGUGACAUUAAUUCUUUAAAGUAAUUGUGUAAUUGUUUUUAGUAGUACAUUAGCCCACUUUAUUUUAUUUCAUAUGAGUUUAAUUAUGUUCACCAGGGAUUCGAGGAAAUGUCAGAACUACACUAGCAAUUCACAGGUCCAAUCUAAUUUGGUUUUAAUGAUGCAGGCAGGAGAGCAAGACUAUGAAAAUGAAAAGUUUAGCCAAAGGAUUGCUAAAAUGUUCUGCUGGUAAUUCACUUGCUUUAUUUUAUAGAAUUUCAUUUCCAUCUUCUUCUAUUGAUAUCUUGUUGUGAAUAAACAAGAACAGAGAAGUAAAUGAUUGAACCACAGAGAAGUAAAGAUAUAUCCAAAUUCGAUUAUUAUGAUGAUUAAAGCAAGCUCAAGCUCAAGCAUUGCAUUUUUUAUUUUAUUUAGUUUAUAGAAUUUUCAUUUCCACCUGCAUUUCAUUUUUAUUUCAUUUUUAGGUUGACGUUGAAGACUCUAUGGAGAACAUUGGGGUAACCAAGGAUUAUCACUGUGGUUAUUGUGCAACGUUUGGUUGCGGGACUUUGGAGAAGGAAGUGAUGGCCGGGUCUGCUCUGUUUCAAUUGAGGAUGGACAGCUGCCUGAAAGACAUGAUGAUUAUUAUUGCACGAUGUUAAGGUGCUAAGAUCAUCAUUUCUAUCUUGCUUCAUUCUUGGAAUCAUUUAUCCUAUAUAAACAUAUUGAAUUGUGCUAAUAUUAUCAUAUGCGUCAAUGGAGGCAGGAAUUUGGUGUUGACACUAUUAUACAGGUAACCACACUUCAUAGUUUGCACAAAUUUGCGUUGUCAGAAUAUCCUUUAAUAUUCAUUGUGUUUCUGUGUGUUAUCAGGUUAUCAUCUCCAAGGGUUUGAAAGAGCCUUUGCAGUAAAGUCAGUUGUCACCAGCUCGUGCAAUUGCGCAUUCAUUCAUAGUACUUCAAUAUUGGGUUUUCAAGUUUUGUAUGUUUAGUCGAUUAAAAUGUUUAGUCAAUCAUUCUUAAUCAUUUCUGAUUUUCAAGUUCUUUAGGGCCAUAAACAGUUUUUCAAACUCAUUCUUAUUUUUUAGGUUGAUUUCCUACUCGUGGAAGUCCAAGGAUUAGGCUGGCGAUGGAACUACUACCUCUGUUGUUAUUGUGCAAGGUUUGAUCGCUGGACCUUGAACAAGAAAGCCUUACAUGCAUUCUGUAAUUGAAGCGUUCUCUAAAGCAAAAGAGCAGUAGAAGGAAUAGUGAUGGCCGGAUAUGCUCUAUCUUAAUUGAAGAUCUCUGUGAUGUUGAGGAGCUAAUGAUUGUUAAGGCGUAUUUUCAUGAACUUCCUUUCUUAACAAAUGUUUCAAUGCUGGCUGUAGUAACAAUUUCAUAUCUUGCAUCUCUCGGGUGCAUCAUGUUCACAGGUUUGAAAAAGCAUUUGUGGUAAUGCUUUAAAGCUUGUACAAUGGCUGUGAAAAGGCACAUUCAAUUAGGUACGUUUUGGUGCGGUCUCCCAAUGCUAAUAUUAUAUUUUGUAUAGCAAUUAAAAUUUAGCUAUACAAUUUUAAUAUGCAAUAAAUCAUUGUAUACAAAGUUUUCUAUUAAUUAUAUGGUGACUGAAAUUUUAAUUAUCAUAUCAAUUUAAAUUUUUUUGUAACUCUCUUUUACUUUGCUUGUACAGAGUACCUGUUUUGGUUGAUAUGUCUAAUUUGUAGAAAUUCAUUUCCAUCGGUUUCCAUUGGCUUUAGCACAAACCGAAACAGAGCUCUGGGGAAAAGUUUUACUUCUUGUGAUAUUAUGCCUUUGUUUCUUCAUUCAUCAUAUUUUUCGAAUUCAUGCUCUCAUUCAGAGGGUAAAGCCUUUUCCAGGCUGCUUUGUAGCCAAACUUUGACGCCUUUGAUGCAUGACUGUCAUUCUUUUUCUUGGUUAUUCAAACUUUCAGUUAUAUAUUAUGUGAAAGAUUCUUUUUCUUAUUAAAGUACAUUGUUGGUUUUUUCUUUUUCCUUCAUUUUGUCUGAAUUAAAGCUAAAAUUGUAAGUUUUUUUUUAAUUGGAAAAUAUUAAUAUUUCAUUAAACAAAUAACAACAAUACAACUACUUGCAGUACAUCACUAGUUCACAUUACAAAGAUUAAAAUACAGAGAUCUGUUUUAGUUACAGAGAUCUAUUACAGUAAUCAAUUGAAUUAACCCCUAAAAGUUUAUUAAAGAAUAGGAAGAAACACAUGUACACUAAAAGAAAAACUUCCAUUCGUAAUGCACAUAUAAUUCAAGCUCCAUUUGGGGUUCCAUGGCUCUUUCGAAAUUAUCUCCACCACCAUAUUUAUGCUUUCCAGCUAGUACCAAAAUAGAUUUACCGUAAAAAUUGAUUCACACCCUCUAACUUUACAAACAUGAGAAACAUAGACUCUAGAUCUAAAAGUUGAAGGGUUAUGUACUGGCAAAUAGAAAUUAAACCAACAUUAUCACUAUAACAGAUACAUUAUUACCAUCAAAGAUCAAGAUCUGAAUGGAUGCACAGCAGCCAUCGUCAAGACCAAAAGAGGAAGAAAUUGAAAUAGAACAACCACCUUAAGGUGGAGAAGGCCAGAACAAGACACCCAUCCUCAAAUCAUAUGGAAGAGGUGGGUGCAACCAAAAAAAAAAAAAAAGAGAGAAUCCACUGGAGAAGGCAAGAAAGAUUUCUGCCUCCAAAGAUUUGGUGAGGAAGAGAUGAGGAAUUUGGAGAGGAAAAGUUUCGGAGAGAUCUAGAGUUUGGCUUUAAAAAUGUGUUUUAAAGAAAAAGUUGUUGAGAGGAAACGAGACCAAUUAGAUCAUGCAAGAAGUUAAUUUUUUUUAAAUAAAAAAGGAGAAAUGAUGAUCUUACAAAGUUUGAAUAUAAAGUUUAAAAUCUAAAAUUAAUGACUUGACAAUCGAUGCAUUAUUAGCCUAAUAGAGUAAGAAGUCCCUGCUAAAGAAUUCAAUAUUCUACCCAGAAUACUUCUUUCUAUUGCAAUUAAAUGAUGAUUAUUUGUUUUUAUCAUGAAAGCUAAAAUAACUUUGUGAGUAAUUUGAUCCUUUUGCAGUAUAAAAAUAAAUUCAGAAAUGGGCACCAUUCUUCCUUUGUUUAAAUCAUGGUCUCCACGGAAGUAAAAUUUUGGUUACUACACGUAAUGAGUUAGUUGCACGUAUGAUGGGAUCAACAAAUAUUAUCUUCAUUGAGCAAUUGAUUGAAGAGGAUUGCUAGUCGGUUUUCAAGCGAUUAGCAUUUUUCGGUCACUCUUUCGAGGAUUGUGAAAGAUUAGAACCAAUCGGCCGAAAAAUUGCACGCAAGUGCAAAGGCCUGCCUCUUGCUGCAAAGGUAAUAAGGAAUCUCUCGCGUUCAAAAAGUGCAAUAAACGACUGGCAAAGAAUUUUAGAUAGUGAAAUGUGGAAGGCAGAAGAGAUUGGGAAAGGUCUUUUGACUCCUUUAUUGUUGAGUUAUAAUGAUUUGUCGUCCAAUUCUAUGGUAAAACAAUAUUUUUCAUUUUGUGCUGUCUUUCCGAAAGACUACAAUAUGUAUAAAGAGGAGCUAAUUUCACUAUGGAUGGCUCAAGGUUACCUUAAUGCAGAAGAAUAUGAAGAGAUGGAGAUGACUGGGGAAGAGUGUUUCAACAUUUUAGCAACACACUCUUUCUUUCAAGAGUUUGAGAAAAAUGAUGAUGAUGAUAUUAUGAGUUGCAAGAUGCAUGACAUAGUACAUGAUUUUGCUCAAUUUGUAAGUAGCAAAGAAUGUUUGUGGCUAGAAAUUAAUGGUACCAAAGAAUCAGUCAUAAACUCUUUUGGUGGGAAAGUCCGUCCCUUAGGUUAAAGUUUAAAGGAGGCGCUUUAUUUCCUAUGUCCAUUCAUGGACUUAAUAGAUCGCGUACCCUCCUAAUUGAUUAUGAAAGUCCUUCCAAUUCGUCUCUUGAUAGUAGCAUCCUUCCUGAGUUAUUUAGUAAAUUGGCAUGUUUAAGAGCAUUAGUUAUAAGGCAAUCAUUCUUGCUUUGUCGUCCUGACCCAAAUUUGAUUAGAGAAAUUCCAGAAGAUGUCGGGAAAUUGAUGCUUUUAAAAUAUCUUAAUUUGUCUGAAUUACACAUAGAGAGACUGCCUGAGACUUUGUGUGAAUUAUAUAAUUUACAAAAGCUAGAUAUUAGGGGGUGCCGAAAUCUAAGAGAAUUGCCUGCAGGGAUUGGGAAGUUAAAGAACAUGAGGAGUUUGCUAAAUGGUCUUACUUGUUCGUUGAAGUACAUGCCAAUAGGAUUUUCCAAAUUAACCAAUCUUCGAACAUUAGACAAGUUUGCUGUGGGUGGAGGUGUUGAUGGUGGCAGUACGUGGAGGCUUGAAUGUCUGAAAAAUCUUCAACUCCUUCGAGAAUGUGGAAUAGAAGGGCUGAGUAAUUUGUCACAUGUAGAUGAGGCUGAGAGAUUAGAACUCAAAAAUAUGGAAAACCUCCUUCGUUUGUAUCUUUUGUUUGAAGUUGUAGAUUGGGAAGAUAAAGAAGAGGAUGAAGAUGAAGGUGGGGAAGAUGAAGGUGAGGAUGGGGGAUAUGAAGAAGAAGAAGGAGGUGAAGUUGUAAAUGGGGAAGAUGAAGAAAGGAGCAGGAAGAAUGAGAAAGAUGAACAACUUCUUGAAGCCUUACAGCCGCCUUUGAAUGUAGAGGAAUUAUGGAUUUUAUUAUAUGGAGGCAACAUUUUUCCCAAAUGGUUGACUUCGCUAACCAAUAUAAGGAAUUUAUUUCUUCACAGGUGUCUUAACUGUGAGCAUUUGCCUCCUCUGGGAAAAUUGCCUCUGGAAAAACUCGCCCUGCAAAAUUUGAAUAGUGUAAAAAGAGUGGGUAAUGAGGUUUUGGGAAUAGAGGAAAGUAGUGAUGAUGACCCGUCUUCAUCUUCAUCAUCAUCAUCAGUUAUUGCCUUCCCCAAAUUGAAAUCACUCAAAAUUUGGGACAUGGAAGAAUUGGAAGAGUGGGAUUACACGGUUACGAGGAAGGAAAACAUCUCCAUCAUGCCACGUCUUUCUUCCUUGGAAAUUGAUUGUUGCCCCAAAUUAAAGGUGUUGCCAGAUGACCUUCUUCAAACGUCGACACUGCAGGAAUUGAGUAUUGGGGGAUGUCCUAUUCUAGAAGACUGGCAUAAGAUAUCUCACAUUCCCCACAUCGAGUUUUAAAUUCUCGAACGGUUGCAAUUACUAUAACCCGCCGGUAAUUUCUCCUCCUCCUCUGUUUUGCUUCAUUGUUACUUGUAAUGAAAUUAAUAAUAAUAAUGAUAAUAAUUAAAUUUUGAAUUAAAUUUCUAUAUUUUGCCAAUGUCUCAUAGGAAUGUGCAAUAUUUUCUAAUAUUUUGAUUUUUGUAUUGAAUAUAACUAUUUACUUCAGUGUACGAUAAUUUGUUACGUGAAACUUCUUGAGAGACUGAAUUUCUGGGGUACUUUGUAGUAAUGUUGAAAACUAAGUGAUGGCUGGGUCUGCUCUGUUUCAGUUGAGGAUGGAUUGCUGCCUGGAAGACAUGCUGAUUAUUAUUGCAUGAUAUUAAGGUGCUGAGAUCAUCAUUUCUAUCUUGUUUCUUUCUUUGAACGGUUUAUCCUCUAUAAGCAUAUGGAAUUAUGUUAGUAUUAUCACUUCUUCACCCAAUUUUCACUGUUGGUUGUAAUAACCAUUUCAGGUUCUCAAAAGCUACAAAGCAAAGCAUCUUUGGGCUGAUCAUAUAUUUCAAUUGACGAAGGAAUUCGAUGUUGGCACUAUUAUGCAGGUAACCAGAGUUGAUAAUUUGUACAAAUUUGCAUUGUCAGAAUACCCUUCAUAUUCACCGUGUUUCUUUGUGUAGGUAUGUAGAGUAUCAUCUUCAAGGGUUGUAAGAGCCUUUGCAGUAAAUUUAGCUGCUAGUGCAAUUGCUCAUUCAUCGAAGUACAAUUUUGGAUUUUCAAGGUUUGUAUGCUCAGUUGUAAUUAAAAUGCUUAGUCACUUAUUCCUAAUCUUUCUGAUUUUCAAGUUAUUUUAGGUCCAUAAACAGUUUUCACACAUGUUUCAAUGCUUCUUGUAAUGACAAUUUCAUAUCUUGCAUCUCUAAUGUGCAUCAUGUUUGAAACAGCUUUCGCGGUAAAGUCUUCGAUGCUUGUACAAUGGCUGUGAAGAGGCACACUAAAUUCGGUACAUUUUGGUACGGCCUCCUAAUGCUGGUAUAAUGUUGUGUAUAUUUAGUUUGCAAUUAAAACUUAGGUAUACAAAUCUUAAUCUGCAAUAGAUCAUAGUGUACAAAGUUUCUAUUAAUGAUAUGGUGACUGAAAGUUUAAUUAUCUUAAAAUUUUUCUAUGACUCUCUUUUACUUUCUUUGUACAGAGUACUUGUUUUGGCUGAUGUGUCUAAUUCAUAGAAAUUCAUUUCCAUCGGUUUCCAUUGGUUUGAGCACAAACAGAAACAGAGGUCUGAGGAGAAGUUUCACUUCUUGCGGUAUUAUGCCUUUGUUUCUUUAUUCACCAUAUUUGUUCGAAUUCAUGCCCUCAUUAAGAAUUUAAAGCCUUUUCCAGGCAGCUUUGUAGCCAAAUUUUGAUGCCAUAAAUGCAUGAUUGUCAUUUAGAUUUUCCGAAUAUUUGUUAUUUGGAGAAAUAUUGUUAAAAGGGCAUUUGAUUAGCUACUUACCCUAUGAAUUUAGUUGCCAAUAAUAGAUUGAAAUUGAGUAGGCUAAUGGUUGAGGAAAGUUAUUGUCUUAAUUAAAUUACAGGUGAUAAGAUGUUGCUUGUGUAAUCAGAUAAAUGGGGCAAAUGUCAGAACAAAGAUUGUUCAGUGCUGCUGGUAGGGCAAGGAUGAUGAUGGUGAGGAAGAUUGUUCACAAGCCAAGUAGAGCCCUCCAUUUUGAGAAAUAUCAUCCUCAAAUUUGAAUUGUUGAGCAUAUGAAGUGAUGCUAAAGCCUUAAUAUUAAGUCUUUCUGAAAGUUUCAUUUGAAUGAAUUUUCGGAGAUUGAAUGUUCUUAGCGUGAGUAAGAAAAUUAAGCACAUAUCUGCGAUUUGGAUCGUCGGUGAAUGUUUUCCUUUAAUAUUUGUACAAACCCGUUUCUUAGUAAAAUUUUCUUCAUGUCUUUUACUAUGACAUAGGCUAAUAGCCGUACCACAUAACAUUAUCUUCUUAUUUCUUUAUGCUUGGUUUUGCUACAUAUAAGAAUGCAAUUUUGUAACUACUUAACUCUGCUUCGGCAAAGUUAAGUAGUUACAAAAAUUUUUUUUUUUCGUUUUUCUUUCUCCGAUAAAAUUGCCACAAAUGGAAGCGAUUGGCUUGAUUUUUGCUUCUGUAAAAAGUGGUGGGAGCAAUGUCUUGUGUACCCGCAAGUUAUAAAUCGUCAUAGUUUAAAUGACGAAUCCCGAGUUGCCAUCCAAACUAAAGAAAUUGCAAAUUAAGUAGUUCAUUACAAAUGAUAUAUUUUGAGUUGCUAAUUAUUAAGUAUUUCAUUCAAAAAUGUUCUCGUUCCCACAGUUUCUAAUGUUUAAAGUGCAUCAUUGCUCUACUUCCGUCAUAACAGCAUAAGAGAAUUUAACAUAAUACUGAGAAAAUGAUUAUUUUACCCUAAAUGUAAAUGAUUAUUCUACCCUUAACAUAAAAUAACUAAUUUGCCCUAAUUUAAUAACGAAAAAAAUAGAUGACUGCAAUAUAGAUAUUAAAUAAUAAAUAAAAUAAAAAAUAAGAAUUAAAACUAAAAUAAUUAAAAGAGAGCUCAAGAGAAAACGCACUUUAAUCUGGUACCUGUACCCGUGGAUCGUGGCGAUGGCGGAUUGGGGCUUAUUACCAAGUCGUUUAAGAAUUUUAAACUUUCAAAUUUUUUUUAAACCUUGAAUUUUUUAGUUUAUUGGUUAAGUGAUAAAAUUUGGUGGUAGUUUGAUACUGUGUUGUAUGUUGUGUUAUUUUAGCUCAUUAACUUUGUUAUGUAAUUCUUCUUUAAAUACGACGUCGUUUUUGUCCAUUAAGAGUCCAAUGACAAGUUUAUCAUUCUGACAUGAGUAAAAUUCUAACGGCGUGAUGACAAUAGUGUAGAAAUGAUAGAUUUUGUAAACAUCAGGUGGAAUUGUUAAAAAAAAAAAUGUGGUCGUGUAUUUUUUAUAAAGUCUAAAACAUCAAGUGAUUAGAGAAUAUUUGUGCUUAAGUAUUUGAUUCAAAAAAAUUUCCACUCCUAGACUAUUUAAGUUGUAACCAAAACUGAGAAUUUUUUUUUUUUUUUGCAUGAUGAAUCUCGAUAUUUAGGAUGAAUAUUUUAAUAUUUAAGCUUAAUGGUCACCCACUAUUGGUAGAAGAAUUUUUAUUCUAACACUAUACAAUUUUCGUGUGAGGUGGUCUUGGGCUUAUCUCAACCUUAAAAGUCAAAAGCUAGCUCAAUAAGUGAGAUUUUUUUCUCACACUUAUGAAAUCACCACGAGCUCCUCCCACAACCAAUGUGGGAUAAUCCCAACAAUCUCCCCUCACUCAUCGAGCCUUGGGUUGGAAGCAUAAACAUCAAUUCUCCCUAUUAGAUUGUUGGUUGAGUUGUUGGUGAACCUGAGCUUUGAUACUAAUGUUAGAUGGUCUUGGGCUUCUCUCGACUUCAAAAGCUAGCUCAAAGAGAGAGAUAUUCCCUCACAUUUAUGAGGUCAUUAUCAGCCUCUUCCACAAUCGAUGUCGGCUAACCCGACAUUUCUCUCUCUAUAUAAUACAUAAGUUGGAUAAUAAAUUUAUAUCUCAAUCUAGGUAUAAACAUUAAUUUUAUUUCUUUUUAUCAAUCAUUAUCCUAUUGGGUCUAUCGACUCACCGUACAAAAUGUUGUAAAACUUCCCCGCCGAAGAGACUUUGGUAGCUUUGAGUUUGUAAAUCAAGUUCCUAUCCGUCGUCCCUCCUAAUCCAUUCUUCGGCCAAGUACGCCUGACAUUCUUGUACCUUACAACGUCAUAUUUGGCACAAAAUUCAUGAAACUUAAACCAAACACUAAACUAUUAUUAGUUCUCAACAUUUUAUAUCAUUCGACGUUUUGUGUCAGAAUAAAUAUUUUAUCUUUGAACUUCUCAAGCACUUAUUCAUGGCUUAUUUCUCAACUCACUAUGGAUUAAUGAUGCUGAUGAAAUUGUGGAUUAACCAGACAAUAUUGUAAUUAUUACACAUACACACAAGCACACGUACAUACGUACAAAAGCAUAUAGGAGUUGACCUUGCUCAGGAUUUAAAAAAAAUGAAUAAAAUUUUCCAAUAAUUAAUUAAGAUAAAAAAGAUCAUUAAAACCCGAGUACCCCUCGCAAUUGUGUCACUUGAAUUCUCUGUAUUUAUGCACAUAUAAUAUUUUGAAUGAAUCUAUAAUGAUGUUAAUUUUUUAAUGAACUUAAUCUUAAAUUAAAAUUUUCUUUUGAAAAAAAAGAAGAAAUCUUAAAUAUUAUAAAAUAUAGAUCAGUUGGAAAACUAUUCCUAGAAAUGCAUCUUAGUUUUAUUCUUGGAAAAUGUUUCCUUUCGCACUUGCGAGGAAUUAGAAAUUGAACAAUAAUUUUUAGACUUUUCAUUGUCUUUGUGGUUAUAUGGUUGUCUUUAAUAUAAAUAUAUGAUCCCGGAGGCCAAAUGUCUAAGUCACAUGCAUUUACCUAAUACUUUUUUCUUUUUUCUUUGUUUUUCGGAUAGGGCAAUUAUUUAAUACCUUGAAGAAAGAGAGAUAAAAUAUAAUGCAUGCCAAUUUGUUGCAACAAAGCUUUCAUAUCAAGCGUUGGCAUAAAUUAUUAUGCCAAUUUGUUCAAGACAAUAUCUUUAGUUGGCAUGUAAGUUUCAUUAGCCGGCGUCUACUCUUAAUUUAUGUCAAAUUAAGUAAUCGCUCCGCCCCAAUAAUGUUGCCUUUGAUCUCUCAGCCCCAGUAAAAGAAUUGGCUAAAAGAGAAUGUUGGUCACUGUUUAAGCAAGUAUGCUUUUGGCGGUCCUUUGAGGAUCUUCAAAAUUUAGAACUAAUAACCAAUCAAAUGAAAAAUUGCAUACAAGUGUAAAAGCUUACCCCUUAAUGCAUAGGUAAUAGGAAUUCUCUUGCUCAACAUAUACACCCUUUUCUUUAUAAUCUUUUACUUUUGCUCUUAAGCUAAAGCAUUAAAAGGCCCAAUAUCCACUCUUUAUAUAUAGUAGUUUCUGGUCCGGGAUCAUAAAGUGCGGGAAAUAUUCGGAAAAAUUUUAAAAUCGUGGGGUUUUAAAUGCUUAAAACUUAAAGUGCUUAAACUGAACGGUUAAUAUGUUUUCCUGGACGUUCCCGCAUUUUAAAAUUCCGGACUGUAACAUUUCUCUCUCUCUCUCUCUCUUUAUAUAUAUAUAUAUAUAUAUAUAUAUAUAUAUAUAUAUAGGGAGAAUGCCAAUUUCCCCCCAUAUUGUAAUCAAUUUAUAUCAUUUAUGUCCUACUCUUAUAUAAUAGCCAAUAACUCCUGGAUAGCAUAAUAUAACAAUAUUAUCUUUAAUUUUAAAUACACUUUUAUUUAUAUUUAUUAUAAAUUAAAUAAAACAUGUGAAUGAAAACUAAAAUAAAUAUUAAAUAUUAAAAACAAUAAAUAUAUGUUUUGAUGUGAAUAAAAAAUUAAUAGUAAAAUAUUUUUCUUGUACUUCUUUUAUUUACAAACAUUUUCUAAUAAUACAUAUAUAAGAAAAUUAUUAUAAAAUAAUUAUAAAUUAAUAUAAAUUAAUAAUAAAAUAGUAUAAAAUUAAUAAUAAAAUAUUUUUCUUGUACUUUUGUAUUUUAUAUAUUUAUUAUAAGAAAAUGUUUAUAAAACAAAAAUACAAAAAAAUUUAUUAUUAAUUUUUUUAUUCACAUCAAGACGUAUAUUUCUUGUUUUUAAUAAAUUUUUUUUUUACCAUUCAAUAUGAUUUGUUUAAUGUAUAAUAAAUAUGAAUAAAGGUGUAUUUGAAAAUAAAAAUAAUAUUGUAGGAAACAUUUACCAUUUUCUAAGAGAAGCUUAAGAGUGAGUAAAGGCUUGUUUAAACCAGAUAUUUUGAGCCAUAUAUUUUAAAAUACCUCAAGGCACCCUCAUUGUUAAAUAUGCUAUAUUUCUACUCUUACUUUUUCUUUCCUUUUAUAAUAUUACCCUUGCAACAAUAUUCUAACCUUUUUGAGGAUAUCAAUGAAAGAAAAAAAAUUAAUUUAUCAAAAUUUGCCUUAAAAGUAACAUAAAAAAUUCCACAAAUUUUUAUGUUAUUAUUUUACUUUUAGGAUUAAUUUGGUAAAUUAAUUUUUUAUAAAAUAACUAUUAGUAAAAUUGUUGCAAAUAUAUUAAACAUUUCUUUAAGUUGGAUAAUAUUGAUUUAUUUAUAAAUAAAUUAUUGGCAAUUAGUUCUUUCAUACUGAAAUUUAUUAGUUAAUUUGCUAAUCAAUAAUUAUUGGUUAAUACGCUAAUAAACUUUUAUAGAUAAAUUAAUUAAUGUCAAGAAUAUUAUUGCAAGGUAUUAUUAUAAAAGCAAAUAGAAAGUAAGUGCAAGAAUGUAAUAUAUUUAAUUAUAAAGGUAUUUUGAGAUAUUUUUGAAAUUAUAAGAACUAAACAAGCAUUUACCAGUUGAGAGAAGAUGAAAUGGGAAAAAUUCAAGGGUUAGGAUAUAUGAUGAGUUAAGGAUUAGGUCUUGUAAAAUCUUGAUUUGGGGAGAUGAUUUUGGAGUGUUUCAACCCUAAAUUCAUUUGGGAAGACUCAUUGACGUACACAUUAAAGGUGGAAAGUGUAGAGAGAGAGAGAAGGAGAAAGUGUGUGUUUAGAGUGAGAGAUGUGUAAUUCAAGUAAACAAGUUGGAUACUUGGAUUUCUCACUAAAUAGAGUAAGAUUUCCAUCAUUCUAUCAUUAUUUAUGCUAAAUUUAAUUUAAAGAUUUGUUUAUUUUAUUUAAAUUAAUGUUUCCAACAUAUGGUAAAGUGGUACGAAGAUAAAUUUUGUAAUUUGUGGAUUACUUUAGGUGCACACAGCACCAACAAGGCAUUGUAGAGCCAAAAAGACUUAGCACUUGAUGUUUCUGGUUCGAUAUAUAAAUAGCUAAUAAUUGUGUAUUAUGUUUAUGUAGUUUAUGGUUAGUAAUGAGAUUGGUGGUAAUGUAGCUCUAUAAUUAACUAUUUAUUUCCAAAACUAAGGAACUUCAUAUCGUAUUUUCUUCCAAAACUAAGGAGCUUCAUAUCAUGUAUUUCAUUAAAAAAUAGUCUCACUCUUAGACUUUAUGAGUUGCUGUGAAAAAUAAAUGAUGAUAAAUUUUCAUACAAAUUUAUUUUUAUAAAUUGAUACGACAUUAGUUCAUUGGUUGCAUGAAAUAUAAAAGCAGGUAGCAGUUGGUCCUUUGAGGAUCAUAAAAUUUAGAACCAAUCGGUCUAAAAAUUGCAUGCAAGUGCAAAGGUCUGCUCUUGUUGCAAAGGUAAUAGAGAAUCUCUUAUUCUCUAAAAGAGUAGUAGAAGAAUAGAAAAGAAUUCUAGAUGGUGAUAUGUGGAAGCUAGAAGAGAUAAGGAAAGGUCUUUUGGCUCCUUUAUUGUUGAGUUAUAUUGCUAUGCCAUCCAUGGUAAAAUGAUUUUUCUCAUAUUGUGCUGUCUUUUCAAAAGACUACAACAUGUAUAAAGAGGAACUAAUUACCCUAUGGAUGACUUAAAGUUACCUUAGUAUAACUAAUUACCCGGCGUCGGAGGGUUUACACCGGGAAAACACUCGGCGUGCUCUGACUUGUCUCUGUGUACGCAGGAGUUUGCGGAGAAGAAGCCUUACGAGGAGAGAUCCUGAUCGUGGUCGAGUUGGUUGAGGAGAGAGCUUGGUCGUGGUCGAGCAGGGAACCAAAAUCUCGCAUCAACACAGUUUCUGUUGCAAUUGUAUUGGCCUGGGUUUAGGGAACUGUCAACUUUCAGAAGAAGAUGGAGUUUCUCAAACCAAAUCUAAGAAGAUAUCUCACAUUCCCCACAUGGUCUCAACGCACAGGUAAGUUCUUCUCUAGCUCUGUUUUUCAUUGUUUGUUAUUUUUAAUGUAACUAAGAAGCAGAGUUAAUCUCUUAUCUUGUCCUUGCUUUGAGAAAACCUGCUUUUACAUCUAUUUUUAAUUCACAUGUCCACAGUAAUUUCAUUUUAGUUUGAGCUGAGUGAUAACUGUUCAAGGCUCACUUACUCAUUGGGAGAAGCUGCAUGACGCAGGCUGCAAGGAUUUAGAUUUUCAUUCGAAGGCUCACUUACUCAUAGUGUGCAUGUUUCGUUACGAUUAAAAUGAUUAGUCUCUUGUUCUUAAGUAUACAAUUUCCAAUGGAUUUGAUAGAGCGGUCAUCAACCAUAUUGAUGUUAUUGGAGUAGCACUGUUCUUAAGCACUGCUUUGAGGUCUCUCCCUCUCUAUAUACAUUGAUAGACUAUUCUGGUCGUACCAAAUUAUCCUUGUUUUAUUGUUUUGUUUGUUAAACUUUGACUGGGGGAAUCUGUUUAUUUGUCUGAUAUGAUGUUAGUGUGGUUUCGAUUGAAGUGUGUUGAUCUAUCACCAAGUAUUAUUUCAAUUUUUCUUUACCUAAUCAACUUGCAUACUUUCCAAGUCUAGAUCCUUAACAAUAGUGAGACUCCGCUACAGAAGUACGAUUUCUCUAGUUUUGUAGUUAAAUACGUAAGAAUAGUUUUAAAUUAACAGAACUCUGAGAUAGUUCUCUGAGGAAAUACAAGUGGUGAAUAUGGUUCCAACUUUUAAGUGCCUUAAGAUUCCCAUUUGUUCAGCCCUGUGCGUAAACAAUCAGUAAUUUCUGUCCAAAUUCUUCUUUAAUGCCUAUAUGUGUUGGACUUUGUCUACUGUUCAACUUCUCAAAUGGAUUCCAUGCAGGGUUUUGAAUGUCCAAUUAGGAGAAAGAUCAAGGCUUGCUUGGCUAGGAGUGGAAGCGGAUCCACUACUUCAGUCAGAUGACCUUUUGAAGAAGGCUUACAACAGGCCGUCUCAGGAUGUCAAUGGCUCAACUCAAAAGUCCCCAAAGUGGUUGAUAUCGAAGAAUGCCGUUGUCUCUGGGCUUGGGCUCCUUGGCAUCAAACAAGGGAAUGUCGACUCUGUUGAAGGGGAAGCAAGGGCUCCUAAAGUGCGAAGAAAGAGGAUAGGCCGGAAGAAGGUGACCGCAUAAAUUUCUUGGGAGUUGAUCCUAGUCAAUAGCCCAAUUUUUUUGUCAAAACAUUGGUCCCGAUUCCAGCAAAACAGUAACUUCCAUUCAAAAGGGUUCAGCGUUGAGUGCAUGUAAUCUGCACAAGUUUGACAAAAAAUAACCGAAAAAAAAAAAAGAAACCCACGUCCAAAGAUGCCGUUGAAAAAAGUUAUUGGGUAUUCAUAAUAAAAUAAACAAAUAAAAAAAUGAAUAAAAAUUUAAAUACUUAAUUAAUUUUUAUCAAAUUCUUAUCAAAUAUUUAAAAAAGUAUAUAAAAUGAAUUAAUUGAUGGUAUUAUUAAUUUUCAUGAUGAUUUUUAAUAUUAUAUUAGUGAUUAGUAAGUUUAAUACAAUCAAUAAUGCAAGAAAUUAUUAAAUGGUUAAUUUUAUUGGCAAAUUUUAUCAAAUACGCAAGUAAUGAAAAAUUAAUCUCAAGAGUUAGUAGAAGUAAAGUUCUAAUUUAACCAGAUGAUAGAUAAUAAAUACAAAUAAAUUUUAAGUAAAUCAUAAAUUAAAAAUAAAUAAAUUAAUUAAUAUUAAGUAUAAAUAAAAAAUAAUGACAUAAAUUAAAGUCUCAUAAAUGGAUAACUUUUUUUCUUUAAUCUUAUCCUAAGUCCCAACUAAAGGAAUGUGUAAAUUAGGAUUAUUAAUCCCAUAAUUUUAGGAUUAAACUUAAAUUUAGUCCCUUAGUCCAAUUCAAUUAAGCUUACCAAAUAUGAUAUAAAUAUAUAAUCACAAAAUUAGUCCAAUUCCAUACUUAAUCCUAGUAUUCGAACAUGGCCGGAUAAAAUAGUUUAGAUAAUAUACUUCUAUGGCUCACAAUUUAAAUAAAUUUGAGAAUUUAAAUAAGGGAUGGAAAAUUCACAAUAAUCAUACCAUGUACUGUCUUUUCUUCCUUUUCUUAAUUAAAUAAAAGAAAAAAAAUUAAUGACAGAACCACUGCUGUGUGAUAUCGAUGAAGUCGCAUUCGCCUACCUAAUAUUGCGCAAUCAGAUAGAAAAAAGGGUCGGCUGCAUGAUUUUUCCAACUUUUGUCUUAUUUUUCUCUUUUCCACUACAAAUUAAUUUGAGAAUGUUAUAUUUUCCAAUUCUCUUUUUGUCGUGACAUAAUAGACUAAAGCGGAAUCACAUACUUUUUCAAAUGACCAAAUGGCUUUGGCCUACCUGAUAAUAAAAGGAAUGGAUCCAUACGUUAAAGCUAAAUUGAAAAAUAUAAUAAAUAAAUUGUCAGGAGAUGAUUUUAUCAAAAAUUUCACUCGCACGGUCCCGACCAAAUACAAAUUUGUGAUGAUAUUCAUAAUGAAUUUAUACCAUUAGGCGAAAUUACUCUAUAUAGUUUCAUCGAUAUAUAUUAUACCAUUACAAAUAUACUAAUAUUUAUAAUAAAAAAAAUUUAUGACUAUUUUAAAUCGACUGUAUUAUAUGUGAAUUCACAAGAUUCAUAGAUAGAUUGCACUGAGCUUUUUGUUGCAGUUUACAAAUAUUUUGUUACUAAUUAUCUUAAGAGCAGCAAGUAACUAAAUACAAAUGUAAGAAAUUUCACAAGUGCUGAUGCUGUGUACUCUGCAGAAUUAAUAAUGGAUUAUUAUGAAUCAGAGAAACAGGGCAGACGCUGUACAAUUAUUGACGUGGUGGAGCAGAAAGCUAGCCCCACAUGGUGACUCCUUUAAUUUGCAGCACAAAAGAACGUUCACAUUGACAUUGACUCGAGGGUAAAAAGAAUGCAAACAUGCUUGAAUGAACAUUCUCACAGAAUACAUAAAAGCAAGAAAAGCAAUUGCAGCAUUUUCCAUUUGAUCUAAUAUCAGAAUGGCUCUUGCGAUCGUUUGCGCUCUCUUGGACCAGCUGAAUUCCAUUGCUCAAGAAAAGUGGAGGCUUUUGACGGGUGUCGAACAAGAAGUGGGAAAGCUUACUACCAAUCUUCAAGCCAUUCAAGCUGUGCUGGAAGAUGCAGAGCAGAGGCAAAUGAAGCAGGACAGAGCUGUUACUCUUUGGCUGGAUCAGCUCAGAGACGCAUCCUACGACAUGGAAGAUGUGUUGGAUAAGUGGAUCACUGAAACACGGAAAUCGCAGCUUGAUGAGGGCGGCGAUGAUGAAGAUGAUGAUAACGACAAUGCUUUUGUUACUCUUUUGACGAAGGUAUGUUCCUUCUUUCCUGCUGCCUCAAACUGCUUUGGUUGUUUCAAACAACUCAGUCUUCGUCAUCAUAUUACUGUCAAGAUUAGAGAAAUCAGUAAAAGGCUAGAUGAUAUUGCCAGACAAAAAGAUAGUUUCAAAUUUGUUGAGAAUGUGAGUAACAAUGUUAAGAAACCAGAGCGAGUGCGAACCACCUCCUUGAUUGAUAAGGGAGAGGUUUUUGGUAGAGUUGAUGAGAAAAAUGAGCUCUUAAGCAAGUUGUUGUGUGACAGUAGUGAACAACACCCUCAUAUCAUCUCAUUGGUUGGGUUCGGGGGUAUAGGCAAAACCACUCUUGCACAACUAGCCUAUAAUGAUGAUGAGGUGAAAAUAAAUUUUGAAAAAGUUAUAUGGGCGUGUGUAUCAGACACUUUUGAGGAGAUUAGGGUCGCCAAAGCAAUCAUUGAAGGUCUAGGCGAGUCAAAAAAAGCUUCUGGUUUAAGCGAAUUCCAAUCUCUUAUGAGCCAUAUCCAUAGAUCAAUUGGGGGAAAAAAAUUUUUUCUUGUCUUAGAUGAUGUAUGGGAUGGGGAUUCCAAUAAAUGGGAUCCAUUCUUCUUUUGUCUAAAGAAUGGUCUCCACGGAAGUAAAAUUUUGGUUACCACACGUAAUGAGUCAAUUGCACGUAUGAUGGGAACAACAGAGUCAGAUACUAUCUCCAUUGAACAACUGGCUGAAGAGGAAUGCUGGUUGUUUUCCAAGCAGUUAGCAUUUUUCGGUCGCUGUUUCGAGGAUUGUGAAAGAUUAGAACCAAUCGGGCGAAAAAUUGCACGCAAGUGCAAAGGCCUGCCUCUUGCUGCAAAGGUAAUAGGGAAUCUCUUGCGCUCUAAAAUUACAGUAAAAGAGUGGCAAAGAAUGUUAGAUAGUGAAAUGUGGAAAUUAGAAGAGAUUGGGCAAGGUCUUUUGGCUCCUUUGUUGUUGAGUUAUAACGAUUUGCCCUCCAAUUCGAUGGUAAAACGGUGUUUCUCAUAUUGUGUUGUCUUUCCAAAUGACUACAGUAUGAAUAAAGAAGAAUUGAUUAGUCUGUGGAUGGCUCAAGGCUACUUUAACGCAGAAGAAGACGAAGAAAUGGAGAUGAUUGGAGAAGAGUAUUUCAACAUAUUAGCAGCACGCUCUUUCUUUCAAGAGUUUAAAAAAGAUUAUUUCAAUGGUGAUUUUAUGUGGUGUAAGAUGCAUGACAUAGUACAUGAUUUUGCCCAAUUUAUAAGUAGAAAAGUAUGUCUGUGGCUAGAAAUUGAUGGUACCAAAGAAUCAGUCAUAAACUCUUUUGGUGACAAAGUCCGUCACUUAGGGUUAAAUUUUCAAGGAGGAGCUUCAUUUCCUAUGUCCAUUCAUGGACUUAAUAGAUUGCGUACCCUCUUAAUUUAUGAUAGAAGUCAUUUCAUUCCAUCUCUUAGUAGUAGCAUCCUUUCGGAGUUAUUUAAUAAAUUGGUGUGUUUAAGGGCAUUAGUUAUAAGGCAAUUUAACCUUUAAGUUUGCAUCCUGUGCCAGAUAGGAUUAGAGAAAUUCCAGAAAAUGUUGGAAAAUUGAUACAUUUAAAAUAUCUUAAUUUGAAUGGACUAUGUAUAAAGAGACUACCUGAGACUUUGUGUGAAUUAUAUAAUUUACAAAAGCUAGAUAUUAGGUGGUGCCGAAAUCUUAGAGAAUUGCCUGCGGGGAUUGGGAAGUUAAUGAACAUGAGGAGUUUACUGAAUUACGACACUCGUUCGUUGAAAUACAUGCCAAUAGGGAUUUCCAGAUUGACCAGCCUUCGAACAUUAGAAAAGUUUGUUGUGGGUGGAGGUGUUGAUGGCGGCAGCACGUGUAGGCUUGAAUCUUUGAAAAAUCUUCAACUCCUUCGUGAAUGUCGAGUAGAAGGGCUGAGUAAUGUAUCGCAUGUAGAUGAGGCUGAGAGGUUACAACUUUACAAUAAGAAAAACCUCCUUCGUUUGAAUCUCAAGUUUGGUAUAGCCGUAGAUGGGGAAGGCGAAGAAGGGAGGAGGAAGAAUGAGAAAGAUAAACAACUUCUUGAAGCCUUACAACCGCCUUUGAAUGUAGAGGAAUUACGGAUUUUGUCCUACGGAGGCAACAUGUUUCCCAAAUGGUUGACUUUGCUAACCAAUCGAAGGGAACUAAGGAUUGAUUUUUGUGAAAAUUUGCAAGAACUGCCAAUUCUAGAAGAUUGCAGGACAACAGACAUACCGCAUCUUUCUUUCUUGAUUAUUCAGAAUUGCCCCAAAUUAAAGGUGCUGCCGGAUUACCUUCUUCGGACGACGACGCUGCAGAAAUUGACAAUUUGGCGAUGUCCCCUUUUGGAAAACCGUUAUAGAGAGGGGAAAGGAGUAGACUGGCAUAAGAUAUCUCACAUUCCCCACAUCAAGUUGUCGCUGUGGAUGCCGUAAGAUAUCACUGGACGGUAAUUUCUCCUCCUCUGAUAUACUUCGUUGUUGCUUGCAAUGAAAUUAAUAAAAAUAAUUAUAUUUUGAAUUAAAAUUCUAUAUAGAAUCAAUCUUGGUAUAAAUAUGUAAAACUUCCUAGUUAUCAAAUCUGUUAGACUUGUUUUCUAUAUUUAUUUACUUUAAAAAAAUAUGUGCUCUUUUGUAAAAUUUGAUACAACAUCAUAGAAAAUCCCAAUGUAAUUUAUUUUUUAAUGUACGAAAAUUUGUUAUGUGUGACGUCCUGAGUGACAAAAUCUCCUUGAUACAUUUGCAGUAAUGUCGAAAACUAAAUUAUCAAUUUUAUCUUGUAUAAUGAUAAUCUUAUUUUUUUAUAUAUAAUUUACGUGACAUUAAUUCUUUAAAGUAAUUGUGUAAUUGUUUUUACUACAUUAGCCCACUUUGUUUUUUUUCAUACUUGUUUAAUUAUGUUCACCAGGGAUUCGAGGAAAUGUCAGAACUACACUAGCAAUUCACAGGUCCAAGCUAAUUUGGUUUUAAUGAUGCAGGCAGGAGAGCAAGACUAUGAAAAUGAAAAGUUUAGCCAAAGGAUUGCUAAAAUGUUCUGCUGGUAAUUCCCUUGCUUUAUUUUAUAGAAUUUCAUUUCUAUCUUCUUCUAUUGAUAUCUUGUUGUGAAUAAACAAGAACAGAGAGUAAAUGAUUGAACCACAGAGAAGUAAAGUAAUAUCAAAAUUCGCUAUUAUGAUGAUUUUAAAGCAAGCUCAAGCUCAAGCUUGCAUUUUUAUUUUAUUUUAUUUAUAGAACUUCCAUUUCCACCUGCAUUUCAUUUUUAUUAGACUCUAUGGAGCACAUUGGGGUAACCAAGGAUUAUCACUGUCGUUAUUGUGCAACGUUGGGUUGCUGGACUUUGAAGAAGGAAGCGAUGGCCGGGUCUGCUCUGUUUCAAUUGAGGAUGGAUAGCUGCCUGAAAGACAUGAUGAUUAUUAUUGCAUGAUGUUAAGGUGCUGAGAUCAUCAUUUCUAUCUUGUUUCAUUCUUGGAAUCGUUUAUCAUAUGCGUCAAUGGAGGCAGGUAUUUGGUGUUGACACUAUUAUGCAGGUAACCACACUUGAUAAUUUGCACAAAUUUGCGUUGUCAGAAUACCCUUUAAUAUUCAUUGUGUUUCUUUGUGUUAUCAGGUUAUCAUCUCCAAGGGUUUGAAAGAGCCUUUGCAGUUGUCAGAAUACCCUUUAAUAUUCAAUUAGGUACGUUUUGGUGCGGUCUCCCAAUGCUAAUAUCAUAUUUUGUAUAGCAAUUAAAAUUUAGCUAUACAAUUUUAAUAUGCAAUAAAUCAUUGUAUACAAAGUUUUUUAUUAAUUAUAUGGUGACUGAAAUUUUAAUUAUCAUAUCAAUUUAAAUUUUUUUGUAACUCUCUUUUACUUUGCUUGUACAGAGUACCUGUUUUGGCUGAUAUGUCUAAUUCGUAGAAAUUUAUUUCCAUCGGUUUCCAUUGGCUUUAGCACAAACAGAAACAGAGCUCUGGGGAAAAGUUUGACUUCUUGUGGUAUUAUGCCUUUGUUUCUUCAUUCAUCAUAUUUUUCGAAUUCAUGCUCUCAUUCAGAGGGUAAAGCCUUUUCAUGGCUGCUUUGUAGCCAAACUUUGACGCCAUUGAUGCAUGACUGUCAUUUAGAUUUUCCAAUAACGGUUAGAUUGGAGAAGAAUAAGAAGAUAUUGUUAAAAGGGUAUUUAAUUAGCGCCGUCUGAAUUUAGUUGCCAAUAAUGCAUUGAAAUAGUUGGGGAAAGUUAUUGUCUUAAUUAAAUUACAGGUGAUAAGAUGCUGCCUCAAUUUUGUAAGCAUCUCGUAUUGAGAAGAUUAAUUGUUGACAAGCCAAAUUUUAGGCAAAUUUUACCGUGAUUCUUGACAUCAUGGUAACACAGGUCAAAUUUUAGUAUCAAGACAUAUCUUCUUCUUUACUGUUCUGCCUCUAAAUAUUAAACUUUAGGCAAGUUGUUUUUGUUUGUGUAAGUUAUCAGGUUAAGGAUACCAAGCAGCUUAAUUGUUCACCACACCUGGUAGGAAUGAUCGCCAGGAAGAUUAAUUGUUGACAAGCCAAUUUUAUCAGUGUUAGAUUUUUUGCCUCCCUUUGAGAGAUAUCAUCAUCAAAUUUGUGUAGAGAAUCUUUGAAGAGAAUUUUGUUGUGAGAGUUUCACUGUAGUGAAUUUUGGGAGCUUGAACUCACUUGAGUGAGAUAAUAGAGUGUAUUGGGGAUUUGGGUUAUGAGUAAUCGUUAUCCUUCCAAUAUUUGCAAGCUCUUACUUGUUAGUAAAAUCAUCUUCGUAUAUUGACUCUGUUUCUUUGUUCCUUAUUUAAUUAGUUUCGAUUAUCAUAAUUAGUCACUCAUUCUGAAUUUUUCUAAUUUUAAAGUUCCUUAGGUCCGCCACCAGUUUUUCAAGUCUGCAUAUGGCUGCAAAAGAUCGAUGGUCAUAAAAUUAUCUUGAGCCUUGAGGCAUUGCGUUCGAGCUCACACUGUAACAGAGAUAAAGAUAAAGAAGACAGUAGAAGAUGCUCUAAACAUAACAAAAGUAUAUUUCUACGUCUUGUGGUUGCUUUAAUUUACUUUUGUUUCUUCUGUCAUCAUAUUUGAUUAAUUCGUUCGAAUUCACACUCUCACAUUAUUUAAAACUAUUUGUAGGUGGCUUGCAAGCUAGUUACGUUAAUGCAAAAACAAUACUCUAGACAAAGAUGAGCAAAUUAAAGGUGAUAAAUGCAAAUUGAAUGUCCAUGAAUAAUUGUUAGGCCGGUGCUGAUAAAUUGCUUCAAAGCAAGCAGCAUCUUCUGCUGCGAAGGCUUUCCCCACAUGAUAUGUUGUGAUUGUUACCGGCCCCGUAUUUAUUAACUCAGGUCAGUAUUAUCUUCUUCAUCAUUUUGGCUAUAUAUAAAGAUUAAAAUUUUGAACACUUGUCUCGGUUUCUUGUGUAAUCAGGCUAAUAGAGCAAAUGUUUACUGUCUAAGCACUAAUGCGACAAUCCCAUCUGUAAAUUUGGGCCAUCUUUGAUGUCUGACAGGUAAGCUGUGACAAUCCCAUCUGUAAGUACUAAUGCGCUUGGUUAUAGUGCUUUCAUUGGACUAUAUGCAAACAUGAGAUAUCAACUAUUGUGUGGAUUUGAUAGAGCGGUCACCAACCAUUUUGAUGUUAUUGGAGUAGCACUGUUCUUAAGCACGGCUUUGAGGUCUCUCCGUCUCUCUUUUACGUAUUUGUCUAUUGAUCGACAUCUCUAUAUAUACAUUGAUAGACCAAAUUACUCUUGCUUUAAUGUUAAUGUGGUUCCUAUAAAAGUGUAUAUAAAUCUAUCACCUCAAAGUCUGAUUUCAAUUUUCCUUUACUUAAUCAACUAGCAUCCUUUCCAAGUCCAGAUACUUACCAAUAGUGAGACUUUGCUACGGAAGUACAAUUUCUCUUGUUUUAUAGUUAAGUAUGUAAGAAUAGUUUCAAAUUUACAAAUUUCUGAUAUAGUUCUCUACGGAAAUGCGAGUGGUGAAUAUGGUUCCAACUUUUAAUAGGCUUAAUUGGCCCAUUUGUUCAGCCACAGUGAUUGCGGUCUGAAUUCUUCUUUACUGUCUCUAUGUGUUGGAGUUUGUCUAUUGUCCAACUUCUCCAAUGGAUUCCAUGCAGGGUUUUGAAUGUCUAAUUAGGAGAAAUCAACGGAUGACCUUUUGAAGAAGGCUUACACAACAGGCCAUCUCAGGAUGUCAUGGCUCAGCUCAAAAGUCCCCAGGUGGUUGAUACCAAAGAGUGCCAUUGUUUCUGGGCUUGGGCUCCUUGGCGUCAAACAAGAUAAUGGGAAAUAGGGGCAACUAAAGCGCGAAGAAAGAGGAUGGUCUGGAGGAAGGUGUCUGCAUAAAUUUGUUGGAGUUGAUGUAGUCAAUUGCCCAAUUUUGCUGCCUGUCGAAGAGACACAGCAUGGAAGUCCUCAUCAAACUCUGAGACACCUAAGAAAUAGUAUGAGGUGGUGGUAUUCCCCUGGUGUUAAUUUCCUGGCAAGUGUGGUUCACAGAUAGAGGGAUUCUUUUCUUGAUGUCUAAAUACCAAAUGUGAUGCAACGUCGUAUAUUCUAAGAUAUUAAAUUCUAUUUCAGAUUUCUCAUAUAGUGUCGUUGUCACUUCUGUGGUACACUUUUGAUCGCAAAUUUCCAUUUGAAGUAGCCGAUAUUCUUUACAGACUAAUUAUCUAAUGAUUAUUUUGUACAAAAAAAAUCAAAACUUUAAUUAUUUGAUCAUACUCAACUUAGGUCUUAUUCGAUAUUACUAGUUGUUAAUGUGUAAUAAAUGUAUGACUUUUAAAUAAUAAUUUUAAUAAAAAUAAUAAAGAUAUUAUAAGUUUUUUUUUAUAAUAAAGUAUGAGAUCAAAUCAAAUUAAUUUUGAAGUCACAAUAGCAAAUGUUUACCAAAACUAUUUAAUUAUAUGACUUAAAAGAUAUAGUUGUCCAAUCCCAACAAUAUAUAUAAAGAUUUACCAAACUUUACCCGACUUUAGUUGUACCCACUUGAUUAUGUAAGUCCAUUCUCCACGCGCUUGACCAUAUGAGAUGUUACUCAACUUUAACAAAUCUUACUUAAACUUUGCACGUUUGACAUGUUGGAUGAAAUAUAGCAUAUGAUGUGAUAGAAUACAAUAGGAAUGGUUGUAACAAGAUUAUAAUUAGUACUAGUUUGUAUUUUAUGUGAUGUAGAACGCAUUAUAUUACAACUUUUAGUGUUAUACUAAUUAAAAAUUUGAAUUAUUUUAUUAUUGUAAAAAUUUAAUAUCUUAAAUAACAGUUAUUUUAAUUAAGUAUUUUUGUUGCAAUGAAUUAUACUUUUUUAAAUAUAAUUGAAAAUUCUUAUUACUAAACUAAUAAAAAAUUAAUUAUUUGAGUUAUCUCCUAAACUACUUAGCUUACGAGAUAAAUUCACUUUGUUUAGAAUGAAACGGAUUACAUUUAGUACUAUUUUGUAUUUUAUGUGACGUAGUGUAUGAUUCAAUUAUAUUACAAAUUUUAUUGUAAUAAAAAAAUUUUGAAUUAUUUUAUUAUUGUAAAAAUACAAUAUCUUAAAUAACAAUUAUUUUUAUUAAGUAUUUUUUAAUGAUUUAAAAUAUAAUUGUAAAUUCUUAUUAUUAAACUAAUAAAAAAUUAAUUAUUUGAGUCAUCUCCUAAACUACUUAUUUCACGAGAUAAUUUCACUUAGUUUAGGAUGAAACGGUGGGUUAUUUUUAUGUGGGAGCCACAUCCUUUCCAUAUGAGAUGUUACUCAACUUUAACAAAACUUACUCAAACUUUGCACGUUUGGCAUGCCGGAUGGAAUAUGAUAGUAUAUGAUGUGAUAGAAUAUUAUAUGAUUAGAUGUAAUAGGAUUAUAUUUGGUCUUGUUUUAUAUUUUAUGUGAUCUAGUAUAUGAAUGGAUUAUAUUACAAAUUUUAUUGUUAUAAUAAUUAAAAUUUUGAAUUAUUUUAUUAUUGAAAAAAUAAAUAACAGUUAUUUUGAUUAAGUUUUUUUUUUCUGUUGAAUUAUAGUUUUAAAAUAUAAUCCAAAAUUUUUAUUACUAAACUAAUAAAAAAUUAAUUAUUUGAGUUAUGUCCUAAACCAACUUAGCUCACGAGAUAAAUUCACUUAUUUUAGAACGAAACGGCGGGUUUUAUGUGGGAAGCCACAUCCUUUCCAUAUCAACCUCAACAUCCAAACAUGAAAUUGGACUAAGAAUAGUUCUUUCCCAUGUAUUUACGUACCCUCCUGCCACUAAACGUAAUUGUAUAUUUUGGACCUUAUUUGACUUGAUUUUAUUAACUUAAUUUUCUCCAAUUUCCAUUGUCGACGUUGAGUGCAUGUAAUUAAUCCACAAGUUUUGAUUGAGCAGAAAUAGCCAAAAAAAACUGAUGAUAUGAUAAUAGCAAAAAAUCUAAUGACACCCACGUCCAAAGAUGCCGUUGUCACAAAGGCCUGGACGCCAUACCUCGAACCCAUCCCCUUUUACCAUGAGUGAUGAUACAGCCACAAACUCUUAUACAAACUUAUUUUAUACAAACUAAUGUGACAUCAAUUCAAUGGUUGAAUGAAAAUAUAAAAUAAUGAAAGUAAAUCAUGUGGGCCAAGAGAUAUUUAAUUUAACCAAUAAAUUGACGCCACAUAAGUUUGUACAAAAUAAAUUUGUAUAAGAGUUUGUGGCUGUAUUACUGUAUUAUUACUCUUUUACCAUAUUUUAUAAUUAAAGAGGUCAUUGUUUGAAAGAAAAGAAUGACAUGUUGGUAUGAAAUUACGUUAAAAUGAAUAUAUCACUUUUUUUUUUGUGUGAGUGAUGGCUUCGUUUAAUGACAAUUGGCAGACAAUGAAUCAUCUUUUAAUUUUAGUUUUGAUUUAAUAAAAAAUAUUAAUUUUUGUAGUUUCGGUAGAUGAAAUUUCGAAUCAAAUAUUAAUAUCGUUAAAGUACGCAACUCAAUAUUUACUUAAAUCAGAAAAAAGAUUAAUUGCUUUACAUGAAAAAGAAAAGAAAAGAAAAGAGUGAUCACUUGAUUUAACUUCCUUUACUAAAUUUACGAUUUAAAAUCUAAAAUGGAAAAAGGAAAACAAGUUUUGGAAACACACUCGGAGUUUUAAAUUGAUAUGAAAAAAGAGUUUAUUAUUGACAAUCUUUUUCCCAAAAUUUAAGCUAAGACAACAAUAUGUCCAAAAUACCCUCCACAUUAUCCCAAAACUUUAUAAACUCCCCCGUUCCUCUCAACAUCAUCUCUUCCAAAUCUUUCUUCCCCCCAAAAACCAGCCAUGGCUUCAUAUUCAAUUACCUCAACACUCCAAUAUUGGCUUGUAAACCACCCCCAAAUCCUCAACUUCACAUGGACUCCGAACCAAACACUAGCUUCCUCCCCACACUUCCUCAUUCUCUCCAUCCUCACUUACCUCUCCCUCACAUUCAUCCUCUACCACGCAUCAACAUCAACAUCACCACCUCUCAUUGGACCCCACAUCCUCAAGCCCAUCACAGCCGUCCAUAACCUCACCCUCUUCGUCCUCUCCCUCAUCAUGGCCGUUGGUUGCACUCUCUCCAUCAUCCUCCAUUUACCCUACCUCCGUUACACCCUUUGUUUCCCCACUACCAUUUCUCCGUCUGGCCCUCUCUUCUUCUACGCUUACAUCUUCUACCUCUCCAAAAUACUCGAAUUCUUUGACACCCUUUUGAUCAUUUUAUCAAACUCCAUCCAACGGCUCACGUUCCUCCACGUCUACCACCAUCAACCGUCGUUGUAAUGUGCUUCCUUUGGUUACAGACGAAGCAGUCUUUGUUUCCUAUUGCAAUUGUCACCAAUGCAAGUGUGCAUGUGAUCAUGUACGGGUACUAUCUAUUGUGUGUGAUGGGGUUGCGGCCAAAGUGGAAGAGAUUGGUCACUGAUUGUCAGAUUCUUCAGUUUGUGUUUGGUUUUGCUGUUUCGGUUUUGAUGCUGUAUUAUCAUUUCACGGGUUUUGGUUGCUCUGGGAUUUGGGGAUGGUGCUUCAACGUUGUGUUUAAUGCGUCCCUUUUGGCACUUUUUGUUAAUUUUUAUUCCAAGAGCUAUGCUAAGAAAAAGAAGCAGGGAUGAUCAAAGUGCUAUGAUUGUUUUGUGUUUUCUUUUUUAAUUUAUUUGAUUUUGGUUAAUUAUGAAUGGUGGUAAUUGGUUGAAUGCAAUUGAAGAGAUGCUUUCAGUUGCCUAAACUUUGUUUUUUCAAUUUUUGUUAUAGAUGUCAUAUGUCACCACAUUUUUUUAGUCUCUCCCUUUAAAAUUCCCUCACACAAACUUCGGAUUUGUAUUUUGUAAACUAGAAUUUUUCAUUUUCGUUAAUGUGUUAGCUGUUAUUAUCUACAAUUAUGUCAUACGACACACAUGUCACAUCAACUAAAAUUAGAUUAUGAAUUUUGGGCACAGGGCCAAGUCCCACCGUUUGGUAGGAAAUAAGUGUUGGAUCAUAAACUUGAUCCAAGAUAAAUAAAUUCAACCUUAACUCAUGGAAGGUUCCAUGAGUAGGUAUGGUUAGUGAGGUUUGAAUUAUUUGUGUUAGGUGUGGUAGGUGUGGUUGGUGAAGUAGGUGAGUGGUAGGUUUUAAUGGAUGGUGAGUAUUUGUGUAUUAGUUGAAUAAAUGAAUGGUUGUGAUUAGUUUGUUUCAUGGAUAAAUACCCCCUCUCCCCUUUGGUUUAAAUAUCAAGUGAAAUAACAAAAUCUCUAAGGUGUAGAGAGUGAAAAAUAAGAGUUGUAAUUAGUGAGGAGUGUUGUUGAAGAAAUAAAAUAGUGUGUUUUAUUUGUUAACUCUCCAACAAAGUGGUAUCAAAGCUAGUGCUUGAUGCUAUAUAUUGUCAUAUAGCAUAUCAAAUCGAAGAUCUCGAUGAGAGGAACGUGACGCCGCAAAAAUCAUCCUGACCAAAGACCAGACGCGCCCAAGCUCGCCGUCAGAAUUUUUCUGUCCUGAAGCUGAGUCGACUCACCGAGUUGAACCAACCUGAGUCGAGCCGAACUGAACCGAAUCAAGUCGAACCAAGCCAACUGGAGUUGAACCAAUCCGGACCGAACCAAGACUACUAAGCCAACGCUGACCGUUGACUGAAAGUUGACUCAAGUUCUUCCCAAGGCUUUUCGACGUGCCGGAUCCAUCUGUGCUUUCAGAAUCUCCAAAUUCUCACUCAAUUUGUGAGUUAUGGAAAACGGUGGUCUGAUGUCAUUUCAAGUUCCACAAUUAAAGAGAAGUAAGUUUGACAAUUGGAGUAUUAAAAUGAAGGCUCUAUUGGGUGCACAUGACGUAUGAGAUAUCAUGGAAAAAAAGCUUUAUUGAGCCAGAAAAUGAAGCCACUUUAACUGCGGCAUAGAAUGAGAAUUUAAAAGACUUGAAGAAGAAAGAGAAUAAAGCAAAGUAUCUCAUCUUUCAAUCAUUAGAUGAAGAUGCCUUUGAAAAGAUUGCUGGUAAAACGUGAGAAACUAGAGACCUCUUACAAAGGAGCGAAGAAAGUUAAGAAGGUUCAUCUCCAAAUAUUCCGAGGAGAAUUUGAGUCCUUACACAUGAAGGCGUCGGAGUCAAUUUCUGAAUACUUUACUUGGGUUGUGACCAUUUCUAAUGAAUUAAAAAGAAAUGGCGAGGAGUUAAAAGAGGUAAGGAUCAUUGAAAAAAUACUUCGAUUAGUAUACUCGAAGUUUGACCAUAUUAUUGUGACAAUUGAGGAAACAAGAGAUCUAGAGGAUAUGACGAUCGAGCAACUUUAAGAAAGGUUGCAAGUCUAUGAAGAAAAACAAAAAAAGAAGCAAGGAAUCGAAGAACAACUUCUCAAGAUGGAGGUCAAUCCAAAGAAAAGAAAAGAAAGCUCCGACAACGGAAGAAGGCAUAUUUAUCUCCCAAGAAAGCUAUACAAAGGAGAUUCUAAAAAAGUUCAAGAUGAAUGAUUGCAAGCCUAUAAGCACGCCAGUGGAAUGUAGAGUCAAGUUAUCUAAACAUGAUGAAGGGGAAGAUAUAGAUCCAACAUUCUUUAAAAGUUUAGUCGGAAGCCUACGUUAUUUGACAUGCACCAGACCAGAUAUCCUUUAUGUUGUUGGACUUGUGAGCCGAUACAUGAAGAAUCCAAAGACCACCCAUUUUAAAGCUGCAAAAAGAAUCCUUUGCUACAUCAAAGGUACAACUAAUUUUAGCUUGUUAUACUCAUUUUCUAAUGACUCCAAGCUUGUUGGAUAUAGCGAUAGCGAUUGGGGUGGAGAUGUAGAUGAUCGAAAGAGCACCACAGGAUUUGUGUUCUUCAUGGGAGAUACUGCUUUCACAUGGAUGUCAAAGAAGAAAACAAUUGUCCUGCUAUGCACCUAUGAAGCUGAAUAUGUAGCUGCCACAUCAAGUGUUGAUAAUAAUUUGGCUCAGAAAUUUGUUGAAGGAAUUAGGUUUGCCACAAAAAGAGCCAACCGAGAUUUGUGUUGAUAACAAAUCAGCAAUUGCCCUAUCCAAGAAUCCAAUCUUUCAUGAUUGAAGCAAACACAUAGACACUUGCUAUCAUUUCAUAAGAGAAUUUAUUACAAGAAAAGAAGUGCAAGUCAAGUAUGUAAAAUCACAAGAUCAAGCAGCUGAUAUCUUCACUAAGCCACUCAAGCAAGAAGACUUCGUAAAAUUCAGAAGUUUGCCUGGUGUCACAGGAUCAAGUUUAAGGGGGGGUGUUGGAUCAUAAACUUGAUCCAAGAUGAAUAAAUUCAAGCCCAACUCAUGGAAGGUUCUAUGAAUAUGUAUGGUUGGUGAGGUUUGAAUUAUUUGUGUUAGGUGUAGUAGGUGUGGUUAGUGAAGUAGGUGAGUGGUAGGUUUUAAUAGAUGGUGAGUAUUUGUGUAUUAGUUGAAUAAAUGAAUGGUUGUGAUUAUUUUUGUUUCAUGUAUAAAUCUCUAAGCUGUAGAGAGUGAAAAAUAAGAGUUGUAAUUAGUGAGGAGUAUUGUUGAAGAAAUAAAAUAAUGUGAUUUUUGUGUGUUUUAUUUGUUAAUUCUCCAACAAUAAGGAGCAUUAAUGAAAUAUGUUUAAUUAAGUAAUAAUUUGUUAUUUUAGAGUGAAAAAUAAGGGUAAAUUGUAUUCUACCCCAUAUUAGAUUGACAAACUUCAAUUUACCCCUUAAAAGUACAAAAACUUCAACUUAUCUCCAAAUACCAUUUUCUUCCCGUUAAAUUUAACUAUCGAAAGUAUAAAAUUAUAGUCUUACAUUCUCUCAACAGUCAACUCAUGGAUAAGAAGUCAAAACAUAUAUAUAAGGUAAUUUCCAUAAAACCCAAUGUAGGGGCGGGCAAUUGUUUGGUUUAGAAGUUAGGAACCGAAUGGUUUGAAAACAAAUGAACUGAUUGGUUUAUAUUUGGUUUACUUUGAACUGACAAACCGAUUGGUUCGCUUAAACUUAAUUAAAAAUACAUUUAUUUUAAAAUAUAAAUGCUUAAAAUAAUUUUUUUUUUCAUUUUUCAGUUUCCUAAUCUAAAAAUGUUUCAUAACCCUAAAUCAGCCGCCAUCUCUCUCAAGGUCGACGGCGGCACAACAAGCUCUCUCGGUCUCUCCCUCGCAAUCUCAUGGUGAUUGAUUUCUCGUGAUGUCUCCACUUUUGUUUCUUGUUCUUGUGUGAUCGAAUUCUCUCUAUACACACAUAGCCUAGCCUCUUGUUUUUUGGCUCAAUGGAGUUUCGUUUCUUUUCUCUCAGUUUCUUUCCUGUUGAAUUCUCGUGAUGUUUCUAUUUUUUUCUUUUUUUUUAGACAUGUUUUCGAAAUUGGCAUAAUACGAACCAAACCUGAACUGAAUUUCAAAAUCAAAUCGAAUUGAACCAAACUGAAAUUUUUAUGUUCGGUUUGGUUCGAUUAAAAAAUUUGGUAUGCGUUCGGUUCUCUUUCUUACGAACCAUUGGGUUUUAGUUCGGUUCGGUUUUGGUCUAGAAAAGAACUAACUAGAACCGAACCAAACCAAACCAAACCAAACCAUUUACUGGCCACCUUGCUCAUAUGUUUCAACAAAUUUCAAUGCACACUUAAACAUUUCAAUAAAAUUCGCUUUGUACCCAAAUUGAUAAUUUUUACUUUUUAAUUAGUUAAUUGUUAACUGCAGAAGUAUAAAAAAUUAUUUCUUUUUAAAAUAAGAAAAAUAAUUUUUUUCUAACUUUUUUCCUUUUUUAUUUUCUAGUUAAUUUCUUUAUCUGGUUCGGUUCAUUUUUCCCUUUUUUAUUUCUUACUGUUUUCCGCAUGUUCUCCACGCUUGAACUUUGCCAAGCAUCAUAAGGCCACAGUAGCCAUGCCAGCAACUUGCAACUAGGGGUGGGCAAAAAAACCGUAGUCUUAAAAAAACCGAACCGAACCGACGGUUUUUUCUAAUUCGGUUCGGUUUUUAUUUUUUUAAAAAACCGAAUAUACCGUUUGUAAAAAAAACCGAAAUGUCGGUUCGGUAUUCGGUUCACUUAGCUGAACCGAAAAACCGAACCGAAAAACCGAAUUAUUUUUUGAUUUUAUUCAAAUCAAACAUGUGUUAAUAAUUUUAUUCAAAUCAAACAUGUGUUAUUUCUCUUUAUAACAUUAUGAUUAUGUUUAUAUAGAUGGAGUAUUGGAGUUUGGUUAUAUAUUUUGAAAUUUUAAUAUUUCAUAUAUUUGGGAGUAUCUUAUUAAUAGUUAGUAAGAUAUUAGUGAUAAAAUGUGUUUUGAAUACUUUGUAUUUAUUGUUAAUAUUUGUAAUAAAAUUAGGAUAAAUUAAUUGUUGAAAAAAAUUAUUACAUUUAUGAGGCCCAAUGGGCUAAAAAUUUUAAAAUUCAAAAUAGGCCUAAUAGGCCCAGAACCGAAAAAACCGAACCGAACCAAACCGAUCUGAAAAGAACCGUUUGAGUUCGGUUCUUAUUGAGUUUGGUUCUUAUUCGGUUCUUUUUAUAAAAUAACCGAUUUAAAUCGGUUCUACUUAAUUUCGAACCGAACCGAACCGAACCGAACCGAACCGUGCCCACCCCUACUUGCAACAAAGUUUAGAGCUGCGCGAUGGUUGCAGCAACGUUAACGCCGCUAUUCCAAGUCUUGGCCCAUCAUCUCCUUUUCAACAAAUCUUAGCUUCUUCCCAAAUUCAUCAAUGAACCCCAAAACCAGAAUAAUCAUUAAAAUUAUUAACAACCAUUUGCUUGGAUCAAUGUAUGCUUGGCAUGUCUAUGGGCUUACUUGGAAUGGUCGCUGAUGGCCAUGGGCUUGCUUGGAUUGGCCGCGCACAGCCAUGGGCUUGCUUGGAAUGCCGGUACCCGUUUGCCACGGUUUUGCUAGCGUAUCCAUGGGUUUUGUUGGACAUGGCAGUGCGAGGCCAUGGGUGUUGCCGGACAAUGGACAUGGGUUUUGCUGGGCUGAUUAGGAAUUAACAGAGGCUAUGGAGUUGUUCAGUGUGUGAAAGAGAAAAAAACAUGAACGAAGAAGAAUAUGAACAGGGAAUAGAACGAAGAAGAUGAAGAAAGUAGAAGAGAGGGAAAAAAUAUUUUGCUUUUUUAUAAAUUUUCGGAUUUUUAUUUCAAAAUUUAUAAUUUUUGUUUAAAUUUGAGAAUCUUAAGGGUAAGAUUUUCUUUGUAACUAUGUGUAGAAGGAGGUUUUCAGAUGGUUUUUGGUUGGGUUAACAUGAAAUAUGCUUGUUUUAUGAAAUAUUAUUAUUGAGGUUUUGUUUUAUUUUCUAAAAAAUAGAUUAGAGGAUGAUUUUCAUUAAUGACACCCAUAAAGUUUGAAUUAGUUAUAUUAUAGAAAUAGUAGGGAUUUAAAUGAUAUAUCUUUUCAACAUAAAUAUAUCAGUAACAUAAGUUAUUCUAUAAUUAACAGGGUAUUAUCGUAUUUUAGUGAGUCAUUAUUGGUUGAUAGUUAUAUUUAACAGAUUUUAGACAGUAAAUUGAAGUUUAUUUUUUUUAUUUUUGAGUAAAUUAAAAUAUGUCAAUCUCAUAAGGGGUUAAAAUAUAAUUUAUCCAAAAAUUAGUGUUAAAAUUUUAUAGAUGAGUGUAUAUUAAGAUGUUCAAAGUAUUAGAACAUAAAUAAUCUUAGUUUUAAUAAAAUUUUGCCACAUAGUGAAUAUUAUCCUCAACCUCAAGAGAAACAUAUCAAUAAAAUAUACAAAAAUAGAAUGCAUUAGUACAUGUCAAUAACAAGACCAAUUAGAUCAUGUCAUAUUUGUUAUGUAGUUAUUUAAGCUAAUAGAGUAAGAAGUCCCAAAUACAUGUACAUCAUAUCUUGGUGAAGAAAUCGGUUCUACCCGAAAUACUUCUUCGUAUUGAAAUCAAUGAUGAUUGCUUGUUUAAAUAAUGAAAGUUAAAAUAAUUUUGUAAAUAAUUUCAUUCUUUAAUUUACGGUAUACAAAUAAAUUCAAAAAAUGUUAAUUUCUCUCAUACUUUUAGGACCCAAAAAAUAACAAAAAGUCUUAACAUAUUUAAUGGUUAUAUAUAAAUCAUCCGUACGUAUUUUUCUUGAGAGAAGCUCAAUUCGAUAGACAAUGCUCCCCUUAAUUUUCUUUUCUAAUUAGAUAAAAGAACAAGAGAAAUUGAUUACAAGAAUAACAAACUUUAAUUUACUUCUUAAAGGGUAAAAACCUUAAUUUACUUCUUAAAGGGUAAAAACCUCAAUUUGUCCUUAUAUUUGUUCAAAAGAUACAUUUUGUCUUCUUAAUAUAAACAAGUUAAAUUGAUGUUUCACAUCUUUUAGAAAUAAAUUAAAGAUUGUUAUUUUAAGUAGGAGGUAAAUUUCAAAUAAAACAUGUGUUCAUAUGAUAGAUGUGCAUUUUACAAUAAUUAAUAAACAAAAGGGUAGUGAUAUUUUCAACCUGUAAUUUUUGUAAAUCCACCCCCACUCCCAAGAAAUAAUUACAAUAAAUUCACAUAACUUUUUUAAAACUCAAAUAAAGAAAAAUUUUGGAGAUUUAAACUAUUGUAUACAAGAGGAUAAGAGUAAAUAUUUUUCAUGCAGUAUAAAAAGAAUGCGACAGCUCCUUUUCUUUCGGUAUUUUCACAACAAAAGCACACUUAAUAACUCAUCAAAUUAUUUCUCCUUUUCUUUGAUCGCUUCCCCUCUCCUGGAGCUGCUGAACUCCUUUGUUGCUGAUGAAGGGAACAAGUGAGGCUUUUCAAAAGAGGGCAAAGAGAUGGUGAUUCGAUUUGAUUCGAUAAUAGUAGUUUAUUUUAAUUGUUAUUCAUUUGAUUUCAUAGAAGUAAUUUUUAUUUUCAUUUUUUUGUUGAAAAUUGGUAAAAACGAACUAAAAUGAGAUAAUUACAUUAAAACAAUCUUCAAUGACUAAAGUAAUUUGAAAAAAUAAAAAUAAAAAUAAACAAGCUCAAAAUUUACCCCUAAUCCGAACAUUAUCCGAAUUCAGCCUAAUUGACCCAAAUCUAAUUGUAAUCCAAACUUGACAUGACCCGCAUAUAAUUAUAACCCGAUCAGAUCCAAACUCGACCUGAAUUUUUAAUUCAAUACGAUCCAAUCCAAAUAUUCCAAUCCCAUCAAAAUGAAACUUGAUUGGGUUGAUCCGAACCCGAAUUUGCCACUUCCGGAGGAGACCAUGACCCUAAAGGCUUUGAAAUAAUCUUUGCGGUUUCUUAAUGAAAUAGUAAAAGUUAUGCGCAAAAAGACUGUUUUGACCCUAGAAUACAUGAUAUAUAAAUUUCAGACAUUAUAUUCUGUGAAAUAAAGUCAAAGUAAACUGGUUGUUUGAUUUUUUAUUAAUUAUUUUCCAUUAUGACAAAAUGACAAAUAGACUUUAUUAAAAGUUUAAUAAAGUUUGGGCCUAACUCCUUGAUUUUUAUUUUUUUUAAUUAUUUUUCAUUUUGUUUUUUACUUGCAACAUUAGCUUUAAUUAUCAAUAGUCUCCAAAUCAAAAUGACUGCAACCUGUAGCUACAAGCAAAAUUCUCAAAUUUUGAAAUUUCUAACGACUACAUAAGAGCUAUAAAUAGAAAAAUCAUCUAAAAUUAAUCCUCCUUCAGAGGCAGAUUAAAUUCUUAGUAAUUUCAUAUAAUUUCAUUUCAUCAGAACAAUUUUCCAAAAGCAAUUUUAUAAAUGGUUGUCGAAAGCUUUAUCCCUUAAUUAUAUGUCACGUAUUUUCUUUGUGAUAUGAGGCGUGUCCAUAGACCAUAGUAUGAUAUUUAUUGUAAUUAAAAUCAUUAUGGAACUGAUUUUAUUCUUGUUUCUCAAACAAAAUAUCUAACUGCAGAUGUAAUAAAUUACUAAUUACCAUUAUUUGAGUCGCACUCUUUGAAUUGGAUCUUGGAGUUUCGAAUGACCAAAUGAAUUAGUGAGAUAAUGGCUUUUGCUUUUGUCUACCUGAUAAUAAAAUUUGUCCACCAUAUAGACAAGAAAUGGAUCGGAUCCAUAUGCUAUAGCUAAAUUGAAAAAUUUAUGUGGAGUUUUAUUGUAAGACAUUUUUAUCUGAAUAGAAAAAAUAAAUUUUUUUUAUUUUUAUCUAAAUGAUAAAAUAUCUGAAUAAAAAAUCAGUUUUCUUCUCACAAAUACCCUCAUUAAAUAUAUUUAUUUUCUACUUAGCUAUUAGAUGUCAUAUUAGAAUUUCCUUUGAUCUCAGAUUUUACUUGGUAUUAAAUACUUAAUCUGCGUUCGAUUCGAAUUUAGACAAAUUCUUUUGUCAUUAGAUAACAACGUUUUUACUGAAUUUGAUGUUCAUACAGAAACAGUCAAGUCCUUGUUGACUGAAAUUGGCAUUUCUCUUGUCUCUGCUCCUAUCAUUUGGUGUGAUAACCAAAGUGCAGCUGCCUUAGCAAGUAAUCCUAAAUUCCAAGAACUUAAAUUUAACUCUAAUAAAAGCUCAAAGUUAGUUAUGUUCCAAGUUCUCAUAAGUCAUAACUCAUCUGAUAUCCUUACUAAAGCUUUAGCUUAUCACCCUUUUCAUUAUCUGAGAGACAAGCUCACCCUGACUUCACUAGGCUGAGCUUGAGGGGAGAUGUUAAGAGUAUAAGCUGAAGCUGCUGAGCUGGCUGGUGACGUGCUGACGGUGUUGAGUUGACUAAUGUUUUGUAACUAAGUUGCUGAGCUGGAUUGGGUUGUUAUUUGCACUGAAUAAGUUGUAACGAAUUGUCCAGCUGGCUUGUUAUGAUUGGAAGGCUAAUUAGUUUGUUAAUAUUGCAGCUUUGAGCUCUGUUUCUGUAAUCAGUUUUGAGUGUAACUAUAAAUAUCACGCUCAUAAUGUAUGAUUUCAGCUUUAAUCAAUAAGAAUCUGUGAUUGUUCCAGAAACUUCAUAGUCAAAUUUUCUUUCUUAAUUUUCUUUCACUUUCUCUCGUGCCAAACACCUUAUUGAUUCAAAUAAAACUCCAUCCAAAGGCUCACGUUCCUCCACGUCUAUCACCAUGCAACCGUCGUCGUAAUGUGCUACCUUUGGUUACAUAGUAACCAUGUUAAAUUGGAUUUUCUAUAUGAUAUUAUCGUUAGCUUCAUUGUUUAAAUAUACCGUUAGUGAAAGAAUCGUUCGUGAUUAGGUACUUUACAACUACAACACGAUAAGCAAUCAAAGUUACAUGAAAGAAUCAGUAAUUAGUAGUUAGGUUAGAGGUGAAACGUGCAUGUUACAGGGAAGUAGAAAACAUGUCAAGUUGUUAUCAUAAAGUGAAUAUCCAAUUUAAGAAGAUAAUAACUGGAUUUUGAAUUCAAUUUCACUCUGUUUUAGUAGUAUGUAUUAUAUCUCACGAAUAUGAUAUCAGUGAAAAAUGUAUAAGUUAUGGGCUUUGAAUUUAUAUUAAUGCAUAUAUACUAGCUAUGAAAAUGACGAAUUCUAAACAGAUUUUGCUAUUUAACAAGUAAUUAAGAGGUCUAGCAAUCAAUUAAUAAAAAAGUAAUUCAAUAUAACAUUGCUACAAAGAAAUUAAACUAUAUAUAACAACUAUUUCAAUGAGACUAAUGAUAAUUAUAUCUAAGGUUUGAUCGAACAAACGGGCAAGAACAGCAAAAGCUAAUCUUAAUUUAGAAAUUUUUAUAAGGGGGGAGGAUUGUAAUAUACGCACUUGGACUUUCUUAAUAAAGUGCUGAUUUUUAUUUUCCUCUUCUCUAUUAAUUUUUAAUUUCGUCACUAUAGUUUAAUUGGGAUAAAUUGAGCUCGAUUAUACGCGCCGAUGGUCGGAUUUUAUUUUCGUAACGGGUCUGAAAUUCGCUUAAUUUGUAUUAAGCUUAAAAAAAAAAAAAAAAAAAAAAAAAAAAAGAGGGGCAGAAUUGUAUAACUGGAAAGAGGGAAACGGGUUUUCCAUUUUAGAGAGAAAGAACCCGAGAAGAGAGAGAAAGAUAGAGAGAGAAGUCAGACCCGUUGACCCGAGAACCCGACCCAGUAACCCGCGGAUUGACCCGACGAUUUCUCCCAACUCCAGCCACUUUACCGGCCGUGCUUGGUACCGAUCUGAAGCUUGGAAGCAGACCAUCGUAUCCCUGCUGUUAUCGUCGCCGGAAACUGGCCAGAACGCCGGUGAUCGAGCUCGAAAAGUCGCGGCUUCGACCCGUUUUCGUUGCCGUUGAUCCCGCCGGAGUUGUGACGCGCCACCACUUGGAACUGGUUCCUCACAUCCCCAGCAACAUUUCCCGACCAGCAACGACCGCCGGGGACGCCCGGAACUCGCCGAAUGAUCUCCGAAAAUUUGCGGAACUUUGGAACUUCGAUCCGCCGCCGGUAGCGCGCGUGGCGACUCACUGCCACCACCGUUGGAUUCAUCGAGGCCGGAACUAGCAGACCUAAGCUCCCCGUCAUCGUUGACUGAAGUCCGGUCACCGUUGACCGGCAGGGGCAAUUCGGUAAAUUCAUGAAACUUUGGGGUGAAUUUGUAAUUUUAUGUAAUCAGUGGACAUUUCGGUAAUUUUAUGCCCUGAGGGUAAUUUCGUAAUUUCGGACAAUGUGAUUAAUUUAUGUAAUCUGAAUUGAGGACAAUAUGGGUAUUAACGAAUAUGAGGAUAAUUUGGUAAAAUCAUGAAGUUUGAGGAUAAGUUGGUAAAAUAUUGAUGUUGGGGUAUUUUGGUAAUUUUGGCCUAUAGGGGCAUUUUGGUAAUUUUAUACAUGCGGGACUAGUUUAUCGUUAAUAGAUAUUUGUUUCGAGAUUUAUUAUAUUAAUUGGUUUUUACGGAGAAUAAUUAUGGUGUUUUCCGUGAUUAGGAGGAUCCGCAUCCGCGAACGAGAAUCUACCCGCGGACGUUGUUGAUACUGAGUCUAGACAUCAUCACUGUGAGUGGAAUAUACAAAACCUAUUUUCAUAGUAUAUGCUGAUUUUCUUAUAUAGUACAGUAUGUUUGAGAAAUAAAUGUUUAAUGCGUUGAUUUAAUGAUUUUCCAGCGAAUUGACUUUUAUUUAUGUGUUGAUAUUUAUUAUGAUUGAGAAUGAGUUCGAUUUAUGAUUUUAUUAGCGUUUUUGAGUAAAAGCAUGAUAUUAGAAUUGAGCAGACUUGAGAUAUGUUGAAUAGAAAGAAAAUGAGAUUUCAGAUGGGAUCAUAUGUUUACUAUCAGUUUUGAAAUCAUUAGACAGUACCCUUCCCUCCAGAUACAGAGAUACAGAUAAAAAGAGAUACAGAUAAGAGAUACAGAUAAGAUGAGAUAGAGGCCUUUGGGGCCCGUCGGGACACACAUAGAGGCUUUGGGCCGUGUGUUCGGGCGCUUUUGCCUUUUGGGGGCUUAUGCAUGCACAGUACAGAUAUAUGAGAUAAGAGAUAUGAGAUAUGAGAUGAGAUCGUCCCCAUCUAUCCGUUGUGGCUCCGGGGCGUGACGUUACCCAGAUAGUGCGUUAUUGCCUGGCCGUUGUAGCCCGGAUAUGAUCAGAUUAUCCCCUGGGUACUUGUUUGAUGACAGUUUUUAGUAUUCAGUAUUUAAUAUGAGUAUGGUGAUUCCAUCGAUUUUAUGCAGAUUUAUUAUUGCAGUUAUUCAAUUUGAAUUAAAUGAGUUUAUGAUAUUUUGAGAAAUUGAUUUGAGAAUUGAUUUACGAAAUUGAAAUUGAUUUAAGAAAAGAUUUGAGAAAGAUUAAAUGAUUUUGAAUAAUUUAUUAAAGUAUCAGCACCUACUAUCCACUCACUGAGCUCACUGAGUUUUAUACUCACCCCUCUUUUAUUAUAUUUUUCCCCCCACAGGAGAUUUACAGGUACAUCAGUCAACCCAGUAGUGAACGUUAGUUUGAUAUUGUGGUCACGUGAUGGUGCUAGAAGUCGUGGAUUUUAUUAUUAUAUUCGAAAUUUGUGUUAUUAUUUUAUGUUAUUAAGGAUAAUCGUUGUAUUUUAAUAUUCGGAUGAUUUUGGUGAUAUUUGAGAAGUUGGUUUGAGAAGUUGGUUAUGGAGGAUGUUUGGUUAUUAAAUUAUUUCGGGAGUGUUAUUUUGUCAAUUGCAGGGUUGGAUAUGUUUUAUUUAUAAGGGAGACUCUGCCGAAAUUUUUAUAGAUUUGUUAUUAAUUCGAUUUUACGAGUUUAGAUAGACUCGCCCUGGGGGAGGUUGCGGGGCGGGUCGUUUCAGUUGGUAUCAGAGCAUGGUUUUAGAUUCUGUAGACUUUAUGGUCGUAAAUAGAAUAAGUUUUGAUUAUUAAGUCGGAUUUACUAUUUUGUAGGCACCAUCAUAAUUAAAUUAGUUAGAAGUAAAAUUAUCUCUCUAGUAUUAUGCAAGGGUAGAAAUUUGGGUUGUACCAUGUUAUAAUUAUCAAGGAUAGUUUUGAUAGAAUUCUAAUUGUAAUAUAUGACUGUAUAAAAAAAAAAGAACAUUAAUGAAAGAUGUUUAGGUAAGGACUAUCUUGGAAUAGAAUUUUGAUUGUAAUAUAUCAAUAUAUAAAAAAAAAAUUUAUGAAAAAUGUUUAACAAGGACUGUUUUGAUAUUUUAAUGAGUAGUAAAAAUUAAUGUUAAAAUUUGAUAGAACAUAUAUAAAUAAUCCUAGCUCUAAUAAAAUUUUGCUACAUAAUUAGUUUAUCCCUUAAAGAAACAUAUCAAAAAAAUAUACAAAAACACAAUGCAUGAGUACAUGUCAAUCACAAAUGAAAGCAAUUAAGAUAAAGAAUAUGAUUUAUUUUAUUUUAUUUUAGUUAUUUUUUUGUUUCUUUUGAAACAAGACCAAUUAGAUCUGCAAGAAGUAAUUUUUUAAAAAAAUAAUAAAAAAAGGAGAAAUGAUGAAACCCACGUCCAAAGAUGCCGUUGUCGCGGAGGCCUAGAUCUCACUACACCCCAUCCCCUUCUACCAUAUUUUAUAAUUGAAGAGGCCAUUAUUGAAUUGAAAAAUUAUGAUUCAAAUAUCCAAAAGUAGAAAAAGAAAAGCAAUUGUUGGAAACACACUCGGAGUUUUAAAUUGACAUGAGAAAAGAAUAUAUUCAUCAACCUCAUACGUUAAUGAUGCGACGAGUUUAAGAAUAUAUUCCUAACGUGUGGGAAUUUAAAGACGUUACUACAAAACAUGUGUUCGUCGGUGGAGUAGAAUCAGGGAAAUUAAAGAUGCUACUACAACCACUAACGUGUGGGUGGAGAUAAGCAUAACUUUUUUCAUCAAAUGCCAAAUCCCCCCAGGUGGAGAGUGGGGACUCCUUCGCAUAAAUGUUGAUAAAAUUUUGACUAUGAUGUUAUUAGGAAUUAAGGGAAACUGUGGUGCAAUUGUGGUAUCGUGUCACAGUUGUAUUUGGUCGUUGGAUGUCAGUAGACCCUACCCAUAUAAGUGUAUCUAAUGGCUAAAUGUAAUUAUAACACGGUACCGCAAUUGCACCGUAGCCGAACCCUAAAAAUUAAGAUAUUCUCUCUCUACGUAUGCCUGCACGAAAUAAAUAAUAUGCAAAUAUAGUAUUUUAGUUUAUUAUUAAUAGUUUUACAAUAAUAAAAAUCAUUUUGAUAGACUGGAAAAUGUCAUAUUCGCAUUUUAUUUUGUACGGACGUCUGCGAGAAAGAACAUAUAUAUAUAUAUAUAUAUAGAGGAACGUGUAUUUAAGAUUUAGCUAGUGUGAAGUUGGGAAAUUUUUUUUUUGAACCCAGGCUAAAAUUAUUUCAAUAAAUUUUGAUCAUGGAGACUAAUAAGAUUUUUUUAGUUAUAUUUAUUAAUUUUUUAGGGACUAAUAAAUUUUGAUCAUGGAGACUAAUAAGAUUUUUUUAGUUAUAUUUAUUAAUUUUUUAGGGACUAACAUGAAUAUUAAUAAUUUUAUUGAGAUUAUUAAAAAAACAAUGUGCUAUUUUACAUCUAUGACUUUUCCAAUCUUUUUUUCUUUCGUUAUUUAUUCCUUUGUGAAUUUUAGUUAAUGCUUGAUAUUAUUUUUUUGCUCAUUUUUUAAAGCAGUAAUUAAAUCUGAACCCUUACAGUAGAAGAUUAUGAAAAAGUAAAGACACAAAAAUCAUAAAAAUCAUUAGUACGUCCAAAUUGUGCUAUUUUCAUACAUAACUUGAGAAUAUUUAUAAUUACGCAUCAGAACUAGUGGAGUAGAAUCAGGGAAAUUAAACAUUCUACAAUCAUUGACGUGUGGGGUGGGGAUAAGCAUAAACCUUUUCUAUGCAGUAUAAAAGAAUGCAAUAACUCCUUUUGUUUCAUAUCUUCGCAGCAAAAGCACAUCUAAUAACUCUUCAGAAUUCUCGUCUUCUUUGUCAGAAUGGUUGAUGCGAUCGUUUCCUCUCUCCUGGGGCAGCUGAGCUCUGUUGCGGCUGAUGAAGUGAAACAGCAGGUGAGGCUUGUGACUGGUGUCCGACAAGAAGUGACAAAGCUUACCAGCAAUCUUCGAGCCAUUCGAGCUGUGCUGGAAGAUGCAGAGAAAAGGCAAAUGCAGCGCGACAAUGCUGUUACUUUUUGGCUGGAUCAGCUCAAAGACGCAUCUUACGACAUGGAAGACGUGUUGGAGGAGUGGACCACUGCAAGGCUCAAAUUGCAGAUUGAAGGCGUUGAUGAUGACAAUGCUCUUGCUCUUGCUCCUCAUAAGAAGAAGGUACGCUCCUUCUUUUGUGCUGUAUCAAACUGGUUUGGUAGUUUCAAACAACUUAGUCUUCGUCAUGACAUUGCCGUCAAGAUUAGGGAAAUCAAUGGAAAGCUAGAUGGUGUUGCCUCCCAAAAAGAUACGUUUAAAUUUGUUGAGAAUGUGAGCAACAAUGUUAAGAAACCAGAGCGAGUGCGAACCACCUCCUUGAUUGAUGAGGGAGAGGUUUGCGGUAGAGUUGAUGAGAAAAAUGAGCUCUUAAACAAGUUGUGUGAAAGUAGUGAACAACAACAAGGCCUUCAUGUCAUCUCACUAGUUGGGUUAGGGGGUAUAGGUAAAACCACUCUUGCACAACUAGCCUAUACUAAUGAUGAUGUGAAAAGAAAUUUUGAAAAAGUUAUAUGGGUGUGUGUAUCAGACACUUUUGAGGAGAUUAGGGUCGCCAAAGCAAUCAUUGAAGGUCUAGGCAUGUCAGCUUCUGGUUUAAGCGAAUUCGAAUCUCUUGUGAAACAGAUUCAGGAAUAUAUUACGGGGAAGAAAUUUUUUCUUGUUUUAGAUGAUGUGUGGGAUGUAGAUUACAAAAAAUGGGACCCAUUCUUUUCUUGUCUAAAGAAUGGCCACCAUGAAAGUAAAAUUCUAAUUACCACACGUGAUAGGUCAGUUGCACUACAGUUGGGAUCAAUAGAUAUUAUCCCUGUCAAGGAGUUGGCUGAAGAGGAAUGCUGGUCGUUGCUCGAGCGGUUAGCAUUCUUCCGUCGUUCUGUUGAUGAUCAUGAAAAAUUAGAACCAAUCGGGCGAAAAAUUGCACACAAGUGCAAAGGCCUGCCUCUUGCUGCAAAGGUAAUAGGGAAUCUCUUGCGCUCUAAAAUUACAGUAAAAGAGUGGCAAAGAAUUUUAGAUAGUGAAAUGUGGAAAGUACAAGAGAUUGGGCAAGAUCUUUUGGCCCCUUUGUUGUUGAGUUAUAACGAUUUGCCCUCCAAUUCUAUGGUAAAACGGUGUUUCUCAUAUUGUGCUGUCUUUCCAAAAGACUACGAGAUGGAUAAAGAGGAGUUGAUUGAUCUGUGGAUGGCUCAAGGUUACCUUAAUGCAGAAGAAGACGAAGAGAUGGAGAUGAUUGGGGAAGAGUGUUUCAACAUUUUAGCAGCACGCUCUUUCUUUCAAGAGUUUGAGAAAAAUGAUGAUGAUGAUGAUAUUAGGAGUUGCAAGAUGCAUGACAUAGUACAUGAUUUUGCCCAAUUUGUAAGUAGAAAAGAAUGUUUGUGGGUAGAAAUGUAUGAUAACAAAGAAUCAGUCAUAAAGUCUUCUGGUGUCAAAGUCCGUCACUUAGGGUUAAAUUUUCAAAGAGGAGCUUCAUUUCCUACGUCCUUUUUUGAAUUUGAUAGAUUGCGUAGCCUCUUAAUUUAUGAUAGAAGUUAUUCCAAUCAGGUUCUUAAUAGUAAAUUGGCGUGUUUAAGGACAUUAGUUAUAAGGCAAUCGUUCCAAUAUUUUUAUCCUAUUUCUCUUGACUCAAAUGCGAUUAGAGAAAUUCCAGAAAAUGUUGGAAAAUUGAUACAUUUAAAAUAUCUUAAUUUGUCUAAAUUAGCCAUAGAGAUACUACCUGAGACUUUGUGUGAAUUAUAUAAUUUACAAAAGCUAGAUAUUAGGGAGUGCCGAUAUCUUAGGGAAUUGCCAGCGGGGAUUGGGAAGUUAAAGAACAUGAGAAGUUUACUGAAUGAUAAAACUUAUUCAUUGAAGUACAUGCCAAUAGGGAUUUCCAGAUUGACCAGCCUUCGAACAUUAGAAAAGUUUGUUGUGGGUGGAGGUGUUGAUGGUGGCAGCACGUGUAGGCUUGAAUCUCUGAAAAAUCUUCAACUCCUUCGUGAAUGUAGAGUAGAAAGGCUGAGUAAUGUAUCGCAUGUAGAUGAGGCUGAGAGGUUACAACUUUACAAUAAGAAAAACCUCCUUCGUUUGCGUCUUUGGUUUGGUGGAGUCGUAGAUGGGGAAGGCGAAGAAGGGAGGAGGAAGAAUAUUGAGAAAGAUAAACAACUUCUUGAAGCCUUACGACCGCCUUUGAAUUUAGAGGAAUUAGGGAUUGUAUCCUACCAAGGCAACAUUUUUCCCAAAUGGUUGACUUUGCUAACCAAUCUAAGGAAUUUAUUUCUUUCCUCGUGCGUUAACUGUGAGCAUUUGCCUCCUUUGGGAAAAUUGCCUCUGGAAAAACUCAAACUAUGGAAAUUAAAAAGUGUAAAAAGAGUGGGUAAUGAGUUUUUGGGAAUAGAAGAAAACAGUGAGGACGACCCAUCUUCAUCUUCAUCGUCAUCAUCAGUUAUUGCCUUCCCCAAAUUGAAAUCACUCGAAAUUUGGGACAUGGAGGAAUUGGAAGAGUGGAAUUACAGGAUUACGAGGAAGGAAAACAUCUCCAUCAUGCCCCGUCUUUCUUUCUUAAAAGUUGUUUUUUGCAACAAAUUAAAGGCGCUGCCGGAUUACCUUCUUCAAACGACGGCACUGCAGGAACUGCGUAUUUUUUCUUGUGAUCUUCUAGAAGAACUGCCCAUUCUAGAAGAUCGCAGGACAACAGACAUUCCACGUCUUUCUUCCUUGCGAAUUUCGGAUUGCCCCAAAUUAAAGGUGCUGCCGGAUUACCUUCUUCGGACGACGACGCUGCAGGAAUUGACUAUUGACGAAUGUCCCCUUCUGGAAAACCGUUAUAGAGAGGGGAAAGGAGAAGACUGGCAUAAGAUAUCUCACAUUCCCCACAUCGAGUGGUAAAUUCUCGAAUGGUUGCAAUUACUAUCACCCACCGGUAAUUUCUCACCUCUAUUUUACUUUGUUGUUACUUCAAACAACGACACUGCAAACAUUGACAAUUUGUACAUAUCAAUAAAAUGUACAAAGUUAAAAAUAUAGAAUGCAUUAGUACAUGUCAAUAACAAGACCAAUUAGAUUAUGGCAUUGCUUUAUUUUAUUUAUUUAUUUUUUUGAUUCUUUUGAAACAAGAUCAAUUAAUUAGAUCAUGCUAGAAGUUAAUUUUUUUUUUCAAAUGAAAAAGGAGCAGUCAUACAAAGUUUGAAUAUAAAAUUUAUAAUCUAAAACUAAUAAUGUGACAAUUAGCAUGUUAUUAACCUAUCUAAUAGAGUAGGAAGUCCCAAAUACAUCAUAUUCUGCUCCAGAAAUCCAUUCCACCUAGAAUACUUCUUUCUAUUGAAAUUAAUGAUGAUUUGUUUGUUUGCAUCAUGAAAGUUAAAAAUAAUUUUAUGAGUAAUUUGAUUCUUUACGGUACAAAAAAUAAAUUUGGAAAGUACUAAUUUCUCUCAUACUUUUUGGGCUAAAAAAUAAAUGUAACUCCAACAUAUUUAUUAUUUAAUGGUUCUAUAUAGAAUCAAUCGUGGUAUAAAUAUGUAAAACUUCCUAGUUAUCAAUUUUGUCUUGCAUAAUGAUAAUCGUUUUUUUUUAUAUAUAAUUUAUGUGACAUUAAUUCUUUAAAGUAAUUGUGGAAUUGUUUUUACUACAUUAGCCCUCUUUGUUUUAUUUCAUACGAGUUUAAUUAUGUUCACCAGGGAUUCGAGGAAAUGUCAGAACCACACUAGCAAUUCACAGGUCCAAUCUAAUUUGGUUUUAAUGAUGCAGGCAGGAGAGUAUGCUAAGAAAAUGAAAAGUUUAGCCAAAGGAUUGCUAAAAUGUUCUGCUGGUAAUUCACUUGCUUUAUUUUAUAGAAUUUCAUUUCCAUCUUCUUCUAUUGAUAUCUUGUUGUGAAUAAACAAGAACAGAGAAGUAAAGAUAUAUCAAAAUUAACUAUUACGAUGAUGCUAAAGCAAGCUCAAGCUCAAGCAUUGCAUUUUUAUUUUAUUUAAUUUAUAGAAUUUUCAUUUCCACCUGCAUUGCAUUUUUAUUUAUUUUUAGGUUGACUUUGAAUACUUCAUGGUGAAAAUGACGAGUUCAGCCAAAGGAUUGCUAAAUGUUCUGCUGGUAAUUCACUUGCUUUAUUUUAUAGAAUUUCAUUUCCAUCUUCUUCUAUUGAAUCUUGUUGUGAAUAAAGAAGAACAGGUAAGUAAAUGAUUGAACCACAGAGAAGUAAAGGUGUAUCAAAAUUCGCUAUUAUGAUGAUGUUAAAGCAAGCUCAAGCACAAGCAUUGCACUUUAUAUUUUAUUUAGUUAAUAGAAUUUUCAUUUCCACCUGCAUUUCAUUUUUAGGUUGACUUUGAAGACUCUAUGGAGAACAUUGGGGUAACCAAGGAUUAUCACUGUGGUUAUUGUGCAACGUUUGGUUGCUGGACUUUGAAGAAGGAAGUGAUGGCCGGGUCUGCUCUGUUUCAAUUGAGGAUGGAUAGCUGCCUGAAAGACAUGAUGAUUAUUAUUGUGUGAUGUUAAGGUGCUGAGAUCAUCAUUGCUAUCUUGUUUCAUUCUUGGAAUCAUUUAUCCUGUAUAAACAUUUGUUUUAACAAAUGUUUCAAUGGCUGCUGUAGUAACAAUUUCAUAUCUUGCAUCUCUCGGGUGCAUCAUGAUCACGGGUUUGAGAAAGCAUUUGUGGUAAAGCUUCAAAGCUUGUACAAUGGCUGUGAAAAGGCACAUUCAAUUCGGUACGUUUGGUGCGGUCUCCUAAUGCUACUACCAUAUUUUGUAUAGCAAUUAAAAUUCAGGUAUACAAUCUUAAUAUGCAAUAAAUCAUUGAGUACAAAGUUAUCUAUUAAUUAUAUGGUAACUGAAAUUUUCAUUAUAAUUUUAAUUAUCAUAUUAAUAUUAAAGUUUUUUGUAACCCUCUUUUACUUUGCUUGUACAGAGUAUCUGUUUUGGCUGAUAUGUCUAAUUCGUAGCAAUUCAUUUCCAUCGGUUUCCAUUGGUUUUAGCACAAACAGAAACAAAAAUCUGGGGAAAAAGUUUUACUUCUUGUGGUAUUAUGCCUUUAUUUAUUCAUUCAUCAUAUUUGUUCGAAUUCAUGCUCUCAUUCAGAGAGCAGCCUUUUCCAGGCUACUUUGUAGCCAAAUUUUCAUGCCAUCGAUGCAUGAUUGUCAUUUAGAUUUUCCAAAUAAUUGUUAGAUUGAAGAAGAAUAAGAAGAUAUUGUUAAAAGGGUAUUUAAUUAGCACCCUCUGAAUUUAGUUGCCAAUAAUGCAUUGAAAUGGUUGGGGAAAGUUAUUGUCUCACUUAAAUUACAGGUGAUAAGAUGCUGCUCCAAUUUUGCAAGCAUCUCGUGUUGCGAAGAUUUUGCCCACAUGAGAUGUUAUGAUUUUUGACAUCAGGGUAACACAGGUCAAAUUUUAGCAUCAAUAGAUAUCAUCUUCUUUACUGUUCUGCUCGAAAUAUUAAACUUUAGGCAAGUUGUUUUUGGUUGUGUGAGUUAUCAGGUUAAGGAUACUAAGCAGCUUAUUAAGGCAAAUGUCAGAAUGCAGAUUGCUCACCACACCUGGUAUGCAUGAUGGCCAGGAAGAUUAAUUGUUCACAAGCCAAUUUGAUCAGUGUUAGAUUUUUUUCCUCCUUUCGAGGGACAUCAUCAUCAAAUUUGAGUAGAGAAUCUUUGAAGGGAAUUUUGUUGUAAGAGUUUCACAGUAGUGAAUUCUAGAAGCUCGAACUCACUUGAGUGAGAUAUUAGGGAGUAUUGGGGAUUUGGGUUAUGAGUAAUCAUUAUCCUUCCAAUAUGUGUAAGCACUCACUUGUUAGUAAAAUCAUCUUCGUAUAUUGACUAUGUUUCUUUGUUAUCAGGUAGAGUGUGAUCUUCAAGGGUUUGAGAAAGUCCUUGCAGUAAAGUUUCCACCACAAGUAAUUGCUCAGUUUCAGAUUUUCUAGGCGUUUAAUUAGUUUCGAUUAUAAUAUUUAGUCACUCAUUCUGAAUCUUUUCUAAUUUUCAAGUUCCUUAGGGUCACAAUCAUUUUUUCAAGUCUGCUGUGGCUGCAAAAAGAUUGUUGGUCAUAAAAUUAUCUUGACCCUUGAGCCAUUGCGUUUGAGCACAAACAGAAACAGAGCUAAAGGAAAAGAACUUGACGCAAGAAGAUGCUCUGAAUAUAACAAAAGUAUAUUUCUACUUCUUGUGGUUAUUUACUUUUGUUUCUCCUGUCAGCAUAUUUGAUUAAUUCGUUCGAAUUCACACUCUCACACAUUAUUUAAAACCAUUUGUAGGUGGCUUGCAAGCUAAUUAAGUUAAUGCAGAAGCAAUACUCUAGACUUUAGUGAAGUUGUUUUUGUUUGUGUAAGUUAUCAGGUUAAGGAUACUAAGCAGCUUAUUAAGGCAAAUGUCAGAAUGAAGAUUGUUCACCGCACCUGGUAUGAAUGAUGGCGAGGAAGAUUAAUUGUUCACAAGCCAAUUUGAUCAGUAUUAGAUUCUUUUGCCUCCCUUCGAGAGAUAUCAUCAUCAAAUUUGAGAAGAGAGUUUUGUUUUGACAUUUCACUGUAGUGAAUUUUGGGAGCUUGAACCCACUUCAGUGAAAUAUUAGGGAAUACUGGGGAUAUGGGUUAUGAGUGAUCGUUAUCCUUCAAAUAUUUGUAAGCUCUCACUUGUUAGUAAAACCAUCUUCGUAUAUUGACUUUGUUUCUUUGUUGUCCGGCCGAGUGUGAUCUUCAAGGUUUGAGAAAGUCUUCGCAGUAAAAUUUCCACCACGUGCAAUUGCAGUGAAGGGGCAUAUACAUUUGAGUAAUUCAGUUUCAGAUUUUCAAGGCGCGUUUGUUUAAUUAGUUUCGAUUAUAAUAUUUAGUCACUCAUUCUGAAUCUUUUCUAAUUUUCAAGUUCUUUAGGGCCGCCAACAGUUUUUCAUGUCUACAUGUGGCUGCAAAAAGAUUGAUGGUCAUCAAAUUAUCUUGAGCCUCGAGGCAUUGCAUUCGAGCACAAAGGGAAACAGAGCUAAGGGAAAUGAAGACAGUAGGAGAUGCUCUGAAUAUAACAAAAGUAUAUUUCUACUUGUGGUUAUUUUAAUUUUGUUUCUCCUGUCAUCAUAUUUAAUUAAUUCGUUUGAAUUCACACUCUCACACAUUAUUUAAAACCAUCUGCAGGUGAUAGAAUAUGGGAGACGUUGUUAAUGGAAAAACAGUACUCUAGACAAAGAUGAGCAAAUUGAAGGCGACAAAUGCAAAUUGGAUUUCCAUGAAUAAUUGUUAGGCUGGUGGAGAUAUUCUUAAAAGGGCAUUAAGCUAUCUUAUGGAAUUGGAAAGUUAUUAUUACUUGAAAGCAAGCAGCAUCUUCGUUGCGAAGGCUUUCCCCACUUGAUAAGAUGCUGAGAUUGUUAUCGGCCCCUUAAUUAUUUAUUAACUCAGGUAUUUAUUAUCAGUACAUCAUCUUAUUCACCAUUUUGGCUGUAUAUAAAGAUUAAAAUUUCUAACAGUUGUUUCGGAUUCUUGUGUACUCAGGUUAAUAGGGCAAAUGUCAGAAUGAAGAUUGCUCAGUGCAACCGAUAUAGCAAGGAUGAUAGUUGUGAGGAAGAUUGUUGGCAAGCCAAAUAGAGCCCUCCAUUUGGAGAAAUAUCAUCCUCAAAUUUGAAUUGUUGAGCAUGUGAGGUGAAGCUAAAGCCUUAAUAAUGAGACCUUCCUGUGGAAGUUUCAUUUGAAUGAAUUGAACGUUCUUAGUGAGUGAGAAAUUAAGCAUAUAUCAGCGAUUUUGGUCGUCAGUGAAUGUUUUCCUUCAAUAUUAAUACACUGGCAUUUCUUAGUAAAUUCCCUUCACGUCACUUCCUCCUUGUUGGUGGGAUUAGUAAACAAAUGCCAUUUCUUAGUACAUUUUGAGAAUUUUGACUCCCAAAUAAGCCUGCAGAGCGGUGUAUGGUGGGAUUAGCUGCAGGAUUCUUUGCCAAACUUCCUUUUUAUUCCUUUGUUCACUUAUUCGUUAUAAAUAAAGUAAAAUUAGAAUAUUGUUCCGUUUACUGUCUAAGCUGGUCUAACAUUUGUUUAAUUUGGGCAAUUUUUAAUGCCUAACAGGUUAUCUGUGACAAACCCAUCAGUGAGUGUAUGCAACUAUUGCGUGGAUUUGAUAGAGUGGUCACCAACAAUUUUGAAGUUAUUGGAGUAGCACGGCUUUGAGGUCUCUCCCUCCCUCUUUUACGUAUUUGUCUAUUGAUCGACAUGUCUAUAUAUACAUUGAUAGACCAACUUACUCUUGUUUUAAUGUUUUGUUUGUUAAAAUUUGACUGGGUUAUGUUUAUUUGUCUCAUAUGAUGUCAAUGUGGUUCCUAUUGAAGUGUAUAGAUCUGUCACCUCAAAGUCUGAUUUCAAUUUUCCUUUACUUCAUCAACUAGCAUCCUUUCCAAGUCCAGAUACUUACCAAUAGUGAUACUUUGCUACGGAAGUACAAUUUCUCUUGUUUUACAGUUAAUUAUGAAAGAAAAGUUUUAAAUUUACAGAAUUCUGGUAUAGCUCUCUUAAGGAAAUGCGAGUGGUGAAUAUGGUUCCAACUUUUAAUAGGCUUAAUAGGCCCAUUUGUUGAGCCACAGUGAUUGCGGUGUAAAUUCUUCUUUACUGUCUAUAUGUGUUGGAGUUUGUCUAUUGUCCAACUUCUCAAAUCGAUUCCAUGCAGGGUUUUGAAUGUCUAAUUAGGAGAACGAUUAACGGAUGACCUUUUGAAGAAGGCUUACACAACAGGCCAUCUCGGGAUGUCAUGGCUCAGCUCAAAAGUCCCCAGGUGGGUGAUAUCAAAGAAUGCCAUUGUUUCUGGGCUUGGUCUCCUUGGCAUCAAACAAGAUAAUGUUGACUGCAUAAAUUUGUUGGAGUUAAUGUAGUCAAUUGCCCAAUUUCGCUGCCUAUCGAAGAGACACAUCAUGGAAGUCCUCAUCAAACUCUGAGACACCUAAGAAAUAGUAGGAGGUGGUGGUACUUGCCUGGGGUUAAUUUCCUGGCAAGUAUAGUUCACUGAUAGAGGGAAUCUUCUCUUGAUGUCUAAAUACCGUAUGUGAUACAACGUCGUAUAUUCUAAUUUUCCUUGAGUUAAAUUCUAGUCAGUUAGGAAAGUUAAUUUUGUUUUCGCUAUGGAUUGUUUCCUAGAUAAUAAUAGUUUCCAUGUUCCUUUGGGGUCUUAUUAACUCUCUGUAACCCAGUUCAAGUUUGCAAAUUCUAUUUCAGAUUUCUCAUAUAGUGUGCCUUUGUGACUUCUGUGAUACACUUUUGAUCACAAGUUUCCAUUUGAAGUAGCCAAUAUUCUUUAUAGACUAAUUAUCUAAGGAUUAUUUUAUACAAAAAAUGAAAACUUUAAUUAAUUGAUCAUACUUAACUUAGCUCUUGUUUAAUAUUACGAGCUGUUGUGAGAACAAAAAAAUAGCAGAAAGUUGACAGUGUGCAGUAAAUGUAUGACUUUUAAAUAAUAAUUUAAUAAAAUUAAUAAAGAUAUUAUAAGUUUUUUAAUAAUAAAGUAUGAGAUCAAAUUAAAUUAAUUAAUUUUGAAUUAUUUUAUUAUUGUCAAAAUGUAAUAUCUUAAAUAACAGUUAUUUUUAUUAAGAAUAUUUUUUUGGUAAUGAAUUAUACUUUUUAAAAUAUAAUUGAAAAUUCUUAUUAAUGAACUAAUAAAAAAUUAAUUAUUUGAGUUAUCUCCUAAACUACUUAGCUCACGAGAUAAAUUCACUUAGUUUAGAACGAAGCGGUGGGUUUUAUGUGGGAAGCCACAUCCUUACCACAUCAACCUCAACAUCGAAACAUGGAAUUGGACUAAAAAUAGUUCUUUCCCAUGUAUUUACGUAACCUCCUCCCAGUAAACGCAAAUAUGUAUUCUUGAGUGCAUGUAAUCCACAAGUUUGAUUGAGUAGAAGAUGUCGUUGUCACAAAGGCCUGGACGCCAUACCUCGAAUGAUAUGUUAGUAUGAAAUUAUGUUUUUUUUUUUUUUUUUGAGAGAGGUAUGAAAUUAUGUGAAAAUUAAUAUAUCACUUUUUUUUUCUUUUUUCCUUUUUUGCGUGAGUGAUGGCUUCGUUGAAUGACAGUUGGCAAAUAAUAAGUUAUCUUUUAAUUUUGGUUUUGAUUUGAAAAAAAUAUUAAUUUUUGUAGUUUCGGUAGAUGAAAUUUCGAAUCAAAUAUUAAUAUUGUUAAAGUACGCAACCCAAUAUUUGCUUAAAUUACAAAAAAGAUUAAUUACUUUGCAUAAAAAAAAAGUGAUCACUUGAUUUAACUUCCUUUACUAAAUUUACGAUUUAAAAUCCAAAAUAAAAAAAAGGAAAACAAUUUUUGGACACACACUCGGAGUUUUAAAUUAAUAUGAAAAACGAGUUUAUUAUUGAUAGGAAAACAAUCAAGUGAUCACUUGAUUUAACUUCCUUUACUAAUUUUACGAUUUAAAAUCUAAAAUAAAAAAUUGUUUAUUAUUGAUUGUCUUUUUCCCAAAAUUUAAGCUAAAACAGUAAUAUGUCCAAAAUACCCUCCACGUUAUCCUAAAACUUUAUAAACUCCCCCGUUCCUCUCAACAUCAUCUCUUCCAAAUCUUUCUCCCCCAAAAAACCAGCCAUGGCUUCAUAUUUAGUUACCUCAACACUCCAAUAUUGGCUUGUAAACAGUAGUGGUUCGACCUCUAGGCAACUUAGGUGGUUGUAUAGGACUCCGCUUUAUAUGAAAACCCUACGAGAUGAUUAUUUUGUAUAUAAAAGAGGAAAAUGAAUUUAAAAGUGAUUAUUAUUUAUUUAAUUUAUUAUUAUUUUGUAAUUAUCUUUUUCUAAAUAAACUAUCAAAUUCUUAUAAAGUUUAUUUAAUGUACUACUUAAUUGUUUUAAUUAAUUUCUACAAAACCAAUAAAUUAAUAGUUUCAAUCCUAAACAUUCUCUAUUUCAUUGUUAGAAUUAAUAAGUUAUAUUUCAAAAGUUUUAUAUUUAUUUUAAACCUCUAUAAAAGCCCCACAUUUUAUUACUUAUCCAUUACAUUUUUCCUCCAACAAUCAAGACAUCUUGGUGUUUUAGAGAAAGAAAGAGAAAGAAGGAAAAAAAUCUUGCUUCCCCUACUUUCUACUCUAGAAGAAACAGAAAAAAUCUAAUAGUUUUCUCUAUUUUCUAUGACUAUUGGUCGUUACUCAAAUUUUCAAACAAUAGCCUUAAUAUAAAUAUAAGUUAAUUUAUGAUUUCAUCUCAAAUUUUUGAUUUUAUCUUUUUAUUAUUCUCUUAAUUAGUUGUGUUUUAUUUGUUCUUAUUUCUUUUUAAUAUAUUCUUUUAUUCAUCUAAUUUUUUUUUGUGCUUGUUUUAUCUAUUUUGAAAUAAAACUAUAUCAAAAAACUUUAGACAAUAGAAGAAUAGAAAAAUUAGUUUAAUUUAAAAAAAAAAGUAAAAAGAUAUAAUUUAACUUAAAAAAAUAAAUGAAAAUGUUAUAAUUGAAUUAAAAUUUUAUGAAUUAACAUCAAUGGAAUGAAUUUUUAUUUAAUAAUUUUACAUUUUAAAGUGUUUAAAGAAUUAAUUUUCAAUAAAUAAUAUACGUUAUAUACCUUCUAGAAGAUAUAUAACGUAUUUCAAUAAAUAAUUGUACAUUAUGAAUUAACAUCAAUGGAAUGGAUUACCUUCUUCAAACGACGGCACUGCAGGAACUGAGUAUUUCUUAUUGUCCAAUUAUGGAAGAACUGCCCAUUCUAGAAGAUCACAGGACAACAGACAUACCACGUCUUUCUUCCUUGCGAAUUUGGAAUUGCCCCAAACUAAAGGUGCUGCCGGAUUACCUUCUUCGGACGACGACGCUGCAGAAAUUGACAAUUUGGGGAUGUCUCAUUCUGGAAAACCGUUAUAGAGAGGGGGAAGGAGAAGACUGGUAUAAGAUAUCUCACAUUCCCCACAUCAAGUGAUCGCCGUAAUUUAUCACUCGCCGGUAAUUUCUCCUCCGCCUCUGAUUUACUUCGUUGUUGCUUGCAAUGAAAUUAAUAAAAAUAAUUAUAUUUUGAAUUAAAAUUUCUAUACUUAUUUACUUUUAAAAAAUAUGUGCUCUUUUGUAAAAUUUCAUGCAAUGUAAUUUAUUUUUUAAUGUACGAUAAUUUGUUGUGUGUAACUUCCUGAGAGACAAAAUCUCUGUGAUACAUUUGCAGUAAUGUUGAAAACUAAAUUAUCAAUUUUAUCUUGUAUAAUGAUAAUCUUAUUUUUUUAUAUAUAAUUUAUGUGACAUUAAUUCUUUAAAGUAAUUGUGUAAUUGUUUUUACUACCAGUUUAUGUUUCAUUUUAAUUAUGUUCACCAGGGAUUCGAGGAAAUGUCAGAACCACACUAGCAAUUCACAGGUCCAAUCUAAUUUGGUUUUAAUGAUGCGGCAGGAGAGCAAGACUAUGAAAAUGAAAAGUUUAGCCAAUGGACUGCUAAAAUGUUCUGCUGGUAAUUCACUUGCUUUAUUUUAUAGAAUUUCAUUUCCAUCUUCUUCUAUUGAUAUCUUGUUGUGAAUAAACAAGAACAGAGAAGUAAAUGAUUGAACCACAGAGAAGUAAAGAUAUAUCCAAAUUCGAUUAUUAUGAUGAUUAAAGCAAGCUCAAGCUCAAGCAUUGCAUUUUUUAUUUUAUUUAGUUUAUAGAAUUUUCAUUUCCACCUGCAUUGCAUUUUUAUUUCAUUUUUAGAUUGACUUUGAAGACUCUAUGGAGAACAUUGGGGUAACCAAGGAUUAUCACUGUGGUUAUUGUGCAACGUUUGGUUGCUGGACUUUGAAGAAGGAAGUGAUGGCCGGGUCUGCUCUGUUUCAAUUGAGGAUGGAUAGCUGCCUGAAAAACAUGAUGAUUAUUAUUGCAUGAUGUUAAGGUGCUAAGAUCAUCCUUUCUAUCUUGUUUCAUUCUUGGAAUCAUUUAUCCUAUAUAAACAUAUUGAAUUGUGCUAAUAUUAUCAUAUGCGUAAAUGGAGGCAGGAAUUUGGUGUUGACACUAUUAUGCAGGUAACCACACUUGAUAAUUGGCACAAAUUUGCGUUGUCAGAAUAUCCUUUAAUAUUCAACGUGUCUCUUUGUGUUAUCAGGAGUAUCAUGUCCAAGGGUAAAGGUGCUGCCGGAUUGGUGGAUGCCCCAAAUUAAAGGUGCUGCCGGAUUACCUUCUUCAAUCGACGACACUGCAGAUAUUGAGUAUCUUUUUGUGAAAAUAUGGAAGAACUGCCCAUUCUAGAAGACCGCAGGACAACAGACAGAUCACUUGCCCCAAAUUAAUGAUGCUGCCGGAUUACCUUCUUCAAACAAUGACACUGUGGAUAUUGAGUAUUUAUGAAUGUCCUAUUCUGGAAAAACGUUACAGAGAGGGGGAUGGAGAAGACUCGCAGAAUGUUAAGGUGCUAAUAUCAUCAUUUCUAUCUUGUUUCAUUCUUGGAAUCAUUUAUCCUAUAUAAACAUAUUGAAUUGUGCUAAUAUUAUCACUUGUGUCAAUGGAGGCAGGAAUUUGGUGCUGAAACUAUUAUGCAGGUAACCACACUUGAUAAUUUGCACAAAUUUGCGUUGUCAGAAUAUCCUUUAAUAUUCAUUGUGUUUCUUUGUGUUAUCAGGUUAUCAUGGUAUACAGAGUAUCAUUUUCAAGGGUUUGUAAGAGCUUUCGCAGUAAAGUUAGUCAUCACCACCUUGUGCAAUUGCACAUACAUUCAGAGUACUUCAAUAUUAGAUUUUCAAGGUUUGUAUGUUUAGUUGCGAUUAAAAUUUUUAGUCACUCAUUCUUAAUCUUUUCUAAUUUUCAAGUUCUUUAGGGCCAUAAACAGUUUUUCCAACUCAUUCUUAUUUUUUAGGUUGAUUUCGAGUACUCUGUGGAGAACAUUAGUGAGACAAAGGAUUAGACUGGCGAUGGAACUGCUGCCUCUGUUGUUAUUGUGCAAGGUUUGAUCACUGGACCUUGAACACGAAAGCCUUACACGCAUUCUGUAAUUCAAGCGUUCUCUAAAACGAACGAGCAGUAGAAGGAAUAGUGAUGACCGGAUCUGCUCUAUUUUAAUUGAAGAUCUCUGUGAUAUUGAGGGGCUUAAAGUAGUUGAUGCUUUUUGAAAAUUGUUAUUACGGAUGAAUUCAUUCCUGAAGACGAGUAGCUAAUGAUUGUUAAGGCUUAUUUUCUUAAAGUUCCUUUCUUAACAAGUGUUUCAAUGCUGGCUGUAGUAACAUUUUCAUAUCUUGCAUCUCUCGGGUGCAUCAUGUUCACAUGUUUGAAAAGGCAUUUGUG
This 134374-nucleotide long non-coding RNA is filed under the name Citrus x clementina. RNAcentral describes it as "Citrus clementina (C. clementina) long non-coding RNA (CCLE_LNC002475)". Lineage: Eukaryota; Viridiplantae; Streptophyta; Magnoliopsida; Sapindales; Rutaceae. The record is from RNAcentral.